UUAAAAUUUUAUAUCAUACUACAAAUUCUACAAAUUUUUGAGUUUAAAUUUUUACUGAUUAGAAUUAUUUUUAAGGUCAUAUCUUACCGUAAAUUAAUCCGAGCUCUGUCCAAUCCGACUUGUGAACAAUUAGCUUCAGUUACUGGCAGCAGAGGAGAAUAUUGACUUAAAAGAGAUUAACAUCUUGGCCUCCGGUGGGAAAUCAAGUUGGGCUAAGUCACGAUCGAAAUGACGGAAGAUCGGGUUGGACUGAGCCAUGUUCGAAAUGGUGUGAGGCUGAUUGAAUCGAAUCACAAUCGAGAUACCACAGGCACCAUCUCUAUAUACUUUAAGUGAAUUGAUUACGUACUUUUAACGGUUCUAAUUUUUAAAGUUGAUAAUUAGCACCAAUUAGGAUUAUACAGAAAAAAGCUAAAAUAAAUUUUUGCGUUCCAAGAAAUACUUUUGUGGAAACUCAAUAAGAGAGAUCCAUUGAAGCAAAUCGGAGAAAAUACAACUUUAAUGGCAAAUUAAAGCUCCACACACAAACAAUAUCAUUGGAACUAUAUAACUAUAUAAGCAACAAGCCCCAUUUACUACCCAAGCAACCUAUCACUCUUCAAGAAGCUAUACACCACCAUAUCCCUCACGCUCCCUUUUUGAAUCCAAUACCUCCUCAACACCCCCUCCCUCAUAAACCCUACCUUCUCCAACACCCUUUGUGACCCCCUAUUCUUCACAUCCACUAACCCCUCCACCCUCUCCAACCCCUCCACCGCGUCGAACACCUCCGCCACCGCGAUCCUCACCGCCGCCGUCGCGACGCCCUUCCCCCAGUAGUCCGACGCGAGGACGUAACCGAUCUCCGCCCUGCAUGCGUUCUCGCCUGCACCGGGCGUUACAGACACAGCACCCACGGGUCUCGCACCGACGCAGAUGGCGCGGAAGUAGGGGUGGGGGAGGACGGACGACUCCAUGUAGGCGAGGAGGUGGGACUUGUCGGUGUAGGCCUCCCACCGGCAGAAGCGGGUCACCUUGUCGUCGGAGGCCCACACCAUGUAGUCGUCGAGGUCGGAGAGCUCGAAGCGGCGGAGGGUGAUCGACAUCGUCGGCGCCGCGGAGUUCGCAGGCUCUUGUUGUUGUUGUUGUUGUUGUUGUUCCAUUUUGUGUAGAUGGGGGAUUAUGAGGAGGAGAAUUGUGUUGUUGAGAUGUGUUGUGGAGUAGUUUCAUUUUAUAGAUUGAAGAGGGGGAGGGGAGUUGACGCUGAUCAAAUUUGACCGGUCUCGUUGACUAAGUCAACGUUUGACUAAGGAGGCGAAAAGACUAAUCUACCCCUAUAGUUUUUACACGUAUAGGCUAAAUUGCAUAUUUGGUCCUCAAACUAUUAGCGGCAAUACUCACUUGUUCGCAAACUUUUAUUUGUUGUAGUUUUUGACUCGAAUUUUUUGAAUCAUUGUGAUUAAGUCCAAUAAUCCAGUUUAGUUGUCUACACUCUGCAUAUUAACUGUCGCCUUUGCGAUCCCCUUCCCGGGGUGCAGCAGCAAUGACACGUAGCUCAUCUCGUCUUUGCAUUUGCUAUCUAUCUGUUGAAUAUAAAAUAUUAAAAUAUUAUUCUAUAACAACUUAGAUUUAGGUAUAAUUACCUACAUAUCUCUUAAAAGUAUUGGACUAUUAUUUUGAUUCCAAAAAGUUUAAGUGGCGAAAUCUGUCUCUUUAAAGUUUCUUCAUUAUUUUCAGAUUAAUUUCAUGCUCAUUCUAACUGUAGAUCAAAAUAAGGAGUAAGUUUUAAAGACAUUAAAACUUUGUUGGAUAAUUUUUAUCACUUAAAUUUUGUAGGUAACAUAUAUGAAGGGACAAAUGAUUUUUUUUUUUUUUUAAGUAGAGUUUACAACUACUUUUGAUAGUAGAUUAAGAGAACUUAUAACUUUGUAGGGAAAGUUUUCGCCGCUUAAAUUUUUUUAAAAGUAAAUAUGAAAGGUGGGUACUUUUAACUUUUAAGAGGUACAUAAAUAAUUAUCCCUCAAAUUUAAGACUUUGUUUAAUGUUACUAUCUUCUUUUGCUUUUUAGAAUAUAAAUUUUAUAUUUUAAAUUUGUUAGACAAUCAAAAAAUCAAAACUUAGCAUAUAUCUGAAUAUAUUUGAUUUAUUCAUGUUUCAAAUUUGUCGCUGGCUAUUUUCUUAUUUGCUUCUAGAACAGUAUCAAUUUCUUCUCAAUAUGUCUGGGCCGUCGAGAAUUUAUUGGAAAGAUUUUAAAUUUUAGAGCUAUAUUUGAAAAAUAGAUAUUUUUGAGAAAAUAUAAAAAUUGCACCAAAAAAAAAUUGCUAUUUGUAUAUCUUCUAGUAGGGCGUUCAUUUUAAAUCCUAUCCAUCUCAGGGACUACUCUUUUCAAUUGUUACUAUUUUUGGAUUAUUAUUUAAUCCCAUUUUUAAAACAUUAGUAAGAUUUACAUCUCUAUUUGAAGCGUACAAGUGGAAAUUUUCAUAGGACCAAAAUUAAAUGUCGAGGGAGUAAUUUCAAAUAACCCUAUAGGUAAGGGGGUUCUCCGCAUAUUUGUUUUGUAUUUUUAAUUUAAUUUUUAGAACAGAACAAGCAGUAAAUUUCAAAUACCCCAUGUGGUAUCACACUUUCUCACUCUAGCAUCCUAUAGUUUAAAGUAUAUCAAGUUAAUCCCUGUGGUUUCGCACUUCUCACUUUAGUACCCUGUGGCUUAAGUGUAUCAAGUUAGUAUCCUAUGGUUUCAUUUUUCUCUUUUUAUUAUCUAUUUCACUAAUUUUUUCGUUAAAUCAGUAACAAAGUUAAAAUUAAAGGGUACUAAAGUGAAUAUUCGAUAAACCUAGAUAAGAUAUCUGAAGUUUCUUGUAUAUAAUUUAACAAAAUACUAACGAAGGAAAAAAAACAGUGACAAAGUUAAAACUAAAGGGUACUAAAGUAAAUAUUCGAUAAACCUAGGUAGAGUAUUUAAAAUUUUUUAUAUAUAAUUUAACGAAAUAUUAACAGAAGAGCCGAUGAAGAGAGAAAAAUGAAACUACAGGGUACUAAAUUAAUGCACUUAAACUAUAAGCUAGUACAGUAAGAACGUGCGAAACCACGGGGUGGUAUUUGAAGUUUCCCCCAAAAAAACACGAGGUGUCGACAAAAUUGGGGAAAGCGGAGCAUCAGGGGUUCCACCACUCCGCGAUGGCUCCUCCGAAGAAAUCGAAGAAGCCGAAGCGAAAAUCCAAGGAUUCUGCUGCAUCUGGAAGCAGAAGCACCGCACAGAUCGGCCCCGCGGAAGCCAAAAACUUGGAGACCGAGUGGUGGUACAGCUUCUUGCAGAAGCAGAGCGAUUCCGGUAAUUUUGAUCCAUUUUUUUCGGCUCAUUUUUCGCUCUAAUCCUUCAAAAUCUCCGUGGGUUUUGUAGAUUGUAGGUGAUUCUAGCCCCCAAGUUGGUAAAUUUACUUGCUUUGAUGCGUUUUUAGUAGAAAUUUCUACUAAUUAGAUGCUUGAUUACGCCUGUCAUUCAAUCUGACAUGCAAACCAUGUGCAGUUCCAAUCUCUGGUUCAAUAUGACAUGCGAAUACGAAGGGAAAAAGGGCACGCUUUUAACCAUUCUUUGAGCUAAGGCCCGAUCUGGAUGUAGGUUUUUUUUUUUUUUUUUUUGGGUAUGAUUGGAAGGGAGGAGUUUGAUUUUUGCUCCUUGAAAGGUCUUAAGCAUCCAUGAUUUGAUAGGAUAGCAUAUUUCAACCUGCAUGCGAAAUGUUUGAUCUUAUUCCCGAAAAAAUAACUUACGAUCCUGUUUAGAUGCGUAAAUAUCUUGUUUAGUGCAUCUCCAUGAUUUACUUGAAAAGCUUGUACAUUUCGUACGUGAGAAGUGUGUUUUCAAAGUCUAAAAUUGGAUACUUUAUUCGAUAUUCAAGUUGUUUUUUUCCGGAAAGGGUAAAUCACCUCGUAUAUGAAAUAUACUAUUCUACCAAGGCGUAAAAAUCAAACUCCUUUUUGUUUUACCAUCAUACUAUAAAAUUCUUAUACCGAAUAAGUUAAUUCUUGGAUAACUUAUUUCUGACAUCCGAACAGGACCUAAGUGAAUUUAAAAAGAUGUGUUGAAUAAGAUGUUCGUGCAUCCAAACAGAGCCUGAAAUAUACUGGGAAUGUUUAUUACAAGGAGAGAACAACACUCCAUCUCUUGGUGAAUGUAUUUGCUGGUUUACGUGUAUCAUCCAUCGACUCAACACUAGAAUUUGUUUUCAGAACCUGUGCAGACUCGACUUAAACAGUCAUCAUCGUAAAAAACAAUGAUAAAUGAUCUUCUUGUAACUCUCCUCUAAUUUUUUUUAUUAUGAAUUUGGAUAUUUAUUAGUGUCUUAUCAAAUUUUCCUUCUCAGCUUUUUUUUCGGUGAUUCGUUUCUUAGUUGUGUUUUGUCUUCUAUGGUCCACAUUUUUCUGCAAUUCUGGUCUCCAAAAUGAUGCAGACAUUUGCAGCUAAUGACAUUAGAAAUUUCUCCCGAGCAAAUUUUCCUGCAAUAGAGUUGCUUGAGUAGGUCGAUAUGGUGGCGAUUUCUUGUGUUUCCGUUACAUAUUAUCUUUUCAAAACCUUUUUGCCGACCUAUUUGUGAAAAGUGUCUAUACUGAGCUACAGAUAGUAAAGCAUGUAAUGAACGGUUAGUCAAAUAAAAGAUAGAUGAUUUUUGGAAUGUAUUAGAACUAAUAGCCUUCGACUUGCUGCAAAGAUAUGUUCCUUUGUCCAUGAAUGCCUUCAAUGUGAUCAGAUAUGUUAGUUUCUUGCAGAAUGGUGAGUUAUCACUAUUGCAGUAAGCGGGUCGGUACUCAUUUCUCUUUUCCUUCUCUUUUUCUGUGCGUGAUCAAAUUGCGACGCUUCUCUUUUCUUCUUUCAGAGUAUUGUUUGAUUGUAGUUUUCCUCUCUGAAUAUUGUUCCUUUAUGAAUAGUUUUGUAGUCUUUAUUUUUUAUCUUUAUUAUAUAGGUUAGUGUUUAGGUAGUUGAGCCGAAAAAUGGGAAAACUUGCGGCGCUUUAGUAAGUGGGAUGGGACAUAUUUAUAAAUCAUUGUGUUGCUCGUAGCUUCUAAAGCACUAUCGUUUAACAUAGAACUUACAUUAGAGAUUUUAUACCAGAGACAGAUUUUGGACCUCAGACCUUUCUAGCAUGAUGCUACAGCGCUUCCUUUGCGUAUUUUAGCUGGAUAUUUAUGUCAGUUCAACCUUUCUAGCUAUUACUUUACCAUGUUUCGCUAUUGAUAGCUCGGCAGAGUGCAAGAAAUAUUAGAGCGGAAUAUGUUAAGCAACUUUUGCCUGAUUAGCUUGCCUAUUUGUAUGAACAUCUUUAUUUUCUCUCUCAAUAAAUUUAUAAAACAUUGAUUUCAAACUCAACCUACAGGAGUAACUAUUCCUCCUGACGAGGGUGAAGCAUUCAAACAUUUCUUCAGGAUAUCAAAGAAAACCUUCGAGUACAUCUGCUCUCUUGUGAGGGAGGAUUUGGUGUCAAGGCCUCCUUCCGGCCUCAUAAACAUCGAAGGGAGGCUUCUUAGUGUCGAGAAGCAAGUCGCCAUUGCCUUGCGAAGGCUUGCAUCCGGCGACUCCCAAGUGUCUGUGGGCGCUGCUUUCAAUGUUGGCCAAUCCACGGUUUCCCAGGUGACAUGGAGGUUCAUCGAGUCGAUGGAAGCUCGCGGCAAGCACCAUUUAAACUGGCCCAACCAAGCCCGAAUAGAGGAAAUCAAAACCCAUUUCGAAAUGGCUUUCGGCUUGCCCAACUGUUGUGGGGCCAUUGGCGCAACCCAUAUUAUAAUGACUUUACCUGCAAUAGAAACAUCUGAUGAUUGGUGCGACAAGGAGAGAAACUAUAGUAUGUUUUUACAAGGGGUCGUCGACCAUGAGAUGAGGUUUCUUGAUAUUGUAACUGGUUGGCCAGGAAGCAUGAGCAUCUCCCGCCUUUUGAAGCACUCAUACUUCUUCAGGCUUUGCGAGAGCGGUAAGCGCUUGAACGGGCCCGCGAAGAAGCUUGUAGAGAACGAGGAGAUUAGGGAAUACAUAGUAGGGGAUGCGGCCUACCCUCUUUUUUCAUGGCUUAUGGUUCCUUAUGAAGGUAAAAGCCUAUGUGCCUCGAUGAACACAUUCAAUGCCGGGCAUACAGCAGCGAGAUCACUCGCGUCAAGAGCGUUGUCGCGGUUAAAGGGCACGUGGAGGAUACUGAACAAGGUCAUGUGGCGGCCGGAUAAGCACAAACUGCCCAGCACUAUCCUUGUUUGCUGCUUGCUUCACAACAUUGUUAUCGACUGUGGAGAUGAAUUGGAUGCUGACGUCGCCCUACCGGAACAUCAUGACGUCGGAUAUGAGGAGCAGAGUAUGCAGCAAGAGGGUUCCUUGGGGCAGGCGAUGAGAGAGAUCUUAACAAAAUAUUUGCGGCCCAUUUGAAGCUCCUUGUUAGAAAUGAAUAUGCUUUUAUUUCUUUUGCAAAUGUUUUGCGCAAUGCUGUCGCUUAUCUUGCAAGUUUGAACUUGUUGGUUCUCGGCAAGAUGCUCAUCUGAUGCUAAAUGUUGAUUCAAUGAUAAUCAUUCUCUUCCCUACCUAUUAUUCUCAAUACUUACUACUUAUUUCCCAACCUUACAAUUGUUACAAUCUGGUCCUAAACAUUCAUGUUGUUGCGACUUCACCAUAUCGCUUAAAUUUUUACAUUGAAGUAUACAUAAUCAUCAUAUCAUUUGAUAAUUAUGUAACUGGAAUUCGACAGGAAAGGUAAGAUUGCAACAAAAAGUAAAGAUUGCGGACCGAACUGUAACAAUUGUAAUAAUAUUCAUUGAUCAUGCACAUACAUCCCUGAGAACUCAGAAUGAAAGACAUGCAAUAGCACACACAUAUUCACAUACAUGAACUGAAAACAGAAUACGGUGAGAGGCAGAGGCUGCGAGGAAGAGGAUGGCAAUUAGAGAACACGCCGAUUUGUUGCAGGAAAUUCCGUUCGACGGUUGGCUCGUAGUCGAAGGUGUGAUCUUGGAUUCAACCCCUGCAUCAGAAAUAAAAGGUAAAAAUCAUGGAAUUUCAGAGGAUUAGAUUGUAUUCAGAGUAUACCUGAUUACAUACUAAUGUUUAGUACUUUUUCAUUUUAUGUAAAUCAUCGUCGAACCUGACGUACCGGUCGGGAUUGAUGAUGUCGACGGCGGUGUGGUGCUCCUCGGGGCCGACGGUGUGGAUGGGGUCUCCUGUGCAGAGUUGGUCGGGGUCGACGGUGUUGCUGGUGCCUACGGUGUCGGGCUGGUCGCGACGCCUGGUUUGGCAGGGUUAGCGGUAGCUGCCGGAGACUCCGCUCGUGCACCUGCUGCAGCUGCGGUAACCAUUUAAAAGAACACAAUUUUUCGAUCCGAGUGCCUUCAAUUCACUUGUUAUGAAAAAAUUUACAAUGGCUUGUUACAGGUAGUGGUGUUUGAACCUCACAGGCACCCGGAAGCUCGAGGGCGCGGGUUUCGCAAAUGAUCAUGCCAGGGGAUGAAGCGGGUGGCUGAGACCGAACACUGCCCGCAAGCAUGGAGCAGCACGAGGAGGAGGGCGCCGACGUGUUGCCCGUGAGGAAGUCGAGGCAGGGGGCGAGGCCCACGAUCACAGCCGCACAGUUGGAUUGGGCCGAGGCACAGUUCGCGAGCAGUAGUCCCACUGUAGCCAAGGCUACAGUGAGCAUCGGAACGCUUGGAACCAUUCUUUCUGAUUGGAUUGGAUUGGAUUGGAUUGGAUUUCGAAGGGGUUAUAAAUAAUUUUGAUAGACGAAAAAAGGAAAGAAAAGUUGAAAUUGGGUUAGUUUUGGUGACCAACUUUUCCUACUAGAACUGUUGUGGGAUGUUGAAAGAUCCAUUUUUGUGUAUAAUAAAACUAUUAAUUAUAAGAGAUUUGAGUAGGUGGUAGUACGAUUAGUUAAGGGUAGUUAUUUUAUGUUUCCAAUAACUUUUCCGGGUGACAAAAAUUUCAAACUCCGAAAUUAAUGGAAUAAAUUAUGCUAGGAUUCUCAAAUUAGUAGCACAGUUGGUAUGUUUAUUUUAAAAAAUAUAUAAAAUGUCAUUAUAUUUUUGCAUGCCAAUUUUUUAUUUUUCAAGGUAUUGUAAUUUUAGUAGUUAUACUAUUUCUCCUCUAAAAUGGAUAAUUGAAAGUUUGGAAAUGUGAUCCACGCUGUUUAGUUUUUAGUCUUUAUGGCAAAUUUUUUAUCUUGGUACCGUCACUAUUUAGUGCAGUUGGUAAAUAUUUCUCUUUCGGGCAGCGUGAUUUAAAUUUGAUUUCUGAUUCAUGAAGGAUGCGUGCAUGUGUGUGACUCACGUACAUCUAAAGAAAAUUAAGAAAAAACCUCAUCAGUGAAUAACGAGGUUAUGUAGAGAGAAAUUAAUAUUUCCUUUUGGGGCAGAUUCGGAGUGAAUUUUAAAAAAUCUUAACCCGAGUACCAAAAUGAAAAUCCAAACUCGAACCCGAACCCAUCAGAUUUUGAAAAUUCGAAACCAAAAUCAAAUUCGACAAACAAACCGAAACCUGCAAAAGAACCAAAAAUUUGAACCCAAAAUUAAUCAUUUUUUCGCCAAAUUUUUAAAAACAUAUCAUAUGCAAAUCUAAAAUUUUAAAGUACAAAUUUAAAUUCUAUAUAUUAUAUAAUAUAAUAUCUGUUGGGAUUCGGGUUUGAGUUGAGUGGAGAUAAAAACGAUACCCUGGAACCUGAAUCCAUGGACUUUCCGUUUUUUAUACCCGUAAUGGAAACCAUACCCGUUAUAGUACUUGUUAAACGCAAAGCAGCUCUGUUCGGGUUGAGGUUCAGAUAAGAUCCUGGGUAUCCGUGCCCAUUGACAUCCUAAUUUCCUCUGUAAUGUAUACAAUUUUUUUCCCCCAUCCAAAUUAGUUCAAAUUCAAAAUCUCAGCUUGUACAUUUUAGCCAAGCAACAAUUGGCCCGGCCCAGCCAAAUUUUGAGAACCUUUGCAUCAAAUACAUGGUGCGUAGUCCAGAGUAGGGCUAGUAAUUCAGUUUGCUGUUCGUGAGCCAGCUCGGGCUUAGCUCGAAAUAAGCUCGAGGUUGAUUUAAUAAACGAGCCGAGUGCGAGCUAAAAUUUUCAGCGCGAAAUUGUAACGGGCCGAACCUGAGCUAGGUUAAGCUUGCUCAUGUAUUACACGAGUCGAAAAUAACCUGAUCGUAGCUCGCUCGUAUUAGGCUCGUUGAUAGCAUUAGUCGGAGGAUCCCACACGUGCGUUAUAAAAUUAUGUUUUCACAAAACCGUUGUAGAAAUUAUUUAUAAGAAUUGCUUUGCAGAGUUUUAUUGUAGGUUUUUUAAUCAUAUUUUAUCUUCUUUAAAAAAAAAGACUUUAAUGUAGUCUAAAAUAACAAAUAAUAUUUUUAUUCAACCAUCCAAAUUACAACAUCUACAAAAUAUAAAUCCCAAAUAUCAAGAAUACAAAACAAGCAUGAAAUAACCAAAAAAAAAAAAAGAAUACAAAACAAAACAACAACUACACUCAAACAAACGACUCAAUGUGAUAAGUAAACCACAGUACACAAUAUAAGAGACUGGAGCAGUAGUAAUCCGUAGCACUCUAGAAUACGGCAACGGAUACUAAAGCCGCAAGGAAUAAGACGGAAAUCGUCGCCGACUUUGUAGAAACCCCAUCGGAUGAUUGGGCUGUGGUGGAAGGAGUGGUCUUAGAGCCUGUUCCUGCAUUAAAAAAAAAAAAAAAAAAAAAAAAAAAAAAAAAAAAAAAAAAAAAAAAAAAAACCCUGUAAAAAUAAGUUCAAAAAUUUAUUAAGUAUUUGUUUUAAUUUUUUUAUAUUUUAUUAUUGAUUUAUUGGCACGAAGGUGACAAAAUUUAGAUUUUAUAUUAUUUUAUUUAUUGUGACCAUCGUUGUUUAGAACAGUUAGUUAUUAUCUUCUUUUUCAAACUAUAAUAUUUUUGUUUAUAUACUGCUUCGAUGUUGUGUACGCUAAUUAACUUUUAAUUUUAAAAUAUUAAUCAUUAGUAAUAGUAGGGACAAUAAUCUAAAAGUGUUCGCUCAACUAGUCCACCUACUCUUAUACGUACCCACUUAUAGACCAUUCAAACCCAUAAUUUUUUUUAAAAAAAAAUUGUGUUGCAUAAUUUAAAUUAACUUUAGUAGCCAUGCAAUUCACCUGAGGCACUUGGCACUGAGGGUGUGGUCGGCGUCGUCGGCGUCGCAGGCGUGGUAGCGCCACUUGGCAUUGUUGGGGUCUCCGGCGUGGUCGGCGUCGCCGGCGUGGUCGUAACAGGAGUUGGAGAAGCAGUCGGCGAUGCAGCCGGUGCGCCGGAAACAGCUGCCACAAUCAAAAUCAUUCCUCCAAUUUUAGCCCAAAUUCAACUCAAAUUCAAAAUUCUUAGCGUAGAUUCAGAUGUCGGAAUAAGUUAUCUCAUAAUAAUUCGCGCUUGCUUACUAUAUAUAAAAUUUGCUAUUGUAGUAGAUAUCUUAACAUUAAGAGAUAUACCGAAUAAUAUGUUCAUGCAUAUAAUGUGAGAGAUUUGAGUUUACGUACCGUUGCAUUGGCUAACCGGCGGGGUUUUGACUUUGCAGGCACCGGGGAGCUCGAGUGCGCGAGUGUUGUUGAUAGCGACACCGAGGGACGAGGCGGCGCCACCCAGCACGGCACAGAGGCACUGCGGCUGAGACUGCAGGAUGCUGGAAAGCGCCGAGCAGCACGGCGAGCCGGGGACGGAGGUAUUGCCCGUCAUGAACCCUAGGCAGGGCGCCAGGCUGAUGAUCGCCGUCACGCAGCCCGUCUGCGCCACGGCGUAGCGGGCCGAGAGGAUCGCAGUGGCGACAGCGAAGGCGAGGCCUAGAGACAUGAUUUUGUGGGCCAUUUUGGGGGAUGAUAACUUUAUAUGAAAGUGUGUAUCUAGUGAGAGUGUGUGAGAUGUUGUUGUAGAGUUUGUGUUUGUGUUGUGAUUGUGGAGAGGGGGGGGAUUGAUGGAUUAGGGUUUAUAAAGAGGUAGGGCGGUGAGGGUGCAAAUUGGGAACCAAAUUGGUGGCCAACUUUUUCUACUAACAACUCUAUUUGGACUUUGAAAACAUUUUGGAGGGAGAGUGUGGUGGCAACUAAUAAUUCUCAAGUAAAUUAUUGCUUAUACCCGGUGCAUCUAAAAACUUCUGUCAUUCAUUCCAUCUCAUCCUUCAAUUUGUACAGUCUUAACUGUUAUCAUAGCUCAUCUAGUUUUUAGAUCAGAAAGAGACUGUAACUCAGUGUGGGGCUGGAGAUUGAAGUAUAAGAUGACACAGAUGAUGGGGAUAAUAUGUGGUGCGUAGAGUAUGUAGACGCACCGGGUGCACGAAAGGAUUUUCAGAGGGGUGUUGGUAGGGAUAAGCUUUGUUUUUUUUAUGGUUGGCCACCAUCUCUCCUGCCCCCUUGCUUGUUCCAACUAGAAUAUUCCUAAUUUUUUUUUUUACUACUAUUAUUUGGACAAAAUUAAUUUCAAAAACUAUUUGGACAAAAUUUUAUGAGAAAGCUCUCCUAUAAUUAUUAAUAUAAGUGUUAAUAAUAUAUUAAUAUUAGUCCUCAAAAUUAUUUUCUUCUACCCGAAAAAGAAAUAUGAUAAUUUUAGGUUAAUAAAUUAUUCUUAUAUUUUUGUGCAUGAUGGAAGCUAUUUUAUUUUUAAUUAACUGUUUCAAUUAUCUGUUGCAUGAAAUGCUUUCCAAUAAAUAUUUUGCACUUGGACUAAUCCAGUCCAUGUGUGAUGUGGUAAACCAAGUCCAAUAAGUGUUUCUCCUACCAAUCUUGCAAAAAAAAAAAAAAAAAAAAAAAAAAAAAAAAAAAAAAAAANCUUUUUUUUUUUUUUUGUCUAAAUAGAGUUUAGGAAGGGAGUGCUCACCUACUUUGCUUUCCUUUUAUUUCAGUGAUAGAACAUUCCAAAUGUAUAUUAUGAAUUUAGAUACCAAAUUUUAUAUUUUUCAAAAUUAUUUGUGUAGUGACCGAAAGUUCUCAAAAUCGAUAAAUUUAAUGACUGAUGUAAUUCGAGUGUAAGAAUAUAUGGUGUUCAACAGCCCAACUUAGAUAAAUUUUGAUUUUUUUUUUCACUAUCUAGAAUAAGAUCAGUACUUCUACUUUAAAAUUUAUUUUUCAUUAUCAUUUUAAAUAAAAUUUUUAUUUUUCAGUUAUUUAUUUUGAGACCACUUAGUCGUUAGAUAAGAAACGUUAACAAACCGUAAUAUUUGAUUUCAGAUACUUUCAAUAAUAUAGACUAUGCCUAUUAAAAUUAAUCGUGGAUUCAAAUGUCUUAUCAUUAAAACAAAGCAUAAAAAAAGACCUCAAUUUUGACACUAUUAAAGAUAGGGCUACACUAUUACGUACUUGACCAGUUCACCAUUAAGGUGGAUUAGGUAAACUGGUUAAUUAAUCCUUUAAUAAUUGAAGCAUUUUGUCUAAAUUCUUAAUUAAUUGUGCUUUAUAUGCAAUCAUAUCUUAUAAUAAUAGUUAUAUUAAUCAGAUAAUCACAUAUAAUUUUAAUUGUACCAAUGCAUGCAUGUGGUUGCUACAAAGAACUGUUAAAUUAUUGGUUUGGUGAAAGAGGCUCACAUGAAGCUCAUUAUCGAUAAGAGGAGACAAGGAAAUGAUUAAAUAAUAAUAUUCUUUAUUAAUUUUACAUGUAAUUAGUGACAAUUAGGGUUUAACAUGCCAAAACUUUACGUCAUUAGCUAUGUUUAUGUGCGUAAACUAGUUUAUAUAUAUAAAAAUGUGGAACUAAUUAAAAGUUUACCUAAAAAAACUCUUGCUAAGUGAAACACUCGAAAUAGAUUUCUGAGGUCCAAAAAUAUUAAUUCUAAUUAGGAUAUAGUAUUGUUUCAUAAAGUUUUAUUUACAAAACAACUGCAUCAUACCCAUUUGAAUAAUUGGGCGCCACAUUUUUAUAUAUAUAAACUAGUUUACAGAAAAAAAGAUAGCAUAUUAUAUGCUCCGUUCAUAUUUUUAAGAAAUGAAUUUAGCUGAAAAUUCGAAUUUAAAACUUCGGAAACCAACCAUUAAACCUUUUGCCGAUUAUGUUUCAUAAAGUUUUUAUUUACAAAGGGUGGCAUCUUUGGUUUUCUUUUUCCUCUUUUCUAAUAUACUUUUUAAUAUAUUAUUUAUUCUUCAAAAAUUAGUUUCAACUAUUCAAACUUUACAUAAUUAUUUUAAAAAAGUCAUCUAAAACUUUUUUUUUAAAAAUAAACUAUAUAUUUUAUAAUUAAUUAAAAAUAUUUUUAAAAUAAAAUUACAAUACAAAAAAAAUAAAAAUGUACUAAAAUGAACUGGCCCGUAACUCGGCCCGACCCGGCCCGGCCCGGUUCGGGCAGUGGCCCAUGUUUGGCCAUAGCCCAACAAAAGGUCACCCGGACUGGCCCGGCCCGGAUGUUAUUUUGGGUUGGGCCGAGCCACCUUGUGGCCCGUUCCGGCCCGAAAUAUCUGGGCCAUGCCAAUCUGACGUGGCCGAGAUUACACCCCUAUGGACUUGAUCGUUACAUUUUAUAUGAGAGCCGAUUCAUUAUGAGAUGGAUCUCAUAUAGCCUGGUGAUCUUAGGCUACAGAAGCACUAGAAAAUUAGAUCCCGACUAGAAUAUCGUGAACUAGAGAAGAGGAGUAUGAAACCACAUAAUUAAUUUUAUUUUUAAAUAGAGAUGGUCAUUUGUUCCGCAGGGUCUCUGAUACAUUUUAUUUAUUUAUUUAUAGGGGUUAUUGGGUUACACAUAGUUAGAAUUACACUGCAGUUGUAACUGUAUGCAAAUCUAAAUCUAAUGUUUCUUUUGAUACAUUUGAAUUCAAUUGCUACAGUUACAAUUUCACGAAAAGGCUCAAUUGCAAUAGUUGAAACUGCAGCUAAAUUAGUCGUAGUUCCAACUGAAGCACUUGAAAAGAGUGAUUUUAAAUAUAGAUAAGCUUAUCUCCCUAAUAAAUAUUUGUUUUUUCUUUCCUACAUAGAGGGUAAUCUCACCCUCUUAUAUAGAAAAAAAGAUAGAAAUUCGUAAAUAUACUUCUCAACUAUACGCAACCAAAUAAAAUAUUUAUAACUGCAACACUCUUCUGCAUGCAAUCAAACAAGAUGCAUAUAAUUAUAAUUACUGCAUUCCAAUUGUAUACACUUUUAACCUUACUACGUACAUUUAUAAUUUUGUCGGACCCUCUUCGUUUCUCCAUAACUAAUUUUUAGAUUGAAUUGAAGUUCAUAUGGAAAUUUUUUUCUAAACCGCUGCUUGCUUGAUAGAAAGUGAAUGGCUUCAAAAGUGUCGCUACUAUCCCAAUUUUUUUUAUUGUUUUAUUAAAAAUUUCGACACUAAUACCUAAAAAGGUGAAAGAAAAGGGCUUUUUUAUAAAAUAACCCUCCAAAAUUUAAAAAUUAGAGAAAUAAUCCUGUCAAAAUUUUAUUUGAAAAAAUAACACCCAUUUUGCCACGUAAGGGUCACGUCAGAUUUUUGCUAUGAAUGCGGUGAAUCAUUCACCGCCUUCACAUACAUAUAAUGAAGGCGGUGAAUAAUUUACCACCUUUAUAAUAUAUAUGUGAAGGCGGUGAAUCAUUUAGUGCAAAAUACUUCAAAUUUAUCGAAAUUUGUCUAAGUUCUGAAGUUAAACACAGAUAAGACGAUGAAUCAUUCACCGUCUUCACAUAUAUAUUAUGAAAGCGGUGAAUGAUCAUUCACCGCCUUCAUUAUAUAUAUAUAAAGACAGUGAAUCAUCCGCCGCCUUUAUAGCAAAAAUCCAACGUGGCGAAAGGAGGGUUAAUUUUUCAAACAAAAUUUUGAUAGGAUUAUUUUGCUAAUUUAAAAUUUUUGGAGGGUCAUUUUAUAAAAAAGCCCGAAAGAAAAUUACAGUUGUUAAUUUUUUAAUUUUUUGUUUCUAUUUUUUAAUCUCUGAUAAUUGACUUCGACGUAAUCCUAGACAAAGUAAUUUGCGGCAUUUUUAGAAUUUAACUUAUGUCGAAUCAAAUAACAAAAACACAUAUUUACGACUAAAAAUAAUUUUAGUUCCCUCCACUUUUCGUUAAACAAACAUGCUCUGGACUUAGCUCCGAGUCUAAACUCGGUAGCGACUCAGUUGGGUUUCGUUCACGAAACCCAAAUUGAAUCCGAACCUAACCCGAACAAAUCGACCCUUGCGGUUUCGUCCAAACAAUGCCAAGAAAUUUGCACUCGCGGUCGCAAACCAACCACACCUAACCAUUUUGGACCCUGUCGAAUUCCCCGAGCCACUAAAUUUCCGCCACGUGUAGCUUUAAUUCUCACGCUAACGUAUUCAUUUCUAAAAGCUUAGGUCCCAUACACAUUCCCACCUAACUUAAGCCGUUACAUUUUUCACAAGUAAUCAAAAAUUAGCUAUAGUCGCUAACUACCAUAACCAACCCUCAAUCUACCUCAAAUUUCAUCAUACACCCUCUUACUAUAUAUAUAUAUAUAUAUUAUAUAUAUAUAGACACACACACAGGAGUACUUAUCAUCUUUAACAAGUUCUCAUAGUACAAAAAUUUCAUUAAUCCCUCAAAACUUAGAUCAAGAGAUAUGGAGUUCAUUAAGCAUAAUGUUAGGGAGAUAAUGCUUCUACUAGCCGUGAUUUUAGUUUUUGGGGCUGCGCCGAUCUCCGGGCAGGUCGCGUCGUCGUGCACGAGCUCCCUCAUUUCGAGCUUCACUCCGUGCUUCAACUUCCUCACCGGGAGCACCAACGGCGGCGGCAGCGGGUCUCCGACCACCGACUGCUGCAAGUCCCUUGCUGGGGUCAUUACCAGCAGCACCAGCUGCAUGUGCCUGAUACUGACAGGAAAUGUCCCUUUUGGCCUACCAAUCAACCGGACCCUGGCCAUCUCGUUGCCGCGGAUCUGCCGCUCGAUGUCGGUGCCCCUGCAGUGCAAUGGUUCGAUCAUUUCGACUCGAAAUCUCUACGAAUUUUUUCAGACGUAAUGAAUUUGGCCGAGUUUUCUCUUAAGUGACAAAUUUUUAUUUUUAUUCUUAUUUGUGUGUUGCAGAUGUUGCCACUCCACUUCCUGGCCCAGGUACUCUUCUUUAAAUUGUGAUAGAAACAUUUACACUUCUCCCCAAAACCUUAUAAAUAUUUACAUAGUAGCCCCUAACUGCAAUCCACAUUUUGUAACCUAACAGGUUCUUCUAUUGCAUUUGGACCUGCACUUCCCCCACUAGGUAAGAUUUUUUUUUUUUUAAAAAGUUUGAAAUGGUCAUAUGACAAUAUACACUAACAUUUUAUUUUUUUUUCAAAAAUGUUCGAAUUGAUCGAUGCAGCACCGACGCCACCACAAUCGUCGAUUCCUCCUCUAACCACAUUCUCACCACCAGAGGCGACUUCCCCAUCCCCCUCGUCGUCGGUCGAGCCCGUGGCUCAAUCACCGACCACUGGAGAUCGAGGAGUAAACCAAGGCCAACGACCGCUCGUGUUAUCGAGCUCGGCGACGAAACACUCCCAAUACUACUUAGGGUUUACUGCACUUUUCAUGUUUGUGUUUAGAGUGGUGGUUUUCUGAAUUAAACGAGAUUAGAGUUGCAUAUUUAUCGGUGUUCGCCGAGUGAUAUACAUACAUACAUACAUACAUACAUACAUAUAGAUUUAUAUAAAUAUAUAUAGGGAGAAAAGAGUGUUAUUGUUUGUUGUUGUUAUUGAUAUUAUUUUGGAUUGUAAUUAUUUCUGAUAUAUUGAUAAUAUAAUUGGUUUGAUUUGUUUAAGUUUUCGCAUCUUGAUUGGAGUUGCGACUUUGUUCUAAUAUCAUGAUAAAUAAUAUCAAAUAUAUAAUGUUUUUCAGAAGUUAAAGCUAUUGGAAAAGAGAUUUUUAGUGGUUUAUAUUCAAUAGAAUCUUUUCAAAAUCACAUAAAAUUUAUAUAGUAAAAGAAAGUGACAGUCAUACUUAACAAGUUGUAAUUAAAUUUAAUAGCUUUGUUACGUACAUUUCUCAGUUAAUUAUAUAUAAUAGUACUAAAAAACUAUUAUAUUUAAUUCAUAAAAACUUUAAGUAUUUUAAAAUUAUGUUUGACAAAUUGUGAUCCUUGAUUUAAUUGCUCUGUAAUUUUGAAAGAAUUAUAAAAUGUUACAAUUCACACUAUUAUAGCUUUGGCUCUGUUUGAAAUUAUAGAAAAAUUUCGUUACAUGUAGCGAUCAAAAAAAAUAAAUAAAUUAUAUACAGUGAGAAAUUACCGUAAAUAAGAUAUAUUAUUUAUAUCUUAAAAAAAUAGAAGUAUAUCUUCAUAUGCUUUAGUUCCAAUUUGAUUUUGCUAAAUAACAUUAGGUCGCCCUUGAUACCAAACCAUUCAUUAUAUGACUUUUAAAGGUAAAAAUAUACAAAACUUAUUUGAACUAAUAUUUAUUUUAAUACAACAACUUAUGUGCGUGCGCGCGUGUAAUCUUACACUCUUCGCAUCUAAGGGUUCACAAAACUCUUUUGAACUUUAGUUUAAAAAAGAAAAAAAAAAUGUUCAUAAGACUAGAAGGCGGAUACCGGACUUUGAAUAAACGUAUAUAAAUCUUACACCAAAUUUAGAGGUAUACAGAUAGCAUUGCUCUUAAAAUAUGUUUGGUUUAAAAUAUUUGAGACUUAAAAUGAGAAUCGAAAUAAACCAUUUUCAUUGUUAGUGCUUGGAUUAAAGGAUUGAAUUUCGAUUUUUAUUUAAGAGGAUUUAUUUGAAUCCUUCAAAAGUGACUCCCACUUCCAUUGAGUGAUUGAAAAAAAAAAAAAAAUCACUAAUAAAUUAUUUGAAUUUAAAUAUAAAUCAUAUAAAUUCAUUAGAUUAAAUUAUAACUUCAAAUUUAAAUAUGAAAUAUUAAUUUUGAAUAUAAAUUCUAAUUUUUAAAUUUUUAAUUUAUAAUUCUAAAUUUAAAUUUCGACUUGGAUCUUGAAUUUGAAUUGCAAAUUCCAAUUUUAAUUUCAAAUUGUUAUUUCAAAUUUAGAUUCAAAUUUUCAUUAAAAUUUUGAAUAACAGAUUUAAAUUUUGAUAAAAAUGUAAAUUUUUUAAUUUCAAUUUGAGCAUGAUUAUGAUUAUGAUUCCGAUUCUUUUUAUGAAACAAACAAAUUAUUGUUUUAUCAAUUCCAUUUUCGAUUUCAGCUCAUUUCCAUUCCUAUUCCCAUUUCGAUUCCUCUUCUGAAUGCCCUUAAAGUAACCAAUAAGUCAAAAUUUUGCACCAAAAAAAAAAAAAUCAUAAAAUGAUAUAAAUUAAAUAAAUUGGAAAGAAUAGAUGUGAAAAUUAAAAUUUUAAAAAGUUUAGACAAUCAGAUUAGAAUGGGCUAUAAUUAAAGAUAAGAUCAAUAAAAUUUUGUCCAAAUGGCCUUUUUAAAGAGCAAUUAGUUGUUGACCAAACCUCAGCAAUGAUUUCACUUUCCAUAAAAAUCAAAAGGAUGUGUUGACCAAGAAAGGAGGUAGCAUCCAAAUUCACCAACAAUUUAUCAAACUACUCUAUUGUGCAAUGUUGCCCAAAAGAUUAUUCCCCUACUAAGAAAUAAUUUAAAAAGAUUUUUAAUAUUCCUGAUAACUUAUCAAACUGAUAUUAAAUAAAUCAUGUCAUGUGCAUUAAGAAAAGAAAUAAUGUCAGAUGUAAUAACCAAGAUUUUUAUGUCACUAAUAGCCAACUACUCAUCCAAAAUUUAAAAAUCGGUUUUCUUUCAAAUAGUAAGGCAGUGUUUGGAUUUGGGAUAAGGGGAGGGAUAACCCCUUAUCCACCUUUAUACCCAAACGCAAAUUUUUUAUCCGAAAAUAGUAAUUUUCGGGUACCUAAAAUAAUCUGGUAUAACUAUGUCCACCAACAUCUUCAUUUUCUAUAUAUAACUAUCCACUAUUUUUCUUAUUCCAUAUUAUCUAUUCAAACGCUAUUUUUCUUAUCCUCGGAAAUAACCCAAUUUUCAUCCAAACGCUAUUUUUCUUAUCCCCAUACUUGUAUCUAUCCCUGUAAUAGCUAAUUCUUGCUUAUACCUGAACCAAACGCUAUCUUUAAUGAAUAAGAUUGAUUUACCGACCAUACUUAGUACAGAUGGCGAAAGUUUUUGAGUUCGAAUUACGCCAGACUCACAUCAUUAUUGAUUUUCUUUUAUUUAACUCAAAUCACAUCUUGGGCCUAAUAAAGUCUCAAACCUAAACAUGAGAGAGAUAGUUCUCUGCACGCUGUAACUUUUGUUGAUAUUUAUAUAUCUAGCUGAAAUAAUUCCCAAAAAAAGUAAACGAAAAAGUUAUUAAGACUAUCGACAAAAUCUAAGCAAGACUAAAUGAAUAUAAUUUGUCUACAAUAAAAUAAAACUGACUCAGUUAAUAACUUUAAAUCCUUUCCGUAUAAUAUUCCAAGUUGGUCAACAUUUGUUCUCCUCCAAGAACAAGCAACUCCUUAAUUUCAAUGUACUAGUAGAACAGUCAUAUUUAAAUAUAAACCUCCUUAGAAUCACUUACACUCAAUCAAACAAUUUCGUUGCAAAGUAGGAGAAACCGUUCACCAACAAAACCCCACCUCCUCGUACACCCCCCCCCCCCUUAUAAAAACCCCUCAACCUUAAACAUAAUUCACCACCCCAACACUCAAAAGCAAGCCAAAUUAACCAAAUAUAUAUCUCUCUUAGCUUUGUUUGUUCAAAAUGUCUCUCAAAAUGCUCGCGCUGUUCUUACCAGUUCUUGCCGCUCUGUCGGUGGUUCCGAGCGCGUCGGCGCAGUCGAGCUGCACGGCGGCGCUGGUGAGCCUGUCGCCGUGCCUGAACUACAUCACGGGGAACGAGAGUGAGCCGUCGAGCUCGUGCUGCUCGCAGCUCGCGACCGUCGUCCAGGCGGAGCCGCAGUGCCUCUGCCUGGUGCUCAACGGCAGCGCGUCCUCGAUCGGGAUCGCCGUCAACCAGACGCGCGCCCUCGGCCUCCCCGCCGCCUGCAAGGUCCAGACCCCGCCCCUCAGCAAGUGCAGCAGUAAGAACACCCCCGGGAACACUUUGAAUUGAAGUUGUCUGCGUAGUCCCUCUGCUAUCCUGAUAUUGCACUUCGAACCAUGAACUUUUCCGCAAUAUCUGGAUCAUUUUAGGGACUAUGCAUACAUUUUACCCCUUCAAUUGCUCAAACUACUAAUGUUAAAUGCAAUUUUUUUUUAAAAAAAAAAGGAAAUUCUUAUUAAAUUUUGCUAUGAAAUCUUUAACAGCAAAUGGUGCACCCACUGCUGCUCCAACCACACCAUCCACAACCACCCCAUCAACGCAAAAUGCUCCUGCAGUAAACUCUCCACCAGGUAAGAGAAUUUACUAAAUAUUAAUGAAUUAAUUACUAAUUAGAGGAUAAAUGAGGGAUUAAAUCCAAACUAUUCCCCCUUUUUCUACCCAAAAAAAGAAAAGAGAAAAAAGCUUAGGGAUGGUUAGUCUGGUCAAAAAUCUGAUUUUUCUCUCAGUUGGCCUGGAAUUUUUAAAAGAUACAACCAAGAGAAUAAGAAUAGUAAUCCUAUUUGACCUUCUCAUGGAAAAAGCUUGUCCUAAAAGUUAACAUCAGACAAGAAAACUCAGAUAUUCCAACAACAAAAAAAUCUAGAAGCAUUUGCACUAAAAUCCCUCAAGAGCUUCUCUCUACAGCAGAAUCAGAAACUACAUAUUACAGCUACUAGUUUUUGGAGUUCAAUAUCUAGUUUCAGCUUUUCACUAGAACAGCAUCUAUAGACUUUUCUAGCUGCAAAACAACUACAGUUAAAAGUAGAAACAGAAGUGCAACGAAAGAGGAAUUUACGAACAUUGAACCUCGGUGCAGGUGAAGGUGGAUCGAAGACAGUGCCGACGUCAGCCGGAAUUGCUCUUCAAACCCCGGCCCCUUUCAUCUUCUCCCUUCUCUUUGCUGCGGCAUUCGCCUCCUCGGCCUUUUAGACCUGCUUCUUGUUCAGCUGUUCUUAGGAGAUACUGUGACAUGUUAGAUGCAUCAUUUUGAUUCAUUUGGAUGUAUGGAUUACAUCCUAUGUUUAUGUUUGCUUUUGUGAGUGUGCUUUAUUUUUGAGCUUAUUUCAUUUGUACUACAUUACUUAUAGAUAAUAUUUCUUUUCCUUCAAUAAUAAAUCAACACAGUUUACACUUACAAAGACAUUUCAAAAGAAAUCAUGUAUCAGGAAACCAUAAUAAGCAGGUAAACAAAAGAUUACUGCAGUACGGAAAAAAAGAAGAAAAAGAAAGGUGCCGUAAAUGAUUAAUUAACUGUGAUUAGUAACAGCCAAAAUGCAAACAAUAAUUUCUUCUGAAAACUUAUUUUAAAGAUCAACAACAUGUAUGGAAAACUUCAAAAAGCCCCCUUGUAGCCUAAUGCAUUUGCAGUGUAUGACCUUGCAAUUUACAGCUUCGCACUUUGCCACUAAAAUAAUAACUUUAGCUAAAUUUUAUGAACCACAAGAUAGCACGAUGUGACACUUUAUUAUCUUAUGAUAUGCAGUUCACCAUCCCGUAAUACAUAAAAAAAUAGUCUAUAUGGAACAAACGCAAAAGCAGCAAACCAAUAUAGAACUACCGAUUUGAAACACGGAAUAGUAAACUGCAAAUGUGCUGAUUACAGAGGGCCAUCCACAAGUUCGUCAGCGUGCCAUAUCAUUCAUAUAAGUCACUUAAGUAUGAUGGCAAAAUUCUAUCAAAGUAUAAAUGAGGGAAUUUAUGCCUAAGCAAUCAGCUAGUCAUGAAGCUAACUUUCGCAUCAGGAAAUGAGAAAAUCCCCUAGCAUUCUUAUCAUGUACAGGGAUAUGUGAGCAUCGACAGUGAAAUAGAUCAAACUAUGCGCUUCAAAAUUCAUUAGCUUCAAAUCAUUCAUGGCAAGUAAAAUAAGAUGUAGAAUAACAGAUAAAUAAUCAAAAAAAGAAAUAAUAGAAUCAUCAACAUCAUACCAGUAAAAGUUGAUAUUUGCGAAAUUCUUUGCUAUUCAGAACAAGACAUCUAUUAAAGUUUCCUCAGAAACUAAAACCAUGAAACAUGAGGACACCAAAUGCAUAAAUAUUGAAGUUUACAGGACAGUUAUAUUUUCGCCAAUCAAUAUAUUUUCGCAUCACUAAAUGAAAGACAAGAAGGAAUGUUUACAGAAGAAAGUUUCUCUGAAAGAAAGCAUGCUUGUUUACAAACAGUCCAGAUGUUCCGUUCUGUAUGAAUUCGCAUCCCUACAUUCAUUUGAAUCUAUUGAAAAGUCCGUUCAUAAGAAGACAGAAAUUAAGUUAAACCAGAUCAAACACUUUUAACUUAAUCACUCUUGAUGGAUUUACGCCAAGCGUACUCUCUCGCGCCGUCCUUGUCAACAAUCUUUAUCACGAAGUUCGGUGGGGCGAUGACCAACCUAGAUCGGAUUUCCAUUAUGCACUUGUCAACCAAAUCGAUAGCCUCUUCUAGAGACAUACCACUGUGGUAGUGCCGGUCCAUCAUCGACAAGCAAAAGUAGGAGCCGUAGCCGAAUGCACCCUUCUCGAUCUUGUGGAGUGUUGCUAUGUAGUCAAUGUAGUAGAGAGACGGGCCAAUGUCCUUAUCAUAGCCCGCCAAUAAAAUAUUGACAGAAUACGGAUUCUGCCAAAACAAAGCAUGAAAUCAUCAACCCUCAAAUAACUCAACUGAAAUAGCAUAAGAUUGAAAAUAUAACAAAAACACACAUAAAGUAUAAAACCAAAUAAGUUGUGACAACUGCUAGCAAAAGAGAGAAUUUUGGGGUUAAAAAGUUCUGUGCUCCAGGGGUUAAUCACUAUAAAUGCCAUGACUAAAUCAAACAGAAAGAAUAAGAUUUCUGUGUGGACAGACGCCAUCUACUGCCUUCUUUUUUACUAUCAAGCGAAACUUAAUGAGUUUCAUACCAACUUUCAUUUAAAACCACAAGUAACAACUAGAAAUAAAACUGUAGCGGAUAAAGUCAAUAGUUAGCAUUGUAUCUCGAGAGGUAUAGUAUUAUGUAGACAUCAGAUCCAAUAGAUGGAAGCCAGAGAAAAUAAUUUUCUCAAACAGAACUUAUAGCGGAGUUACAGAGAAGCAAGAAUAUAUCAGUUGCCAUAACUAAUAGAAUUUUGAUAGGUAAUUUGUUAGUACAACACAAAAUUAUGGACUGACAAAGGGCACUAGAAAAAAAGUAGUGCCACAAAAUUUGAAGAUUAUCAGGAAAAACAAAUCAAAAUAAUUCCAGUUCAACACCUUCAACUCAGGAAUAAUAAUACCAACAUGAUUCAAGUAUUGACGACGGUAAACAACUUUAUUAAAUAGGACCAAGUAUGACUUGUACAGUUCCCAGUACCUCUGGAAAAUCUGUUAUUCUCAUGUAGCUAAAUUGAGCUUAGUUGACUCUAUGGUGAGAUUUUGUCAAAAAUCACUUAAAUAAUGAAAAGGAAAUGUACUAUGACAAUAGUGAUAAUACUCAGAUAGUAAGUAGAAUCUAACAAAAGAGUAAAAAGAAUCAAAUCAUAUACUGGGCCUUGCUGUAAGGUCAAGUUAUUUCAACGCCAUCGGUACAAUAGUUGGUGUUCAGUAGGGUCUUCCGUAGGCUACUCCUAGAGAAAAUGUUUGACAAACUAGAACUUAAUAAUAAAAUAGCAUACAGCAUAAAAAAGUCAAUAGUAACAAAUCACAUGAUAAGCAAGUAAUAGAUAUGUGCUAAUCUAGAAUCAGCACAAAAGGGAAUGGUAGAUGCCAAGUACUGAAAAUGUUAAUUCUUGAUGAAACGAGCUAUGUGACCUGAGACAACUACAAGAACUACACAAUACACACACUAUCCUAGAAAAUCACAAGUGGGCCUCCAAUAUUCGAAAUGGCAACUAGCUCAAUCUUUUACCAGUUGAAAACAACUCAUUAUCAAUUAUUAAGGACCAGAAAGAUUACCUACGAUGCAGGCAAAAAUGUUAACAUGAAAUUUGUGCCUCAAACCAAAAACUCAAAUAUUAUCUAAAUAUCAAACAAAUGCAACUCUAAUGAAAGUUACAGGAGAAAGUAAUACGCAUUGCGUACAACAAUACACAGGCUAAGUGAUGGUUGAAAGGAAAAUUAUGAAUCUAGAAGUUACUAUGACCAACACAUGAAAUUACUUGUGUUUCUCAUCCCAAUGAAAAGUGUGAAUGAUCCUCCCAUCCAGAAUACUAAUUAACAAUGACCGAUGUGAUAAUGUCGUUCAAGAAUCAAUGCUCCAUAACUGAUAAGCUAUAAUAGAAGCAAUAAGAGUCUAGAUGAUUAGUUGCCAGAUCAAAAAGAUCUCAUUUUCCCCUUAAACCACAAAGAAACUAAACAUAUACUAAUACCCUGCCUCACUGUGUGAUAUCUUUCACUCUAGUAUUUUCUCUAUUAACACAAGACGAAUAUUAGGUUGGAAAAAAAUCCCUAAAACUCAAACAAUACAAGCACUUUAGAAGAAGCUAAAAAGAGCGAUUCAAGAUUGAAACCCUAGAUCUCAAAAUCAAACCACUCAAGCGGUUCACCAAAUUUGAUCUACGCAAACAUAAAUGGUACAAUUCCUAACUCAAGAUUAAAACCCUAGAUAUUCAAGAUCAAUCAAAAGAAUAUCAAAUUGCCUCAAAAAUAACAAAUUCCACACAAAUCGUGGGGCCAGAGAUUCCAAAUUCAACAUUCCCAAGCAAUGCAGCAAAGUUGAUCUACAGAAACAUAAAAGCAACAACCAUUUUAAAUUUCCGCCACUCCUACCUUAAGAUCAAUACUCUAGAAAUUCAAGAUCAAUCAAAAGAACAGCAAAUUGCCUCAAAAAUGCCUAAUCCCACAGAAACCGUGGGGGCUAAACCACAAUUCUCGAAACAGAUCGCAAUCAAACCGGAAAAAAAAAAAAGGAAAAAAAGAAACUACCUUUCGGAGGGCAGUGGCGAGCUCGCCGCGGGUGAAGUUGGCGGCGGCGGCGGUGGUGAGGGGGAUGCCGUUGCGGAACUGGUAGAGGUGGACGUUCUUCUGGAUGUACUCCGUAAACUGCGCCCUGCGACCAAUCGCAUCGAGAUCGAGAUCGAGAUCGAGAGAUCGAGAUCAAACACAAAAGAGAGACGAAGAUGACGAUGAUGAUGAUGAUGAUGAUGAUGAUGAUCGGGUUAGGGUUAGGGUUAGGGUUAGGGUUAGGGUUUAAGGGGAACGAACCGGUCACCGGCCUCGCCGGAGGCGCCGAGGAGCUUGUGGGAGUCGAGGAGCAUGACCUUGUCCUCGUCGGACUUGUGGACGAGGAUGCUGUGCACCGCGGAGCUGUCGGCUGCGACCACGGCGAAUCCGUCGCCCACGAGGCCGAAGACGCACUCCAUUGCUGGAGCUUCGCGAGAUCGAGAGGAGGAGGAGGAGGAGGAGAGGGAGAAGGUGAGCGAGAAGGGAGUAGGGUUUCGCUCUAUUUGAAGAGAAAGUAUACACACACAACACAAGGCCUACUUUGGCUACAAGAAAAGGCUCGGGUAAAUUUGUAUAAAGACACCUCAACUACGAGCUAUUUAUAAAAUCGGCCCCUUUCAAAAAUUUUUGGAAUUAAAUAAUUUUAAUUUUUUAAAAUUUAAGAAUUUUAAUUAAUAAUUCUAAAUCUAAAUUAAAAACCCUAUUGCAUCAGCCAUAAUUAGUGUAAAUCAUUAGAAGGUAAAAAUUAGUUUAUUUAGCAACUAGUUUAUCUUGACCUCAAAAAAAACUUUUAAGGGUUUUUUUAUUUUUGUGUGGAUGCNUUGGUACUAUCAAUAAUAUAGUAGUCGAACUCUCUCUCUCUCUCUAUAUGUAUAGUCCUACUAUUAUACUCUUAUCAGUAUAGACCCUUUUAUACUCACAAGUUUUCGGCCGUUAGAUCUACCCCCUUGACUAUUUUAACCCAUUAGAUCAUAUUGUGCAACCAACCAUCCACUCAACUCUAGGGAACUACUAUUAUUAUAUAUAUAUAUAUAUAUAUAGAGUCCGGCUACUAUACUAUCGGUAGCACGGAACGCUCCGUGCUACCAAAUUGUUUUCGAUGAUGCGGUUUUCAAAUUGACGAUCGGCUCCGUUAGACUUGAUCUACACUAUUGAAAGUGUUUGAAAGCUAAAUUUCAAAUUUUUUCGACAUUAUUUGACUAGUGAUCAAACGAUCUCAAAAUUGAUAAUUUUAAUAGCCGAUGUGGUGUGUUUGAGAGUUUAACGGUAUAAAACAAUCUAAAUCCGAUGAAAAUUUUAUAAAAAAUUCUUUUCACUAUUUAGAGUAAGAUCAGUAUAUCUGAUCUUGAAUUUAAUCUGUUAUCAUUAUUUUUUAUGAGAUUUUUAUAUUCAGCCGUUCAAUUUUAGACUACUUGUUUGAUAAGUAAAUGGUAUCGAAAAAUUAUGAAAUUUAGUUUCUAAAUACUUUUAAUAGUGUAGAUGAAGUCUAACGGAGCCGAUCAUCGAUUUGGAAGUCGCAUCAUCGAAAACAACUUGGUAGCACGGAGCGCUCUGUGCUACCGAUAGUAUAGUAGCCUAGCUCUCUCUCUCUCUCUCUCUCUCUCUCUCUCUCUAUAUAUAUAUAUAUAUAUAUAUAGUUCGGCUAUGGUGCUUGUAAAUGUACCAACUACUUGGUACUUGUAAGUUUUUACCGUUAGAUCUACGUCUUUGAUCAUUUUUAACCAUUAGAUUAUACUAUUUAACCAACUACCCACUGAACCCUAGGGGGCCCACAUCAUCCUCACCGUACAUCCCUUAAUCCAAGGACCGAAAACUUAUAAGUACCAAUGACUUGGUACUUUUAAAAAUAUAGAAGCUCAAUUUUAUAUAUAUAUAUAUAUAUAUAUAUAGUGAGGUUACUAUGCUAUCGGAAGCACGGAGCCUUCCGUGCCUUCCGUGCUUCUAGCUCGUUUUCGAUGUUGCGACUUUCGAAUCGUCGAUCGGCUCCGUUAAACUUGAUAUAGAGUAUUUGGAGUACUUAGAAAAUAAAUUUUAUUAUUUUUCGAUGUCAUUUGCCUAGUGAUCGAAUGGGCUCAAAAUCAAUAAAUUUCAAUGGCCGUAGUGAGCGUUUGCAAGUUUAACGGUGUAGAAAUAUCCAAAUCACGUGAAAUUUUGAUAGAAAAUUUUUUAUACUAUAUAAAACAAGAUCAAUAUCUUUGAUUUAAAAUUUUAAUGUCAUAUUAUUAUAUUUUGUAAGAUUUUUAUUUUCAGCCGUUGAUUUUGAGCCCCUUCGUUCACUAGGCAAAUGAUAUCGUAAAAUNNUCUCUCUCUCCCUCUAUAUAUAUAUAUAUAUAUAUAUAUAUAUAUAUAUAUAUAUAAACUUAUGCAAGAAUCUUAUAGUAAUUGGACAUGGAAAAUAUAAUAAGAUAUAGAUAAUGGCUUUGGGCAUAUAUUUAGUUUGGAAAAUACUCAAAAACAUAAGAAUCAUAAACACCAAAUUAAAGCUUAAAUUGUUGAAAAAGCAAAUUGAAAAAGGAGCUUCAAGAUUUAUCAAAAACUAAAAAAAAUGACUAAAUUACAAAAAAAUCUCCUAUAAAUAUCUAUUUUCUCACUUUUUCUUCGUGACUUUCAAAAGUCUAUAUUUUACCUGCUUAAAAUUUCAGAAAUAUUUUCAAAAAAAUGCGGCAUUACUAAACAGGACAAAAUGAUCAAAUUAUCCUCACUAUUUCUAUUAAAAAAAUUUAAUAUAUUUUUAUAUUUUGAAGGACAUUUUUAAUAUAAAUUAUAAUAAAUAAACGGAAUAAUAAUAAAACCCUAAAAGACUAAAUACAAUAAUUUAAAAUUUUAAAAAGAUAAAAUACAAAAUUUCAAAAAUUAUAAAAAAAAUAAAAAAUUCAUAAAAAAAUUUUCUAUAAUUUAAAAACUGCAAAGAACACUUAUCUCAAAAAAAAAAAAAAAAAAAAAAAAAAAAAAAAAAAAAAAAAAAAAAAAAUAGAUAAAUAAAUUGAAGAACAAUGUAAAGCUAGAUCUUAGGAGAGCAAUUGACUAUAUAUACAAAAAAGCUCUUGCAAUACAUUUCCAGUACACUCUCCAGUACAGUUCACAACUCACAACUCACACAACUCCUGCAACUUGCAUGCAUGCUGCUACUUAUUUAAAGCCUAACUACAGGAAACUGGGAGUCCACUGAACCAGCUCAGAAACUGGUUGAGCCGCGACCGCGACCGCCGCCGCCGCCACGUUGGUUCGGUCCAGGGAAAAAGGCCGACUCUUGCUGCGCGUUGAAGACCUCGUCCACUUCUCUCGCUGCCACGUCGAAUGCGAGCUCCUUAGCCUCCUUCUCCAUCUUCUUUAGUAUAUUAUUUCUCCCUGCGCGAAACCAAGUUCAGGAACAUCUGAUUCAAUAUAACCAACCAACGAAGCUACAAUUCGCAUGUUGAAAAUCAAUAUCGAAAUCAAUACCGAAACAUAUAGUUUUAGUUAGAAGUUCUAAGAUCUUCGUAUAAUUCUUGAACCAAAAAUGAAACCCAAAUAUUGGUUUACAUUUAGUUAGUUCAAUAUUGUGCAGGACAAUUAUACAUGCAAAUUAUGUUCUUUUUUUUUUAUUCCCGUUUAGGCCCCAAGGACCUGGUCAACCUAUACAAUCUUACCAAGCGAUGUAAGAUUUAUCUCACACUAUUGUUUAAUGAACUAAUUCCGAUAACAAAUGUAACGAUUCGACCCACUAAUAGUAAUAAUCUGUUGUUCCUAAACCACCAGCCAAAAAUACUUAAGUCCAGUUAUUACUAAGGGCACGUUUGGUUCGAGUUAUGUAAUAUUAUAGAGUAUUUCGAUAUAUUCAUAUAUCUUGGAUUUCUAAAUAAAAUUACUACUGAUACUGCAUUAGCGCGUUUAGUUUAAUACAGUAAUAUAAUACUGGAUUGCAGUGUUUAUAGCAUUAUUGAUUUGUCACAUAUCAUGAGUGUCUUACUAUACAUUUUCUCUCAUAUAUCUUUGGGUUUUUUUUUUUUUUUUUAAGUCAAAAGUGAAAAUGAAGCCAAAGUAUUCUGUAUAUACCUGCAAGGAAGAACUUCUCAUUGUUCUCUGCCCUGAUGCCAAAGCAGAGAACCUGGAGGUUCUCAUUCGGGGAGGCGACAGCGACUACCGGGUGGCCGGGAGGGAUCACGAAGACCGAUCCGCGGCAGACCUCUGACUUAACGAGCUGAUACCGCGGGCCUUCUUCUUGUUCUUCUUCGCCUUCCUUCUCCCGCUCUUCUUCGCUUUCGCCGCCUCCUCGUCUUCUCGAUCCUUUUUGCUUCGAGAUGUGAGGACACGCCAUUUCCAUGUAUCCGCUCCCUUGCACAACAAAUGCAAUCUUGAUUGCCCUUGAGUUGUAGUUUGGUGCCAUCAUUGAUCCCUGAAAUUAAAGGGGAAAGGGCUCAUUCUAUGUCUAAGUGCAUAUUCUCAUGGAAAUAUACUUGAAUUAUGAUAUUGUUUGGUAAAGUGCGACCUAAAUGGCGAACGUAUUAGUUAAGUGCUUCAAACAUGUGUUCGCAAGACUCAAAAGUCUCGUUUUUCUCUGCAACUAAAACUAGUAUCUACCAAAAGCAAAAGCAAAAGCGAAACCAGACAAGUGCAUUAAUUUUUUCUCUUAAAAAGGACUUGUACAUUUAAGUGACUCCUAGCUAGGAUUGUUUUUACAAGUGGUUGUUUCGUGCAUACGACGGAUCUGGUGGUGUAUCUGAAACUUUCGCUAUAAUCCAGGACGUGACAGACACGGUAAAUAAUUGAUUAGAGUUUGAUAACUACUCACUUGGCUUAUAUUAGCGAUGGAUACAUCCACAUUGGGGUCUUGGAAUUGUCGGUAGUCGUUAGCAUUUACUUCAUAGAGUUGGCCAUGGUUGUUCGCGUAGGACGGUCGCUUGUUCAAGACAUUGAACGGCUUUCUCGAUUGCUCGAAAGGCCGUUCUCCGCCGCCGCCGCCGCCGCCUCGGCUUGAUUUGCUUAAUGCCUCGAUUUGUUCUUCGGAUGCUCUUAUGAUCUCUCCUUUACUUUGUUGCCCAAAGAGUCUCUCCAAUCUAUCUCGCGGGGUCUAAACUUGUUUAAAUGAUCAUACACAACUAAAUUGAGCAUAAACCAAGUAUAGAAAUGGUGACUUGCAAAAUAUAUAUAUAUAUAUAUAUGAAUUAUUAUAGAGAGCAAGAAAUAAAUAAAUAAAUAAAGAUGCGAACGCACAUUGAACGCUGCUUCAAGAACUUCAUCACUAAAGCUUGUGUAGAAUGUCUCCGGUUUCCUUCCGCCUGCUCCAAAGAACUCCUAAUUAUAAAGAAAAUUUUUCAUAAAAGAAAGGCAAAAAACAAAUUAAAUUCAAAACCUUACAUAGAUUUUAAAUUUAAAUCCCUUCAAGUUUCUAAGCUUAAAAUUGUAAAUCAUUUUGGGAUCUAGACUCGUUUAUCUUCUUUUCGUUUUAGUUUCGAAAAUUAAGAUAAAAAAAUUUCUAGCUAUCAGAUGAGUGAGAGUCACUACAACAAUUUUUUUUCUAUCACAUCAAUUUAAUUACAUCAAGAAUUAAAAUAUUAUACCGACCGUUCUUAAAGCAAAUGACAAAGGAUUUUGUGGUUGGUAACCCCAGGUCCCAAGUUCGAAUCCUAGUUGAUUCGCAUUUUUCCAGCUAAGUUUAUUUCUAAAUAAAAUAAACGAAGCUCUGAUAUCACUGAUGCUAUUUUGAGAAGCGACGCCCCAUCAUGUUUAACAUUAAAUCGAUUAAAUUUUAAAAAAUACCGUUAUCUAGCAGCAUAAGUCGUGAAAAACAAGCAAAUGGUUGGUUCAUAAUUGUUGUCGAUAGCAAAUUGUUCAAUGAGAUACAAAUAUAACCUCGAAGCGCCCCGGAAUGGAGAUCGGACGAAGGAGCAUCGCGAUCCGGAGCUUCUCGUUACGAUGUUUAUUGAUCAAAUACACUAUCAUACCAGAAGGAACCACCAUUGUAUCUCCUUCCUUGAUAUCAUACGACUCUUUGUUCUUCUCCGAUAAUAGUGUUAUAGUUCCCUCCCCUGUAAUCAAAAAUAAAAAAAAUAAUUAUCAUUGAUCUUAAUGAAUGUAGCAUGUAACUCGCUCAUCGUAUCUAAAUAAUAAUAAUAAUAAUAAUUAACCUCAGCCAUAUGUAGUGACUAACUAAUUUAAAAUGAAAAGAAAAAAAAUUAUUCUAAUUAUUAAACACAUAAGAAAUUGUUAUAUUUACUGCACACUUCAAAAUUUUAUUUCUUUUACAUAAAAGUAACCAUUUUACCUUAAAUAAAUAUGUGAUGAAGUACUUUUACCAUCAAUAUUUUUUUCGAAUGUAUUCAUAAAUUAAUUAAUUAAUUCUAUUUCUCACAACAUAAAAUCUAGACACUUAAUUUUUUUUUUCUUUCUCAACAACAUAUAAGAUAAAAAAUCAGAAGCUAACUAAAAAUGUCAGAAAAUUCAAAACUUAAAAUUAAAAUUUUAAAAGAUUGAAUAAUUAAUUAGUUCACAAUGUCUAUAGUUUUGACAAAUUAUUGUACAGUUUUACAUUCUAAAAAUAAGUAGAAAAACAUAUAUACCAGCUAUAUACAUUAGAUUUGAUUUAGAGAAUUUGAAGUAUCUAAAAAAUAAAUUUUACAAAUUUUUGAUAUCAUUUACCUGACGAUCGAACUGAAGAUCGAAGAUACUCAAAAUUAAUAAUUUUAAUAAUCGUGGUGUGAAACAACCGUUGUACUUAUAUUUAACACUCCCCCUCACGUCUGGGCUCGAGACUUUUUAAUCGGCCCAUGACGUGGGCUUGAAUUAAAUGGGAGGAAAUUAAUAUGCUAGGAGUCUGGCGUGACUCGAACUCAGGACCUCCUGCUCUGAUACGAAACAACCGUUGUACUCUAAAAGCUUAAGCUGUUAGAGAACGGUGUUUAAACAUUUUUAUAUUUAACACGUGGUGAGAUAUUAAUUGUAAAUUUUACGAUGUAAAAAUAUUCAAAUCAUAUAAAACCUUGAUAGAAAAUUGUUUAAUUACACUAUAUAUUUAUAUAUACCUCCCAUCACGUAGAACACUUCGUCUGCGUCCCAGUGGCUCGGCACGAGGAACGCCCGCGGCGCCGCCUCGAGCACGGCGACGCGAUACUCCGCGAUCCCCCGCAGCAGCUCCGACCUCUCCGCGAACCGCUGCAGCACCCUGAAGCGGCCGUGCUGCGUCUCCGCCCAGCGCUCGUAGCUCCGCUCGUCGAAAUAGUAAGGGUUAUAUGCAUGGUGAUCUUCGUCCCUUGCGUUUGGUGAUCUCUCCCUCUCCCCUCCACUCCCCCUACACAAACUAAAGCACCUGCGCUCGCAAAGCUCCCUGUUUUGUGCGUCGCCCUCUAAACUACGGCAUAUUUUGUGGCAUUGGCAUAUCCGUGAAGCAUCAGAAUUAGCUAAGGAGAUCGAGGAGAGGAGGAGGAAGAGGACUCUAAUUGCUAGUGAUUUUGGAUUCAUUUUUGUGUGUUUUUUUUGUUGUUUUUUUUUUUUUUUCUUUUAACACUACUAUACUAUGGAGGUAUGGGUUGAGAGUGGGAGAGAAAGUGUGGAGUAGUGUAAGUAUAUAUAGUGCUCUUUAUUAUAUAGGCUAAGGGUGGUGGGGAUUAAUGUGCACGUAGUAUAAUUUAGUGUGAUACGUGGAUGCAUGCAUGGCGCCAUGUGGUGACGUAGGAGAUGCGACGUGGAGAGAAAGAGAGAGAACUGGGUCACGGGGUGGCGUUGGAUAUAGAGAGGGAGAGAGAGUUCACUUAGGGUGCGUUUGGUUCGCAUUAUGAAAAAUUACUAAAAAUAAAAAAUAUUUGAGAAUUUUUUUCUAUUCAUUCUAUUACUAAGAAUGUGAAAUUUCUGUGUUUGGUUCGCACGGUAAUAUUAAUUAGUCAUAUUAUUUAAUAUUAUAAAAAAUAUGCAAUUUAUUUAUUUAUUUAUUUAUUUAAUUUUAGAUAAUGUUAUCAAAAAUUUCAACAUCUUUUUAGAAAAAAAGGGAGAGAGAGUAUAAUUAAAAUAAAAGAAAGAAAAAUAUAGUCGAAAUUAGAGGGAGUGAGAGAGUUGAAAUUUUAGAAAGAGAGAGAGAGAAAGCUUAGUUUAGAGAGAGAAAAAAAAAUUGAAUUUUAAAGAGAAAAAUAAGUUUAGAAAGAGAUAUAAGGUUAGAGUGUAAAGAAAAAUAAUAUCAAUUAGCCGGCGGAUAGGAAGAAAGAAAGAGAUUAGAUAUAUUAUGAUUACUUAAAUCCAUUAAUAUGAGGAUACCCAUCCUCCCUCAAGGAAAUGAGAUUAGUACUUUGGGGUGAAUCUUAUUCCCAAGUGAAUCCAAUAUUACCAACUGGAUUACUUAGUGCGUUUAGCCAAACACCAUCAUAUUUUUUUAUUUCCAUUGAAUUACUAAGAAUUUUUGAAAGAUAGCGCGAACCAAACGCACCCUAACAUGCAUGCGUGGUUCAAAUCGAUAUUCGGUCCAUGGUUUUGCACCGUUCAUUUAAUCUAGCUAAUUGGUACCUGCACUAUGCCGGUACUUUUCAUCUUCAAUCACCGUCGUGCCUAUCUCUUUCUCCUUUUGCAAAUUAGGCUUGUGUGUUUCCUUUUUCCAGUUUGCUACGUGUUUUUUUAUAUGAACUAAUAGAUUUUUUUAACCUUCGACUGUUGUUCGAUGAAACCGAAAUUAAUAAAUGAUGAUGAUGCUAAUAUAUUCUGUUCGUGUGCAUGCAUGAUAGUUAAUGCUCAGUGUAGUCAUUGUCGUCGUUGUUGUUAUCGUUAUCGUCAUCACGCUUUGUAUUCUCCAUAAUCGGCGCCGCAUUUGUAUUUUAUUGUGUGAAAUUGGUGUUGUUGUAGGGACUUUUGUGAAAGAAAAAAGACAAAGUAAUGUGGUCCCAUUAGUACCGUCCAAAUAUGUUAGUUACUUGUCGACCGCGGUCUAAGCAUUGUCUAAUGGUAUAAAAUAAUAGGAUCUUUAACAACUGCAAACAUUAAUAAAUAAACUAUACUAUUCUCCCUUAANUUUAGAAAGAGAGAGAGAGAGAGCUUAGUUUAGAGAGAGAAAAAAAAAUUGAAUUUUAGAGAGAAAAAUAAGUUUAGAAAGAGAUAUAAGAUUAGAGUGUAAAGAAAAAUAAUAUCAAUUAGCCGGCGAGUAGGAAGAAAGAAAGAGAUUAGAUAUAUUAUGAUUAUCCUAAUCCAUUAAUAUGAGGAUACCCACCCUCCCCCAAGGGAAUCAGAUUAGUACUUCAGGGUAAAUCUUAUUCCCAAGUGAAUCCAAUAUUACCAACUAGAUUACUUAGUGCAUUUAGCCAAAUACCGUCAUAUUUUUUUAUUUCUAUUGGAUUAUUAGGAAUCUUUAAAAGAUAGUGCGAACCAAACGCACCCUUACUACUAUAUUAGCAACUAUUUUAUAACCCUCUCCAACUCCGCUCCGUUGAGUAAAUAAAGUAAGAGGUUGAACAUUUUUUUUUCUUGAAUUCGAUUUGACUCAUCAAAAAUUCGCUAAAAAUUUACUUUUAUUCUGAUUUGUUCCACAAGUGACACAUAGUAGAACAGAUAUCGUUGAGUAGGAGAUUAGACGAUCUCACAACUUCAGUAUCGAAAUAAAUAACAGCGUAAUCAAUUAUCUCAGUGUGCGAGUUCAACCUCCGAGAGCCACUUUUUACCACGCAAACAGCAAAAUUUGAAGAACUCCAGUUCUAUAUAGCUAUACAAAUAAACAACCAAAAAAAAUCCACCUGAACACUUAUUCAUCCAAAGGCUACUAUGACCUUUCAACUUCUAGCUUCAGUGAAAGAAACAUGCUUCAGCUUCAAAAAUAAAAAUAGUACGAAAUAAAUAAAUUAUAAAAAAUAUAUAUAAUUCAUGGCAAAAUUUCUUAUAGGCCGCAAUGAUGCCUCUCUAUUACAAUACACUAGGCAUAAUAUAAUAAUAAUAAACAAGAUUACUCAACUAAAGAAAAGUUACAAAAAAAAUACAACUGAGCCAUUUGAAGCAUGAGCUUCAGUGAGGAGAGAAAACAGGUUAGAAGCUGUACACUCAGAAAACAAUUCUCUUCCAAACCGCGAUCUUCCUCGACAUGGUAGGAGUAAGAAACUAUCUCUUCCAUGUCCCCGCCUUCAUCGCCGCUAUCUUCCGCUUCUUGUGGGCGCGGUGCUUCGCGGCGAUCUGCAGCUUCCGCUUGGCAUGGCGCAUCGGGUUGACGACCGCGACGAGCUUCUGCGACUGCUUGCGCUUCUCCCUCUUCUGCUUGAGAUUCUUCCUGAUCAUGUUGUAGACUUGCACGAAAUUAUCCACCCCUAACACGUCGCGCACGCUGUCGCGCACCUCUUCCGCUAAUUGCUUGAUUUCAUCUGAUAAGAUUAGAGACAGGUUCAAAUAUCCAUUAUUCCGGCAAUUCAGAUAGCUGUUUACACUAGAUCGACGCAACCAAGAAAUAGUUUACUAGGGUGGUCGCUUGGACGCGGCCAAAUUGCCCCGACUCGAUGCGGAGUCUUUUUUAGGACAGGUUAGUGGUGAUAAGAGGUGUGUAGCAACAAGAAGCUUACAAGCUUUAAGCAAUUUAGUGCACUCGCAAAAAUGGUAAAUCAGUAAGAAAUAUCAGAAAAUGGCAAACAAUUAACCAUUCGACCAUUCAAGAGUGACAAACUCACCGCCGACGAUCUUUCCAGCAAAUCCUUCGCAAACUUUAUAUAAAGGAAAAAGCAUCUGAGGGGCAUAGGCAAGGGAGUCUUCGGAACCAAGUUGUAAUGAAAUCAUUUUGAAGCAAUUAAAGACGAUUUUCAUCUGCAAAAACCACAAAAUAUAUCAUGCCUCAGGUAAAUAACAAUGUCGUGGAAAAGGUAAAAUUUCCUUAACUAACAGUACUCAAAGAUGGUCAAUUUGACCGUAUAAUUCGAUGCUCACCUGAGCAUCUUCCAUUUGCAUUGCAAUCUUUCCCAUCUUCUUGAGCAAAGGCGCAACUAGCAAGGACUUAAGAUCUUCACCUGCCUCGUGAAUAAUUUGAUCCUCUCCGACCAAAGAAACACUUGUAGUGGUGGUACAAAGCAGAAACUGAUCCUGAGCCUUUCUCGAAGCUAGCAAUUCAAAACCCUUGAGGUACAACCCUUGCUCGUCAGAGCUAAGAGUAGACCAAAACUGAUGCAAUGCUGAAAGUUUCCUCUGCUUUGCAAAGGAGUGCAACCCACAAAUAGAAAAUACGAUAUUUUGUGCAAUGAGAUUGUUUGCUGCCUCAUCGCUAAGUUCUGUCCUGAGUUGACUUACAAAAGACACCGCUAAUAAGAAAAGUCUACUUGGAUUGACCAGAAAUAGUGCUCCACUCUUUAUCGUUUCAUUAUUUGUUCUUCCAGCCUCUGACGCCGCAGCAAAGUAUAAAGCUACUAGCCGAUUCGAGAUGCGCCGCAACCACAUGUGCGGAUGAAGCAAGGACUUACAAAUCAACGCCCAUAAGUCCUGAAAAUAUCAAAAAGAUUGCUGUUAACUAGCUAAUAUAGUUAAUGACACAAUUUGCCAAAAUGUGCUACACACAGCACUUUCAUGCAUUUAAUGUCAUAAGUUGAGUGCUUUAUCAUACAUAUUAUUGAUGCCGAAGAGAGAACUCGUACCUCGAAUUUCCUGUCAAAAUACAUUUCGGGAAAAUGUUGUAGUAUCUUCUCGAGCAUAACAAGUGAAUAAUAAGCCUCCUUGUAAAAUGGAACGCCAGCUUCAUUUGAAAAGUCAAGCUCUACAUCGCUAGAAGCAAGAAUAGAAGAUUCCAGAAUGUGUUUUGCAACUGAUAAUACUCUAUUUAUAUGCUUGUUGAAUCCUUUUUUGAGAACUUCAACCAGCAAACCAAGGACCUGGGAAAUAACAACGAAGAGUUAUUUUGUUGUUACAGAUCAAAGGAGAUAGUGAAAGAGAAACAAAAACCCCACAUUCUAAUUACACGAACUGCAACCAAAAACAUUCUUUAACAUUUCAUAAAGUAUAGAGCAACCACUCUUACAACGCAAACUUCAACCAAAAACAUAGAUUAACAUUUUAUAUAGUAUAGAGCAACCGGCCAAUCAGAACCAAAAAAAAACUUGCGAGAGUACUCCAAAUUAAUAAAGGGCAGUAAGGAAGACCGUCUUUAUGAAAAAAGAGCCUUAGAAAGCCACUUGCAUACCAUGUCAUGAACGAAAAAAAAAAAAAGGCUGACAGAAAAGCCAACACACACACACACACACACACACACAGUUUGCCCCAUUUGGCAGAAAGUACUACAUAAAGUCGAGCAAAAAAGUUGUAAAUUCAAUAGAAUAUGUUGGGGGUUUGGGGCUUAUAUAUAAAUCAAUAGGUAGUGAAUUUCCAACUGUAGGAAAAGCUCAAAUCAUGCCUUAGCCAUAUACACACAAUACAGUAAGAAUGCAAGUACGCAACACAGUAGAAUGCCACAACAAAUGAAGGUUACCUGAGCUGCAGCACUCCAUAGCUGUUGUUUCUCACCAGAUAGCUGUUGUUUCUCACCAGUGUACCAAGCAAGACUAUACUCGAGAAUAGGAUCCAACGCACGCGGAUUAGCUCUUAGAUGGCAAAGGCGACCUAUCAACACUUUUAUCACCGUGCCAACCAUAGAUUGGACUUUAUGUUCAUGAUCAUUGGCCAGAGAAAGAACCAGACGAACAAAGAAUGUCUGAGCCUGAUUCUCAAUGAGACUUUCAGGAGAUUUAACCAGGAGAGCAUGGAUCAUCUCAAGCACAGCUUCUCUCCCCGAUGAAUGUUCAUAACUGAAAAUUUGAAAAAAGAAAACAAAAUUAGGUGACAAAAGAAAACAAACUUACUAUUAAAAGAGAGCAUGUGGUGAGAUACAAACCUCAAAUUUGUGAGUAGAAAAUCCAUGUGCUGUUGUAAGCGCUUGUUGGAAAGCUCAUAAUCCAACAGAAACUGCAGUAGAAUUUGGCUGGACUUCUUGCGUAUGGCUUCUGAUUGACUAGUUACCAUCAAUUCUGAAACUUUCACCACAAUAUCAUAGAUUUCGGGGACAACUAAUUUUCUACUAACAAUCGACUUCAAGAGAGAGAGGGCAAUAGGUGAAGGGUUAGUCUCCAGAUCAACAAAAACAGGGAACUGAAUAAGCAUGUGGAGCUGAUUGUUAGAAAGUGAGAUCCUGCAGCUUUGUAGUAAAUUCGUGAGCAGCUUGAGACAGGAUUGCAACAAAGUAUUUUUAGAAUUUCCAUAUUUCCGAGCUAUGUCAAAAAGUAUAUUCUUCAUCUUCUCGGCCUGGGCUUCGAGGGACGGUAAUGGCAACCUAAUCAAUGUAGCAAGACAUCUAAUAGCAGAUGAAAGGACAUCUUCAUACUUGGAAUUCAAGCAUUCUCCGAAAAGUUUAACAAAAGGGUCUAACAUUGAUAGCAACUGCUCGUCUUUCUUGUCCAGCUUCAUUUUCUUUAACCUGUUGCGCAAUAAUCCAAGGGAAAACUCGGUGAUCAGAUGUGAAUUUCGCAAACCAUUAUCACCAAGCACCAAAAAAGUUGUUCUGUUGCUAAUUUCAUCGCUGGAUGCCUCUUUGCCAUUGGAACUCUGUUCAGUAACAGUAUCUUCAAUUAGUCCAUAUGCAAAUACAAACAACUCCUUAUUUCCUGCGGAUGGGUUACAUUCAAUUCCCAAAGCUAUAUAAUUAAGCAUCAUUUCCAGCCUUUUCUUCAUCUUUGGUGUCAGGUGUUUCUGAAGGUGUGCCGCGAUGGGCCAAAGCAACUUCAGAGCAUGCGUUCUAAAUGUAAUACUUUGAGCGAUCAACUUCAGAGUCUCAAACGACUUCUUCUUCCUCGUCUCUUUCAUUUUGGAAGCAAUUUUGUCGACUUCUUUCUCCUCCGCGACAUCUCCAAGAAUGUCGCUUUCAACUACAGAGAUAAGCUCCGCCAAACAGUAGUCAAUCUUUCCAGUAGAGCCUUCUGUUAGGGUCUUUGAUAAUAUGAAAUUGAGGGUGUAGCCCAACACAUGUAACUCAUACCCCCUCUUCAAUAUAGCUUGCAAAAUCUUUACAACAAGCUGCAAAUACUCCACACCCAGUUCCUUCAGACAUGCAGCCAAAGCAGACCUAGCUUCGUCACGGAUGCUUUCUAGACGGUUUUUCAAGAAAUUACAAAUGCGGUGUAUAAUGCUUGAAAGUUGUGAAUCCAAAAUAUCUGUCGGUAAUAAUUUAAGUACUUUGAGUGCCACAAGACUAAUAUUUACAUUAACUUUCUCAGGGUCUGAGACAAGCAAUUUUUGAACCAGAGGAAGAAGCACCUUUUGCAAAUAUUGCUGUUUCUCAGGGGAGACAUUUUGCGAAGAUGAACUACAAAGAUGAAAAUCACCCUCAACUCCACUAUCUUUUACACCAUUAUUAGAGUGGGAGUCAAAGAAAUGGAAGACAUGUAAGACGGCACAUAUCAGUCGCAAAAGGAUUUUCUGUUUGUCUUGCUUAACAGACAGCUCUCGGAAGCAUCUCAUCAGAAUAGUACGAUAGGACUCCCACUGAAGCUGGCCUGCUACAGAAGCAAGGGUCUCUACACAUGCAUUUCUUAGAUGUUCACCCUUUCCAUCUUUCACAUCAAACAGCAUGUUGAAAAACAGUGGCACAAAGAUUUUCAUAGUCAAGUCCUACAAUCCAGCAAAGUAGUCAACAUUAAUGCCAUACAAUGGCUAAUCAUACCUAUAUCUAUUUUCUUUUCAGAAUGCAAAAAUGAUAGAGAUGCAAAAAACUUAAAAGAGUCCGAAAUUAUAUUUUCAAGAUUUGAAAGCACAUUAAAAUAUCAAAUUCAUCUACAUUUGCCCAAAGAUGAGUAUUAUGAUCAGGUAAAAUUAGUCCAUAGCACUGGAAAAGAAAAUAUACUAGUCCAUAGAAUACCAGGAAACACAAAUGACAAGUCAUUGAUUUCCAUAAAAAAAUACAAGAAUUCCUGUUGUAAUCUAUUAACAACACUUUAUAAUGAAUGUAUGGCUGUAUGAAUCUGAAUUCAGGUAUAGAUAUCAUACUGCUGUAAAGUUAUUAUGUUAUAUGAUGAUAUUCCAAGUAUGUGGCAGUAGAAUCUAAAUUCUGAUAAAGCAAUUCACUAGCACAACCGGGUAAUAAAACUAAACCUGGAAAGAUUAAAGCCAGAAAGUUGUAGAGGGAAACUAAUUUAAAUGGUGAUAUUGUCUACUAUAAUAAACUAUAUACAUAAAAAAAAAAAGCAUGAACAUCAUUUCUCUUCCUCUCUUUAAUCCCAAAGUCUUGUCCUUAUAAUCAUGUUUGUUUACCUCUGAAAAGUUCCCAGCAGUGAUUACAUUCCUGAAUCGUGAUAACGCUCUUGAUCUUCUAUGAAUCUGCAUGAAGAGAAAAUUAGAAUAAAAGCUUCAGUUUGUAUGUCGCCCAUAAAUGAAAUAGUCAAUAAGAAUUACCUGUAAAUGAGUUAUGUUGUUGAAGAAGUCUACUUCAGGAUCUGUGCUACAGAGAGGUUUGAAUGAACUUAGAGAUGGAACUUGUUCAAAAUUAAACACCAUUUCUCGCAGUAAAGUAAUCCAUUCCUGCAAAAUACAGCCCACUUAUUAGUUACAAAACAAAUAGUGAAACAUAAAAGUCAAGCGGCGAAUAUUAUAACCAGACUAUGGUCGCUGCAUACUUUUUGAAUUGAAAUGUCCUUGCUCAUAGCAUCUCCCAUGCUAUGCAAAUAGGUCUUCUCUAGAAUUCUCUGAAUGGAAGCUUUUGUCCAAAUGCUGCUAAUAAUACUUUCCGCUGACCCUAAAAUUGAUGUAGCAAACUGUAGAAAAGAAUGUAAUGCCCUCGAUGCACUUUGUCGAAAGAUCAGUUCUUCCGAAGACAUAUCCCAUACACAAUGAGAUAGUAUGGCCACAGCAUGCUCUUCUCUCAAUUCAGGAAAUAACUCAUGCCUUACUGUAUCAUACGCUUUAAUUCUUGCGUCAUAAUCUAGUUCACCAAGUUCUGAGGAAGAAACUGCAUUUAGAUCUCGUAAAAGUGUAGCCUGAACCAGUACAUGUCACCAAAUAAACAAAAUUUAGAAUCUUUAAAGAAUUAUUUGCAAGGAUAGAAGUAAUAUUAACAAUAUUAGUCAUGUGUAGAGCUAUAAUCACCAGGAAGGCAUACGAAGGAUCACGUAAAGCAAGACCGUCGAGAAUAUCACAAAUGCACAACCGCAAACCUAGUUCAGCGGUAACAAGUAAUGGGUGAAUUGCUUGUAGGACUUUUCCAAAUGCUUCAUGACCUAAUACUGCAACAAUUCCUUUGACAACUUGUAGACCCUCCAAACAUUCAUCUGUAAUAAAAAUUCCAAAAACAACAAUAAAAAAAAGGGAGAACCACCAUAAUCUAUCAUCAAUACUUAAUAGUUCAUUUCAAAAAAAAUAAUCAGAAAGAAAAAUCUUCAAAUAACAUGAAGGUGGAAACUAGAUGGCCUUACCAGAAUUUAAAUCUUUCUUCCUUAAAAAUGGAAGUAAAAUAUCAAGAAAAUAAUCUGCUGACACAGGGUCCCUGAUAUACUUCACUAAUAGUUUGAAUAUCCUCAAUUCCCUCUGCCCCGGCCAAAUGGUGGAUUUCCUAUGACCAUCACCAAGAAAAUGAGUGGACCAAAAUUUGGAAAAUCGAAAUUAAAGUUAGAAAAAAAAAAUACUUAAAACAGUAAGUCUUAACAUUAGAUAUUAUUUCAAAACAUUUCAUUGGGAAAAACAGGGCAAAAGAAAGAAAUUAUUUCAAAACAUUUUAUUGGGAAGAAUAGAGCAAAAGAAAGAAAAUUUAUUAAUAAUUAAAAAGCAGAUUGACACAUAAUUGAAUCACAACCAAAACGAAUUCCACAUGAUGAAUUUUUCAAUAAAUUUGUUGUUAAUAAAACUUUAGAUAAUUUAAGCAAAAGCUCUAAAAUAAUAACAAUCAAAUAAUAAAAGCCAAAGACACAUAACUGAGGAAUAUAACUAGCUAAAUCAGGAAAAGAAGCAUUAAGAUAAUUGGAAACUUUUGACAAUCUUAAAUGAACUUUUAGCAGAUACCUAUGAAAUUCUCUGCGAGUCUGGUAGAGGUCACGGAAACUACUAACAAGAACCUCAACAUGAGGCUCUAAAAUCCUCUUGACAGUAUCACUCCCCUCGCUAUCCAAAUCUUUAUCUAGCUUCAACAAAUUUUCAAUGAAAUCAAGAACAGAAGAUAGGAUAGCAUCGGAUGCUGUCCUCACAGUUAAGAUAGAGAAUAUUGCUGAGAUAAGAUUAGUCUCCCUCCCUAACAGAGGGACUAGUGUUGGGCUCUGGCUCAUUGCGAUAAAGCAUGAAAAAAGUGAGCUUGGUUUUUCACUACUUGCACCCUCCUGCUUGAAGUUGUCGAGUAAAGGCUUCACUGAAGUGAAAAAGAUGUGCCAAAACUCUGAGCUGAAGUCAUGAGUGUCGUGCUUAUUAAGAGUGGAAGAAAUUACUUUCAGGCACAGGGACCGCAGAUCCUUGACCUGGUCAUUGGAUAUAUUAAUCUGCACAUCAGAAAUAGCUUUCAAAUGUAGGAAAAUAACAAUUCAUCGGAAAAGAAAAAGAAGUGAAAAUUAUCUAGAGCGGCCCAAAAGGUAAAAUUAGCACAUGAAAAUGGUAACAAAUGGAUGCCAUGCACGGCCAUCGCUAUCUAAAAAAGAAAGGUAAUUGAAUUAAGAGGAGAAAUGCAAGACAAAUGGCUAAACUUAACCAAACCAAAUCUGAUAAGUUUCAAUUCAAAUAAUAUUUUGGCUCAGUUCAUUGCAUUUGCAAAUGGAAAAACGCAUUAUGUAAAUUAGCUAAGUUCUUUAUUUUCUAGGCCAUAGGUGACUCUGUUUGUUCAUUAUCUUUGGUGUCCACCAGCAUUACAUACUGCACCAUAUAGCCAGCAUAUGUGUUAUAACUACAAUAGAUAAACAAAAUAUUACAAGGAUUCCAUGACUACUCUGAAAUAACAAGUUUUAAAAUAAAAAGGAAAAAGCAUAUUAAGUUUUGAAGAAAGAAAAUAACAUAUACCAUUAGAGAGCCUGGUGCCAAAGUAUUGUCCUUGUGAACCUCUAAAUUUCCAGAAUUAUCUCCCCUGGGAUAAGUGUUACCACUGUUUUUGCUUGCCAGGUUCCACUUGCACAUUUCCAGAAUUCGAACAACAAUCAUCAAAAAAGGAUUAAGAAAUGGCCCAACAUGCAUCAGAUCAAAAGUUCCCAAGAUAUCCUCAACUACAUGGAGGAACCCAUCUAUUCUUUUCCACGAAAUAUCAUCUGUUGUAGUUAAGGUUGCAACUUUUGCAAUAUAUGAUAAAAACUUGUCUAUAAAAUUGUCAAACAUGCUGGUAGUCAGGGAAUCUGAAACUUCAAUAAGGAGGGACCUGGGAACUAAGGGCUUCAGCAGCAAAUAAAAGAAGAGCUGCAGCUCGUUUACAUCAAACUGUGAGAAAAAACGAAGAAUCGCCUUUCGAUGACUAACACCUGCAUGCUAAGAAAAUAUUGAAACACCAAAAAGGAAAAGUCAGUUAUCAAAUAAACAGAACAAGAAACUUUACCGCCAACCAACAAUUAACGCCUGUUUGGCCAGGCUUCGGAAGCAGAUAAUCUAUACUAAGGAGCAGCCAGACAUUGUCAAACGCAGAAAGCUUUAAACGAGGUUUGAGACCAAAGGGCAAAAGCUCCAAUUUGAAACUUCUACUGCAAAUGCAAUAGAAAACUGCUGGGGGGAUCUUAAUGUAAAAGCUAUUAAUGCUUUCCGUGAAUAACCGAAACAGCACCAAUACUGAAGCUCCAACCAGGCCAAACAAACCUAAUUAUAAUGAGCUUAUCGUGUGAAGAGCAAAGAGACCAACCUUCCGUGAGCCAAGUGUCUUCAGUUUCCUAACUUUAGGAGUAAGUACUCGAAUAAUUAAAGAAACUAAAUGGCCUCUGUAAUCUUCCUGAAUGGACUGAAGGUCUUUUGAAACUGCCCAUGUAGUAAGCUCUUCUCGAAGGUUCUUUGCAAUAACAAGAUUUUUAAGAUGCUGUUCAUAUGGGACCAAAAAGUCAUCCUUCCAGUUCAAUAGGCAAUCAAGAACUUUCAGUUGUACAUCAGGAUCUGUCUCAUCAAGGAGCCUAAAAGGACUCGGAAGGAAAAAACUUAGCACAAUUACAUGAAAUAUUUAUAAGUAUAUUAAAUUGCAAUCUUAAUAUCGCUUUUACAAACCUUAUCAUUAAAACUUCCUUAAGGACUUUGUUGCAAUACAAAGAUCGAGCAUUGCGCAUCAGUCUCAACAAGUUCAGCCAUUCUUUAAGAACCAUCCUCCAAUCCUUUCCCUUGCAUUUCUCCGAUAUAUAAGAUUCGACACUGUAAAAUAAUCAGAGAAGGCAUGAGCAAAUUAACUGCAUUUAAAACUCAUUUACUCCUUAAAAAAUUGAAGAAAAUUAUACCUUAUAGCAUCUUCAUCAGUAUAACCCAUGAAAUUUAGGAACAAUGGUAUAAGCUGUCGUGAGCGAGAUUCUGCAAUUUCAGGUAUCUUUUGAAGUGAUUGCAGCAAUGAGACAGUAACCGUCAUGCAUGGAGUGCAAUCAGAAUCAGGAACAAGGUAUAAGUCGAAGCACUCAAAGAGAGCUGAAAGAACAAGAAGACGAAUUUGUUACUAUUAUAUAGCUCAUAAAAAACAGAAGUAUUCUUUCUACUAUAAAUCAGUUUACCACCUUCUAAACAUAGUCUCUCUCGAAAUUAACCAUGCAUAAUUAGACAAUAUUCUUAAAAUUAAAUACAAAUUAUAUCACAUAUUGGUAGAGAGGCCACUUUCUCUAAUGUCUAACAACAAAGCAAGCAAGCUCAAUCCCACUUGGGCCACUUCAAGUAAAUGGCAUAUUCUUAUCCCACCUCAAGUAAAUGGCAUAUUCUUUCUAUACCAGAAGAGAUGAGAGAAGUAAGAAAAACCCUAUGCGAAGUAAGCAAUUUAGAAAUCCCUAUGUGCAGCCCAACGCCCAACAAUAUCCGCAAAUGAAACCAACUCAUGUAAAUAAUCUCCAUUAACUGGAAUAGCACCAUGAACUUGAGCAAUUCUGAGAGAUAUUAACCCCUAGGCAGGGAUGCGAAUUCUGAAAUGCCAAACAUUAACUAACACACUACAAAAAAGCAUGCAGCAAAACAUGCAUUCACACACUUGGAAACUCCAAACCCCACCCUUCCAUCCCCACCCCCUUUUUCUAGAUAAGAAAAAAAAUGCAAAAUUUCUAAUCUACUGAACAGAGGAGAACCAUUAAGUUGGUACCAGACAGUAGGAAACCUAUCAGAGAAAAAUGAACUGAAGACAGUGCAAAAAUGUAGCAAGGCGUUAUUGAGGAUAAUGUCUGAACUAAUGCAUAUCCAUUGAUCCAUCGUGUUAUCAAACACACUAAUGCAGCAUUUAUGGAAACUACCCUUUUUUUCUUUCACAUAUUUACCUAUGUCCUGCAGGAGCUUUCUUCAGCUGUGCGGAAGAUAAUCUCUAAACUAACACAUAUCUAUUGAUAACUGGUGCAAUUAGGCAUACUAAUGCAGCAUUAAGUAGACUACUUUUUGUACAUAGUUUAUGUUCUCCGGGAACAUUUCUUCAGCUGCGUAGCACAUAAAAUAGUUUUUACAAAUCCUUUAUCCUAAAGGAAAUUAGCACAGAAUAUAUAAGAGUAAAAAAUAGCAAAUCCAUUACGCAGCAUGCAGAGAUUAUGGCCCUUACAAAUUGGUUGAGGAGCUUCUCUAUUCAGCUUCAUCAGGUGAUCUUCAGAGGAUAAAGAUUUUGACUGAAGAGUUCCAAGAUACUGGAUAAAUCUAUUCCAAACAAGAUCCUUGUAUUUGCUGAUUAGAAGAGCCAAGCAUUCCAAUGCAGGCUUCCAAAGGCUGCUAAGUCUAUUGUAUAAUAUGCCUAUAAUCCCAUUUAAAAGAAGAGGUAUGUAGUCGUUAUUGAUCUUCCCAAAAUAAAGGCUCGUCUGUAUUCUGGAAAUUAGUAUUGUGAUACUCCGAUCUGUAGAGGUUGAAAGAGGGAGUGACUCAACCUGAAGGAGGAGCUCAACAACCUAUUCAUUUGACAAAUGUUAGAUUUUAUUAGAAAGUUUGAUGAACCAAUAUAAUAACAGAAACAACAAGACCAUACAUUAGUGUGUUUAGCAUCUUCUUUCCCUGAUCCUGAAUCUUCUGUUUUCAGCUUUUUAUUAGGAGGUUCAUCACCUGUAGGCAACUGUUGCUCCAAAGGUGCAUAAUGGGACAAAAUUCUCAACGUCGAAACACGAACUUCCUUAUUUGGCAUGCUCAAGUUGUCAGCAAAUGUGCAAAAAGAGUCCAAAGCAUUCUGCACAUCGAAUUCCUGUAGUACGCUCUGCGAAGAGAAUUUUUCACUGCAUGAAGGCGAUUAGGAAAAGUUAAUUUUUAACUAGAACGGACAAAAAAAAUUCACUCAAAGUGUAAAUAGCUAUACCCUAGCACAGAGUCCCAAAAGUCGGCGACAGCAGAAAGCACAUGUGGAGAUGUCCUGUAUUUUUUAGCCAGAGACAGGAAGAGACUUCUUUCCAGGCUUCCAAGAUUGCUGACCAUUAACAAUUUACGAAAUGAUGUCAACGCCACACCAAUUAAACUUUGCCAAGUGGAUCUUGAAAGGCCCCCAAUGCUAUCUAAAACAUAAUAAAAAAAUAAUGGACUAGUUGUUAUUUUCUCGCCAGGAGAGAGAUUUUCUGAUGAAGAACAAGAGAAAAAUACAAAACUGAACUACAGUGCAUUUUGCAAUUGGAACCUGAACUUUAAAAUUUAACUUCAGUGCCUAAGCCAAGAAUUUAAGUGUUGUGGCACAAGAUCAUGCCGGAAACUUGCCGGCCCGGUGCAUGCCGGGUUGUACCGAUGCAUACGGGCCACGAAAAAUACACGUGUGCCGACACAUAAUGGCAUGAAAUAUUUAUUUUCUUUAGCAACAAAAUAUUCUAACUAUUUAUUAUAUAUUUUUAUCAAAUCUUUUGAACUUUAUUGAGAAAAUUACUCACUAAUUUAAAUAAUAGAGGGUUUUGAGCUAUGCCAUCGGUAUGGGGUUGUAUCGUGCUAAUAUUUUGUUGGCACAAUACAGCACAGUGGAUACCGCCCAUUUCGAUGGACACUUAAAUCCUUGGCCUAAGCUUAUAGUUAAUUCCAGUUAAAAAAAUUCCAUUAGAUUCUGCUAGAAGUCAAUGUUUCCCACCAAAAAAAAAGAGGUGCAGGAUAUUUAGUAAACUAACAGAAUAUUCAUCCGGUUACACAAUAUUCCGUCAGAAAGUUGUACUUAAAUCAAAUAACUGUAAAGUUACAUACUUCAGAAGUCUUACAAAUCAAGUAAGGAUCUGCAAUUUUUCAACUUAAGCCUUAAGCACAUAAAGCAUCAAAAACUGAUAGGUACCUGUACCACCUUCUGCUUGCAGAAGACAAUCAAGUUGGGCAAUAAGAUUCUUUAUUGACCAUAAAUCAUCUUUUAGAUUUUGGAAAUGAGGAUAGCAGCUGAGAACUCCCCAGAGUAUUCCCGCUUCUGAUACACUAACUUGAAUAUCUGCUCGAUUGCCACUUGCUUCAACACCAUUUAAUAACUCGUUCCACUGACAAAGUUUCAUCUUAAAGAAGCGGCAUAGUUUCUUUACCUUAUCUUCAGGCUCCCUGAUUAUGCUAUCACUCCCUUGUCUUUCAAAAAAUGUCAAAAGGACAAAAAGAACUUCUUCUGGCGAAGCUUCAACAAAAUUAUCCAUGGCACUACAAGCCCAAAAUCACGACUUUAUUAUCAUUAAAACAUAUAACCAUGGCAUCUAAAUAAAUAGAAGCAGUCAAUCGAUUACCUCAUAAUGUGACUACUGAAAACAUGUAAUAUUUGAGGAUCUUUUGUAAGAAGUUCCCUGACAAAAGUGACGAGGCUGAAACAAACGCAUAAUUCCCAGUCAAGGCAUAGAAGACACAUGAGCAAUUUAUUACAAAUCAAUGUGUUAAUGCAUGUUUGGCCUAGCUUUUGGAUUUACCAAGAAAGUAGAGGUUAGGUGUUUGGGAAACAAGCUACAUUUUAGAGCAUCUAUUUCUCCCACCGUUUGGCUUAGCUUUUAAAAUAACUUCUCUACUAAGCUCCAUUUUAGAUCAACUGUUUCUGCCAAGGAAGAUUUCAAGGAAUAAUGGCGGAGCUUUCAAUGCUUUCAUAACAGCUCUAUCAAAUCAAACAGCACUACUGCAAAAGCUCCAAAGGCCAAAUAGGCCCCAACUAGCAUAGCAUGUUCAAAUACUUAGACAAACUUAAAAAGUUACCUUGAGCUUCUCAACUGAAAUGCCGGAGUAUAUAAUAGUGAUAUUCGCAUUAAAUCAGUAGAAAUGAGAGGAACAUCCAGAAGGCAAAGCAUUAGCCCCAAAAUACUGCUAACAACCUCAGAAAACUUAUUCUCCAACUCUCUAGCAUCAGCAGCCAUCAUAUACUUUUCUAUGAGCAAUUGGACAAGCCGAAACAUGGUUUCAGUAUCUGCAAAAACACAAGGCACGAAAAGUUCAAAAACUGACCAAAAACCACAAAACAAAAACAACAGAAAGGGAACCAAGAAAGGAUUAUUACCAAGAACUUGCUUCCUACUGCUUUUCUGAACAGCAAACUUAAGAAGGCCCAACAUUUCAUUAAGAUGUUCCGAGCAGCCAUCAUCGAUGCAGUUGAAAGUUUCUUUUAAUAAGCAAUUAUACAUCAAUUUCAAUUCUUUUUGAUCCACUUCACGACAUAGUCUGGAGACUAAUCCAGUUCUAACCUCAUAAACAGCUUCUGAGCCUGCAAAAGAUUUAAAACAUCUUAAACAUAAGCAAACAUAAAUAAAUGGCGACUUUUUCAUAUUGUUGCAAAAAUGCUUGUUUAAUUUAGCAACAUUAUCUCCACUUCCUACGCUGGUAAAUCAUUUUCAAUUUACAUUCCAAUUCGUGGUGGGUUCUCAAUCCAGAUUGCACAAAGUGGCAAAGCCAAGAAUAGUAAAGAAGUUUCUAGAUCUAUUUGUUAGGUUAGAUUAAACAAAUUAGUUUAACAAGAUAGAAUAACAGAAAAGAGUCAAACCUAUAUGUCAAAAGAAAGAGCCAGGUUUAAUUAGAAGAGAGAACACCUAAUCCUACCUUAACGAAAAGGAAAGAAACUAUAAGAGUAACAAAGGUAACUUAUUGAUUUUUUAUUUUUCUAUAUAUGUUGAUCCAUAUUGACGUUCUGAACAAACCACAUUCCCAAAAAAAGCGUUCUGACAAAUCCAACCCCCUCGUACUGCAUUACCAAGAAACUAGCAUACUACCUUCACAUACCCAUAUCAUGUACCACAGCGUACCUUGUUCCAGGUAACAUUAUGUCAACCUCCAAUAAUAUAAGUCAAAUCACAACAUUAAGAAUAUAUAAACAGUAAAAAGAAAAGUUACCUUGAGGAAAUUUAUGAAUAAGUUCAAGAAUGAACUUAUCAAUUAGAAACCUAAACACUUUUUCAGCCCUUGAGUGAAGCCUUGAGGAAGUCCCUUUCAUGACAUGCCAUAACAAAGCCGUGACUCCACCUUUUCUUGCCGGAGAUGGAGUUUUAGCAACCUCCUUUACAACCUUCGUUAAGCCUAUAGAAAAUCAGAGGGGGGAAAAAUUCUUCAAGUGAAAAAUGUAAAAAAUCCACACAAAAAGUUCAUUAAUAGCUCAGUCAAGUUGAUUAAUGUAAAUUUAUUCUUCCAAUAUUAACAGUUGCCAUGCAAUGCAUUAAAAAAUGACUAUAGGAAGUGUCAGGAAUGAUUGUGUUCCUAAUUACACGUGCAUGGACUAGUGAUUAGAAAGUCCACAGAAACCCAAGAAAUAGGCAAAAUACAUAAAAAGGAAAAGAUAUCCUGAGAGCCCAAAAUAAUGAUUUUCAGAUAAAAAUAAUUUGGGGGCUUACUUUCUACAAUACUAGGGCAUGCACGCAUGCAGAAAAGAAUCUACUAAUACACAGCAUAAGCAAUAACUGUACAUCAACAAUGAUGAGCUACAUAUACAUAUUAGGCUAUUUACUCUAACAAAUUACUUUCAUUUCUCAGGCAUUGUCUCCACAUGUUAUAUCCAACAAAACAGAUCAUAUUCCCAAAAGUGAUCAAAAGAAAUUACCUUUAUAGAGUUGAUUAAUGGGUGAAUUCCUCAGCACAAAUGAAACAGCUUCGGCCAUGAAUUCUCGAACAUAAUCCUUGGGGUAAAAUCUUAAUUGAGCUGUAAUUCUUGAAUGAAGAAAUAGAAGGAUAAAUACAUAAUCUCAGUCAACAGUAGAAGGGGAGGUUUCAUAUCAAGGAAAACUAUAAUCGGAUGUAGAACAAAAAUUAAUGAAUAUUUGUGAAGAAUCGCAAACACAUAAUCGGUCCACACUCUUCUGUCCAUAUAAUACCAAGUAUGAAUAUCAAAUCUUCAGUAACAUAAUAACGGUAUACUUACAUCAGAAUGUGCUGAACAUCUUUAACAAGAUACUUUUGUAGAUACAUCAUGAUGUAUGACCAAGAUGUGAAGACCUGGAAUUAAACAAUAUCUUGGAGUUUAAAAUACACCAAGGCAUCAGAAAAUAUUACAAAUUACAAGUGCUACAUGAAAUACCUGCUCCAAAACUUCAGGAUCACGAUCUCCACCAUUAGUAAGAAGAUCUACUAAGGAGUUGGUGAGCCUUUGCAACAAACUAUAGAGAAGAAAACCAAUCAGAAUUAUUUAGCAAAUUAGUGAGCGUUCAUCUGUUAAUCUUGAUAUAGUAUUAUGAUUUUUUUAGUUUUUCUAAGCAGACCAAAGAGGACGAAUAAAGAAACUUCCGGAAUGCAUACUAGCCAACAUGGCAAGGGAAAGGGCAAAUAUGCAUUCGGCCGCUAAAUAAAAUGGCAAAUUUUAAGAUCAAAAAAAAGGAAAACUUACGGCAGGAACUCUUCAAGGACAUCUCUGGAGAAAGAAGCAAUUAACCUGUUCAGGCAACAUAUUGCUUAGGCUUUUGCUGUGAUCGAUUUAAAAGCAGUUCCCCAAGAGUAACAGCGAAUAGCCAAAACAGACAACGUAGAAUGCAUUGAGCAAACAAAUACAGGAACUUUUUUUCUUUUUGUUCAGGGAUGGCACAAAGAAUUACAAAGAUUGGUAGCUGAAUUUUCAUUUCUUUUUACAUUCUUCUGGACAGUAAAUGGAACCAUAUAUGGCACUCCAACAUUAGAGAUGACUUUAAGAAACUAGCACUACUUUAAUUUCCAAUGGAGCUUCAUAAUGUGGAUCCGAAGCGAUAAAAACUUGCUCAAAGUUGCCAAACCAACGGAAGUUGGGUUAAUUUCUAAAAUGUUGAACAAUUCAACAGGUUUAUACAAUCCAAAGACACAAAAACUUGCUGAAAGUUGGAAAACCAACAGAAGUUGGGUUCAUUGCAAGAAUGUUGAGCAAAGUAAUGUUUGUAGAGUUAUUCGUAACCAAAAUAAACCAAAUGGGAUUAGUACUUGUCAGGCUAAUCGAAGUGACUGGAAGUUCAUUUAGUUUGCACUAUUAUACAGAACAAAAGACGAAAAAAAAAAAAUCAUGUUACGAAUUGUUUUACUACCCACUAAAUUGAGGCAAAUGAAUACAAAGCACAGCUUACUUCCAUCAAACAAAACAGGAAGAAAUUUAGUAUUUAUUCAACAUUAGAAACUGUACAGCAAAAUGCAACAUGAUGUGACAUUGAAUUAUGAUUCUGAAUGCUUUCAAUCAUCAAAAUUUGUUAUACAAAAAAUAUGACUGUGAACUCACUGACAUUAGUAUUGGCUCAAGAGACAAUCUUGCUUUCAUGUUCAAUCUCUUAAGCAGCUCCGAGAAAAUCAGUUCUCGAUGCAGUAUAAUCUGAGGCAGUGUCUGUACCAAUGGCAUCAUCUUCUCAUAAAAUGAUAUAAAAUCUUCUGCAGUAUUUAGUUCCUGCAAUUAAAGUAAAACCAAGAAAAAUAUAUAAAUUAGCAUUCGUUUCAAACCAGUUCCAAAAACAAUAAGAAUAACGUAAAAAUAUUGAACUAUGUUGCAUUUUGAAUAUGACCCUUUGAAGUUUAGAUUUAACCACCUAAUGAGUAAAUUACACCACGGGUCGGUGAGCUUAUCGUGAAUUUUCAUUCAGGUAGACAAACUUCAAAGUGCAAUUUCUGUUUAAAUUAGAUCUGUCCACCUACUUUUUUAAUUUCCGUAACAAAUAUGUGAUAAAAUAGCUAAUUCAGAAGCCAAAAGAUGGCACGAUAAUGACUCGUCAGUUGAUUCAGCUGCUAUAAAUCAGCAACCACGUCAUCUGAGGGAGAUGAACUACUAAUCAUGCCAUUAUUAGGAGGUGACGCGAGAGCUGAAUUAGCCAUCACUUUGUCCUGCUGUCCGAAAAUUAAUAUGCCGUCCAACAAAGUAAACAAAAUUUAAAAUUUGUUGCCUCAAUUGAAACAAAUAGAAGCUCGGUGAUUAAAGUGAAACUUCACCAUAAGUCCAUUGACCACUUCCAAAUUAAAAGCGCCCAUAACCACGUAACAAAAUAUUCCAUCAGAUUACAAAAUAUUGCAUCACAAAGUAUUCAGUAGUGAAAUCAAAACCUUUAAAGCUCAGGUACAUAACUACAUAUUCAAAGAUCAGAACAUGCUAUAAGAUUGAGCAUCAAAAUCAAAACUUUUUAAAUUCCAAUACAAAUUGCAACGUGCUUACUCGCCACUGCAAGAGGCUCUCGCGAAAGAAGGAGGACCCGCUCGAGGGCUCCAAUUUUACGGGCUCCAAGCUGCGGAACACAUCGAUGUCGAUCUCCUCCACGCGCUGGUAGAAGCUCUUGAACUACAAUUCGAUCACAAAAACCACAAGAAGCAGGAGAUUAGAAGCCGCAUCCGAAUCGAUCGUAGAAGGGGGAAAUUAGGGUUUGCUGAGGAGCUUACGACGAAGCGCUUCCCCCCGGUGGAUGUGUUGAGGCACUUCACCGCGUGCGACUGUGCGGUCGCCAUGAGAGAGAGAGAGAGAGAGGGAGAGAGAGAGAGAGCUCGGGGUGUUUGGGCGAAAGAGGGGUCGCGGGAGGAGAAAGAAGAAGAAGAAGGGUUUAAUAAGGGUUUUGAUGCGGUAGCUUUUAGCCGAUCUCCACCGUCCGUUGAUGUACUUGGACGGUGGAUCGGUGAUCUCCGCAUGCGACGCGGUUGGGUCGGUUUUUUGCGAUGUUUCACUCCUUAAUGUUCGCGUUAAACGGUUAGAUUGGCUUGGAUCCGAGAUGAUUUCGGGUUGAACUCGACCCAACUUUUAACGGGCCCGGUCCAAGUUUCUGGACAAUAUUCCAAUCUUUUCAUUUAAUUAAAAACUCAAAAAAAUAAAAAAUAAAAAUAAAAAUAAAAAAGAGUAAAAGUCUAGCAUAUAAUUAUAUUUAUGUUAAAAAAAAACACGAAUUAUUAUUUAGGACAUAAUAGGCAAAUCAAAUCAACCUUUUAUUUACAAAAUAAAUUUUAUCAAAUUAAAUGCAUCUAUCUGUGGAUGUAGUGGGCUAAGGCCCGUGCCCCAACUUGGCCCAAUUUGGUCCAAUCCUAGUCCAGGAAACUUGGGCCCAACAUUUAUUAUUGCCUACACCUGGUGCAACAAACCAGCCCGUGCACCAUUUUUAAUCCCGGCCGUCCAUUCACUCUCACAUUUGCAAUCCAACCAUCGAACUUAUCCUGAUCUUCAAAUUCCAGAAAGGUCUAGUGUGACAGAAAAGAGAGAGAAAUUAUCACCCACAUCGAUGGAGCACAUCAGCCAUCGGAUCAUUGGCUCUUACCAUUAAUCUCAAAAGUUUACACGGUUAGAAAUAUACGACCAAUUCACUUAUAGUGUAUGGGCGCAACACCUACUGGUCUCGAUUGUGAGUCGGCCCAACCAAUCUUAUGCCACUUUGACCAUGGCUCGACCCAACCAGACUUCACGCAAUUUCGAACGUAACCCGAUCUAGUCUGGCCUCCAACCACAGAGUAGAAUGCUGGUCCAUUUAAACCAACAAAUCACAGUCGGCAAUGCACCAUGCUUGCACUUUUCUUUCGGUCGACUCUCAUAAUCUCCGUGCACGGUGCAACUGUCGAAGUCAAAAUUACUUUCUACCUAUCACAUUUUCUUAAAACUUUUAGCAGUCGAGAUGGGGGCUGCGGUGCACAACUGACGUGGUGCGCGCAUAGAUGAUUCUCUAGUCCAAAGUCGAACUCUGGCCGCCGCCGAGCAGAGAAAAUCUCUUUCUUCCUUUUAAUUUUGAAACUUACUUGGUCAGACACGAAUCAAUUCGCGAAUCAUAGAUUUGGUUCGAGCUGGGGUGUGGUUACUAGAACUAAAAAACUUGAGCCUGAUUUUGUUAAAUAUAAAAAUGUUUAAACGUCGUUCUCUAAAAAUUUAAGCUUUUAGAGCACAACAGUUGUUUCAUAUGGUAUCAGAGCAGAAGGUUCUGAGUUCGAGUCAUUCAAGCCCACGUCAUGAGCCGACUAAAAAGUCUCGAGCCCGGACAUUUAAACACCGUUCUCUAAAAGAUUAAGCUUUUAGAGCACAACCGUUGUUUCACAGAUUUUGGCCAGGCCUGUUUACACGCCACCUUCAUCAGAGCUGGGUGUUUGUUCGUUUUAUAAUCUACGCAAUAGUUUAUGUUUUGAGCUCACGCAUGGUUUUGAAUGUACCUAGCAAAAUACGACGUGUACAAAACCAACUCAAUUCAUUUGUCAUCUUUUUUAUGUUUUAUGUCAAUGUCAAUGUCAAUGUUAAUGUUACUUCAUUAGAAAUAAACAUCGAUACCGACCGUUCCUAGAGCAAGUGGCAAAGGACUUGGUGGUUGGUACCAGAGACCCAAGUUCGAAUUCUAGUUGAUUCACAUUUCCAGCUAAGUUUAUUUCUAAAUGAAAUAAACAAAGUUGAUAGCGACCUAUCUCUCUCAAAAAAAAAAGAAGAAAUAAACAUUGAUCCUACUAUUUAGUUUCACGAUGCAACAACAAAGAAAAAAAAAAGAAAAGACAAGGAAAAAGAAGAAAAAAAAAAGAACCAGAGUAGAAAACGUUCUUGUGAAUUAAGUGGUAUUAGCAUUAGAGUUACUUGUAACUGAAAGCAAAAGCAGAAACAAGGCCGAACAGUUUUGAAUUUAUUACAAGCAUUAUUUAUUUCUUUAGAUUUUUGUUAAAGUUGUUUUUAAAUAUAUAUUAAAUUACAAAAUAAUGUGGACAAUUUGGCGUUAGAGUUUUUAUAAAAACGUGAGUCAACCAAACUGGAUAGAAAAUCUAGCUGAACUCCACAAAUUUUACAGUCGGCGUAGAAAAUUUUUAAAAAGUCAUAACUUUUCGCUCCAAUAUCCGUUUUCAGCAUACAACCCAAUUUGAAAAACACCUUUUCAGAUCCACGUGUUGAAAAAUAAAGCCAUUCUACCCAAAUUUGGGAUUCAAAUUCAACUGUGUAGUCCUCCAUUUUUUACAUUUUUAGGUUACUUUUGGAAAUUUUCAUAUUUUUUUUAUUUUUAGUUCAAUUAUUUAAUUAUUUCUUAUCAAUUUAGAUUUACAGAUACAUUAGAAUUUAUUACCUUCAAUUUUAGUAGAACUGGGUACCGAUCAUAUAUAUAUAUAUAUAUAAAUACACGAUGUUCAGUUAAUAUAAUCAACUUUUAGAGUUUAUUAACAGCAUUUUCGUCUUUGUCAAAAAAUAUAUUGUUUUUUGUGUAUCUAUCUUUUUAUUCUCGGCUUCUCCUCUUUCAAUGUGAAUUACGCCUGCGUCGCAAAAGAACUUCAAAAGAUGGUUGAGUAUUGCUUUUAAAAGCUUUUCUAAGAGAACAUAUAAAAUGAUAUUAUCAAUAGCAGGAAAAAGUUUAAAAUUAUUCAAAAAAUUGUAUUUGGAAUAUAAAUUUAUUUAAAAUAUAUAUAAAUAAAAUGUUUUGUAAAAUAAAGAUAUGAAAGCGGGGAUAGCUCAGUUGGGAGAGCGUCAGACUGAAGAUCUGAAGGUCGCGUGUUCGAUCCACGCUCACCGCAAAAAAUGUUUAAAAUUUUAAUUUUUUUUCCUUAAUAGAUUUUGCAGGAAAUGUUAAAGUAAUUUGUAGAUUUAUUCCAAAACAUUUAGGUAGCAAAAUUAUUUUAAAUCUUUCGAAAUUAUUUUAAGUUUUCUUUGAAUAAUUUGUGAAUUUUUUAAAUACUUUUCUCCAAAACUUUAGGCAGGAAAAAUAAAGUUAACUUGUAGAUUUAUUUCAAAACAUUUAGAUAGAAAAACUUUUUUUUUUUGACUAAUUGCUGAAUUUUUAAACUAUAUUUUUCCCCGAUACUUGAAACUAUUAAAGGUAAUUUGUAGAAAAGUAUUUAAAAAAUUCACAAAUUGGAAAUAAAUCUACAAAUAACAUUAGUAUUUCCUGCAUAAAAUGAUGUUACCUUCUAUAGUGAAGAAGUAUUAGGGAAAAACUUUUUUUUUUUGACUAAUUGCUGAAUUUUUAAACUAUAUUUUUCCCCGAUACUUGAAACUAUUAAAGGUAAUUUGUAGAUUUAUUUCAAACAUUAAGGUAGCAAGAUUAAUUUAAUUCUUUUGUAGAAUAGUUUCUAAAUUUUUAAAAUAUUUUUUCCCUAAUACUUCUUCACUAUAGAAGGUAACAUCAUUUUAUGCAGGAAAUACUAAUGUUAUUUGUAGAUUUAUUUCCAAAUAGAAAUUGUUUUAUCUGUUUUUUUUUUUUAUUUGGGUGUUUCUCAUGUUAUUUAUUCUUGCUACGCACUUGUGGUGUUAUGUUCUUUUCCGCAUGAAAUGAUUUUUUCUAAAUUAUAUAUUUUUUUGACUUGUUUCUCUAAUUUUUGAAUGUAUUUUCUUCCUAGUUACCGUUAAAAAGAGAUUAAUUUAGAAUAGGAAGAAAAAUAGAAUGUUAGCUUUGAAGGGCGUGUUUGUUUCGUUGGAUCUUCGGUGCAGAAGUUCCUUACCUUGCUGCAUCGUGAGACGAAAAUAUUUAGAGGAAACUGGGGAAGAGCAAUUGGAUUCGUACGAUCUAUGAGUACCUGUCCCGACUUCGUGUACUACGUGGGAGGCAACUUCAUUCCCUACCACGGUGAAGUUAUAUAAGAUCGGAUAUAUGGCAGGAACUCGCAACUUCUGACCUCUUCCAUUCCAAGCAAAACAAACACGCCCUAAGCGUGACCAAAUGCUUCGUUAAUCUAAAAAUUUUAUUUAUAUAUAGAAAAUAAAAAUUCUAGAACUUUCCAUCACAUAAUAGCAUCUUCUACUAUUUUUUUUUUCACUAAAAGAAAUAUCAUUAAAAAUACUCUAAAAUUAGAUAGUAAAACUACAAAUUUCAAAGCACUCAUUUUAAAGUACAACAUUACUCACGCAGAGUAAGUUAAAGUUAGAUACAUUUUUACCUUCACAUAAUAUAAGGCAUUUUUAUACCCAUAUAUAUAUAUAUAUAUACACACACACACUUGUAUAUGUGUAUAUGCAUACAUGUAUUCAUCAUCUAUUCCUCAUUAUUUGUAUUAUUAAUUUAAAGUUUAGAAAAGGUUGUUCAAUUAAAUUAGUAGAAUAUAUAAAAAUUGUUUCCGAAGUUCGAGAUUAAACGACCAAAAUAACCAUAACCAAGUACAAUUAAUCCAAAAAUCCAUGUAAAGUGUACUAAAAAACCAUACUAAUAUAUUCCAAACAAUUUUGACCAAGUUGACCCAUUGAGACCUACAAAAUUACCUCGGGGUAAUUACCAUUUAAUCCUCCACACAACCUUUAAAAGAGUAAAUUUCUUAAGGUCAAUGCACUUUUACUAUAGUAAAAUAAGAAAGUAAUUUAAGUGAUCCAAACUUUAUAUUUUCGCUUAUAAGCCGUCUCUCAAAUUCGCUUACAUCGCGACAAUUCUAUAGAAACCUAUAAUCAGCGAGUCAAAUAUUUGAUUUGAUUGAGAUUUUGUUGUUCAUAGUCGAGAAAGUUGAGCCAAACAAGUUCACGAACAAUUUACAUCAGAGAGAAAUUUUUUUUCUAUAUUUGGCCGUCAGGCUUAUACUGUUUUUCUCUUAUAGCUUUAGUUGAUAACCAGCAUUUUUUAUCGUCUUUCGAUGACACGGACAAAAAUAAUAAUUAAGAACAUUUAAAUAAAUCACGAGAUGGUGAGCCCCACAUAUUGGAUGAUCAGAUUCUUAUUAUGUAUAAGCGACAAAAAAGAUUAUAGGACCACAUUAGCUUUGUUGAUUCACCCAACCAAAAAAAAGGGAAAAAGAAAAAAAAAAAAAGAAAAAAAAAAAGAGCCUUGUACAUGGACUCAUAUUUUCUAGGAGACAAACUCCUCAAAAACAAACACUAAUCAUGAACUAAUCACGUGAUUACUACUCUGAGCCCCAGUGGUUCCACUUCUAAGUUAUAUUAAAAUAUGAACUGGCUAGCUACUACACUAUCGGUAUCACUGAGACCUCCGCAUUAUCAAAUUACUUUUAAUGAUGUGACUUUCGAAUCAACGAUCGGCUAUGUUAAACUUAAUAUACACUUUUCAAACUAUUUGAAAAUUAAAUUUUAUAAUUUUUCGACAAUAUUUAGCUAGUGAUCAAAAGGUCUCAAAAUUGAUUAUUUUAAUGGUCGAUGUUAUGCGUUUGUAAACUUAACAGUGUAAAACAAUCUAAAUCUGAUGAAAUUUUAAUAAAAAAUUCUUUUCGCUAUUUAGAGUAAGUUUAAUUCCUCUGAUUUUAAAUUCAACUCUUUUGUCAUUAUUUUUUAUAAAAUUUUUAUUUUGAAUCAUUCAUUUUAGACGAUUCGUUUGAUAGGUAAAUAAUGUCAAAAAAUUACAAAAUUUAGUUUGCAAAUACUUUUAAUAGUGUAGAUCAAGUCUAACAGAGCAGAUCGUCGACUUGAAAGCCGCAUUAUUGAAAACAACUCAGUUGCCGAUAGUACAGCAGCCGAUCUCUUUAAUUAUUUAUCAUAGUGGAAAGAGUAGUGUCAUAUAAAUUUUACACUUUUUUAUUCAAUGGCCUAUAUUGGUCUUUUGUCUUAUCAAAGUUAUUAUAUAUUAUUACUUUCAAAUACUAAAACUUUAAAAAAUUUUCAAAAGUAAAAUAUUAUAGUCAUCCGUAAAUUUCAUUAAAAAUCGAAUAUUAUAUCAACUAUAAGAAUUAAAAUCAGUAUUUCUAGUAAUUAAAGCCAUUAGAUGGUUAAUAACAAAUUCUAAUUAAUCAUAGUAAUUGGAAAUAAAAACGAUUUAAUGUACCCAAAAAAAAAAAGAAAAACAAACAAUUGGGGACUAGAGUACCAAUUUAGAAUAAUCUAUAGUGUAGGGGUCUCCAUGCAUUUUAAACGAUGGAAAAAUAUUCCUAAUGAUUAAUUGACCAAAGUUAUGGCGCCAUGGCAAAAGCAUACGAAAAAUGCGAUGUUCCCUCGCAUUUGUCACACCAUUUUUACACACAUUAUGCAAUCAUUUACCAUGUGGGGGACACUCUCAAAACCGAAGCACAACAAGUUGCCUCUUUUUUCCUUUUUUUUUCCUUAAAUUAUUAUUGUUAUUAUUCUUUUUUCUCUAUCACUUUUUCACCUUUUUAGAAAACAAUGUAAUUAAUCCACACCCGGUCAACUACAUCCCAAAGUCAUAGAUCUCUAUUAAAAAAAAAAAAAAAAAAAAACCAACAACUCUACUAUGUAUUAAAGAAUAAAAAAGUCUCUCUCUCUCUCUCUCUCUCUCUAUAUAUAUAUAUAUAAAGAAAAACUUCAAAUACUCCCUGUGGUUUCGCACUUUUUCACUUUAGUAUCCUAUGGUUUAAUAUUUCGUUAAAUUAUAUAUCCCGAAAUGGAUAAUAAAAAGAGAAAAUUGAAGCCACAGAGUACUAACUUGAUACAAAAAUAAAAUCACAGAGUACUAACUUGAUACACUUGAAAUCACAGGAUAUUAAAGUGAGAAAGUGCGAAACCACAUGGGAGGUAUUUGAAGUUUUCCCAUAUAUAAAAUGAGGAACAUAACUAUCUCACAAUGUAAUUAAUUUAGAUUAUUUAAAUGUUAAUGUGUUGCUGAAGUGGAAGUGUGGAACUAAUAUGGUAUUUUAAUUGUUAUCGCGUCAUUAAUCGUAAUACUAUUAUAUCACAUUUAUAUUGGAUUAAUGUAGCAUUUAAUUGCAAUAAUUCUACAAGUUUGAGUCGAAAAUAGUCAUUAAUUUAGGUUUGAGAACCAAAAGACAUAUUAAGUUUAAGUCGUGCUAGUCUAUUAUCAGCAGUAAACGGCUCGAUUUACUACCGAUUUAUUUUUUCAAUAUAGAGUUUCUAAAUCAAUGAUUCAUACCGUUGAAUAUGAUUUAGACAUUCAAAAUAUCUGAAAAUUAAAUUUCAUGCAUUUUCUAUAUUGUUUACUUGUGCAUUAAGUGGAUAAAAUGUGAAUGACUGAGAAUAAAUAUUCUUCAAAAUGUGAUGAUAUAAUUUUUAUAUUCAAAAUUUAGAAUCUAGAUCUUAUUUUAAAUAUUUUUUUUAAAAAAAACGAGCAAACGCACCGUAUCUGCCAUUCAAAUUGCAAAUUUUGUGACCAUUUAAUCAUUCAGUUAGUAAUAUCGAAAAAACACAAAAUUUAAUUCCUAAAUAAUUUAAAUGAUCUAAAUUAUAUUCAACUGUGUCGAUUAUUAAUUUUUGAAAAUUUUAUCAUUGAAAAUAAAUCGAUAGUAACCACAAUGAAUUUAUAUACGCGCCUCUCUCUCUCUCUCUCUCUCUCUCUCUCUCUCUCUCUCUCUGUUCACGUGAUUUAGGCCCCUCCGCACGCAGCAGGUGGGAACCAUAAUUUCGCGCUGUUUUUCAUUCUCUCUUUCUACAAAAGAUGUGGGGACGUGGACAUGUGUGUGUAGUAAACACAAGUAGAAAAGAGGUUGCCAAAGAUCACGGCUCCAUCGUGAGGGUGGCGUGGGUCCCACCUGUCGCCCGGAUCUGCUCACCAUCUGUACCCGUUGCUGAUAUAUUGACAUGCUGAUAUCUAACAUAUAAUUUGAUAUUACCGACCGUCCCUACAGCAAGUGACAAAGGGCUUGAUGGUUGGUACUCGAGACCCAAGUUCGAAUCCCAGUUGAUUCACAUUUCUAGCUAAGUUUAUUUCUAAAUAAAAUAAACGAAGCGGGUAGCGUGCUAUCUAUCUCUCUCUCGAAAAAAAAAAACAUAUAAUUUGAUAUUUACGGUAUAUAUCAACUUAUCAGCUGACAUAAAGGAUAUAAUUACUAACCUAUCUGAAACGUAUUCUUAUAAACUGUAAUAUUGUAAAUUGCAAUUGUCAGAUGCAUCACCUAAUACUGUAUAAACGUAUUUGAAUAUAGGAUUAAUUUCAUACAGAUCCCUGCAGAUAUAGUACGUGAAUGAUAAAUAUAUUUUUAUAAAGUUCAACUUUUAUAUAUUGUCUCUAUAAAAAUCCUGAUAUUUUCAAAUAUGUCCCCACAUCUAUAAAUUUGAAUAUAUUGUUUAUCUUUUAAUGUCUUGUUAAGAUACUUCAUAUUAUUUUCGCAACUAUAAAUUUAUUAAAGUAAUAAUUAACUUAAAUUUUAAAAUUAAAAUAUUAUUAACUGAUUCAAAUCAAAUACAUUAAAAGAUUAAAUCGUGAAAAUUAAGAUUUUGAAUAGCUGAAUAAUCAAUCUAAAAUGGUUCACAGAUCAAAUAAGUUCUGUACGUUUUUUUUCAUGUGUAUAAAAAAUAAUCUCCUUUGCAAUGAGAUCUUGUUAAGCUCACCUGGAGAGUGAGCAGAUCCCAGCAGAAAAGCAAAUUCCCGCUUCUGGGGUGAGCAGCUGCUGCUGCUGCUGCUGCUGGAAGCUGUAAAUGGCUUGUAGUGAGAAGAAGCAGGCAUUGAAUUAAUUAAUUGAUUAAUUAUUUAAUAAAUGCUCAGAUAUAUAUGACUUGGGAUAGAACACUAUUAAUAGUAUUUGCUCCGUUUUGCCAUCAAAUUUUUAGUUUUGGAUAAAUUCAUUUGAUCAUUUCUAACCAUUGGAUUAAAUAUUAUAACCUAGUGGGGACCAAUCAACUCUAGGAGAACCACUCGACUCUAAACGACUAAUAUCAUCCUAACCCUAUAAUUUCUAAGCCAAGAGUUAAAAACUUGUUAGCAAGCCAAAAUGGACCAAAUACUAUCAAUAGUAUUUCAUCCCAAUUAUAUAUAUAUAUAUAUAUAGAGAGAGAGAGAGAGAGAGAGAGAGAGAGAGAGAGAGAGAGAGAGAGAGAGAGAGAGACAGAGAGUCUGGCUACUAUACUCUUAUGAGUAUAGGCUCCUUUAUACUCAUAAAUUUUCGGUCAUUAGAUCUAUUGCUUUGACCAUUUUCAUCCGUUAGAUUAUACUAUUCAAUCAACCACCCAUUCAACCCUAAAGGACCACUAUUAACCUAACUUAAGACCACUGUAAUCCUAACAACACAUCUCUUCAUCCAACGGUCGAAAAUUUUAGAGUACAAAGAGGCCUAUACUUAUAAAAGUAUAGUAGCCCUAACAUAUAUAUAUAUAUAUAUAUAGAGAGAGAGAGAGAGAGAUCGGUUGGGCUAGAAUACUAUUGAUAGCAAAAAGCCUUUUUUGCUAUCAAGUUUUUAGCCUUUGGAUUAAUUUCAUUCAUCAUUUCUAACCAUUAGAUUAAAUAUUAUAACCCAGUGAAAACCACUCAAAUAUAUAUAUAUAUAUAUAUAUAUAUAGUGUUAAUUUUAUACAGGUCUCUGAAUUAUAAAUAUAUUCCUAUAAAAUUCAACUUUCAUAUGUCGUCCUUACAAAAGUUCUAAUAUUUUCCAAUACGUCCCUUUAGUAUAUUACUGUUAAAAUACUAUUUAUUUAAUAAGUGAAAUUACUUUUUUGCCAUCACAAAUAUAUCCCUUCAAAAAUCUAAAUUAUUAAUUAAAGAGGAAUAAAAAGAUUAAUUCAUCAUAUUAACUAACUAGGAUUAAGUAUUUUACCUAUGAUUAACUAAUUUUUUCUAACAAAUACUAACGGUAAAAAUAUAUUUAAAAAUAUCAUGAUUUUUACAGAGACAACAUAUGAAAGUUGAACUUUGUAGGAAUGUAUUUGUAAUUUACUAUGUUUGUAGGGACUUGUAUGAAAUUAAUCCAUAUUUGUAUAUGUAGUGAAUGUAAAAUGUAAAUGGGGAAGAGGUUAAAAAAAGAAAGAGAAGAGAAGAGAACAAAUGUUCAGAGUUAAAAAAGAGAUGGAUUCUCUGCAGGGUUAGGGCUUAGACAAAUAGAAGGGAAGGGAAUGUUGCUUUCCUAGAAAUACUCACAAACAUGGUUUUUUUUAAAAAAUGGGAAAAAAAAUAAUGUAUGGAGAAGAAAUUUCUAGGAAAUAGCAGGACAAAAAGGACAUCUCUUUGCUACGCGAGCGCCACGUGACAUUUUUAAGUUGAAUACGAUGAUCGAAUCAUCGUGUUUAAACACGGUAAUUAAAUCACCGUAUUUAUAUCCAUAUUCUAUUUCUUUUUAUUUAACUUACAGGCAAUAAAAAAUUAUAAAAAUAAAUGCAGUGGCCAAUUACUGUGUUUAAAUAUGGUGUUCCAAUUAACAUAUUCAAUUUAAAAACUCCAUCUUACCGCUCAUGUAGCAAAAAAAAAAGGCUAUUUAUGUAAAUAUAAAUUUGUUAGGACUAUAUGUAAAGAAAAAAUUGAAGGGGUUAUGAAAUAAGAGCCUAUCACAUCUUUAAAUAUCUAAUUUUAUUAUAUAAUUUUUUUAUUUAUUUAAUUUGAGCCAAUUAAUGAUUCUUUAACUUCAUUUAGUUCUGUUGAUUUAGUUAGUAUAUUUUAUGUAAUUUAUAUAACUAUUAAUUUAUGAAAAGAGAUAAUUAACUAAAAUUUUGUAUAUAAAGAGCCAUCAAAAUAUUUAAAUUGAAUAAAUUAAAAGGUUGGGUAUUAAAAUUGAAAUUUUAAAGGUAGGAUAGUUGAAUGAAAAUAAUUUAUAGUUUAUGAUAAAUUUUAUAUAUUUUUACCUUCUCUUGUUACAUAAAUUACAUAAAUGUCCAUGAUUUGGAUAGAGAAAUAAUUGAAAUUCGUAGUUAUUUGCUUUUUGUGACUUAUUUUUAGAAAAAGGUAGUGAAAAAAUUAGCAUGCUAUUUUCCACUUUAUUUAUAUUUAUAUUUAUUUUUAUAUAAAUAAAUUUAAUUGAAAAUACGAAAUAACUAAAUUUCCAAAUUGGGACAUGAGAUACCAACUAUCAAUUUUUUUUACCACUUGCGCUAAGAACGGUCAUUGUUUUUUGCGACUUUAGUUUUAAUUUUUUCUGUAAAAGAUUAUACUUAGGUUCGAUUCUUACUCCUUAGACAUGAAAUUUUUUUCUCUCCAAGAAAAUGUAUCCGAAUACAUUUAAAAUGAUUCAUACAUAUAAGUAAGAUUUCUUAUACUUCAGCUAUAGAGACUUUCAUAUACGUUGUGCUAUGUAUACGAUCUGAUAUCGCACUUUCUGUGAUUGUCACAAACAGAUCUCAAUCUAAUCAUACUCUCUCUCUCUCUCUCUCUCUCUCUAUAUAUAUAUAUAUAUUAGGAAAAACUUCAAAUACCAUCACUAUGGUUUCGCACUUUCUCAUUUUAGUAUCCUAUAGUUUAAAAUGUAUCACCUUUAUAUCCUGUGAUUUUAUUUUUCUCAUUUUGUUAUAUCCUUUACUAAUUUUUUUUCGUUAAAUCAGCGACAAUGUUAAAACUAAAAGAUAUUAAAGUAAAUAUUCCAUAAACGGAGGGGCCGAUGAAAAGAGAAAAAUGAAACCACAGGUACUAAAUUAACACACUUUAAACCACAAAAUACUAAAAUGAGAAAAGAGGAAACCGCAAGAGUGGUGUUUAAAGUUUACUCUAUAUUUAUUAUAUAUUAUUACUAACUCACCCACUCUGCCGAUUCCUCGUCGUUUUUCUCAUCCCGCGGCGCGGAGCGGAGCGUCACUUACGGGGUGCGUUAAACUAUUAACGUGGCAAUUUACAGUGAUCCCCCUUACGCAUUAGUAGUUUUGAAACACAACCUUAACACUUUUUUUUUUUUUUUUUGGCUCGUGUGGUCUAGCUCAUUUUACUUUACAAUUUUGUAACUUAAAAAAUUACACUUAACUACUCAUGUGGUCUAGCUUAAUUUACUUUACAAUUUUGUGACUUGAAAAGUUACACUUAACUACUCUAUGUUUAACUUUUUUUUACUGAAAAAAACUAUUGUCAAAUUAAAAAUUAUAAAAUAAUACUAAUAUUUAACAAUAGAUUUUACAAUAAAAUAGCAGAAUAAUUAAGUGUAAGUUCUCGAGGCAUAGUUUAAUAUAAUAUUUUCAUCUAUAGAAUGAUAAAAUAAAAAUACGCUGUACUAUAGAAGAAAAAUUACAGCUUACCAUUUUUUUAAUAAUUACUAACUAAUCUCGUGAUUAAUAUAUAAUUAACUGACAAUAAUCGAGGAGUAUCUUCUACUCAGUUUAAAAAAAAGCAACUCUAAUCUCAAAUCCAAAAAAUUAAAGAAAGAAAUUUUAAUUAUCAUUUCAAUACCUCAAACUUUUGAGUUUGUAACUUAGUUAGAUUACUAAAUUCAAAAUAGUAUAUAAUUGGGGGGUGUCCGUGCAUAAUUACCAUCACUAUUUUAACGGAAAAAGGUCCGUUACGAUGGGAGUGGUUGUAACUUGUAAAUAUAAGAGAACUAAAGAAGCGGAGUGAAAAAAGGGGUAAUUAAAAAAAAAGGAAAAAAGAAAAAAAAAAAGGAAAUCGAGUUCCCGCCUCUGCGCUCUUCUUGAAUCGUCCAAAGAGUGAGAGAGUGUAGAAAGGGACGAGGAGAGAGAGAGAGGGAGAGAGAGAGAGAGAGAUGGAGAGGAGAGAGAGGGGGGAGUAGAGAGAGAGAGAGAGAGAGAGAGAGAGAGUGAGAGAGAGAGAGGGAGAUGUGGGGGAGCUCCGGGAGCUUUGGGGGCGAUCGCGGCGGAGAUGGACACCCCCGAGCGGAGCACGGUCGGAGCGGCGGCGAUCUCCAAGUUCGAGGUGAUUCAUCUCUGGUUUCUUGGGGUUUAUCCCGAAUUUGAGCGAUUUUGGAGGGUUUUGGUGUUUUGGUCGUGAUUUGGAAUAGGUGAAGGGGUUUCGGGGGUUUCUGGGGGGGUUUGGAUGAGGGUUAGGGCGUGAAUUUGUCGGAGCCGCUUUGAUCUCCGAGUUUGAGGUGAUAUGUCCCUCGUUUCUUGAGUUUUAUCUGGAAAUUAGGCGAUUUUUUAAGGGUUUUGAUGUUUUUGGUUGUGAUCUGAAGUGUGGUGAAGGGGUUUCGAGGGGUGUGGUGGUGGUUUGGGGAUUGAAUUCGUCGGAGCUGCGUCGAUCUCUAAGUUCGAGCUCAUCUAUCCCCUGUUUCUUUGGUUUUAUCUCGAAUUUGGGCGAUUUUUUAAGGGUUUUGAUGUUUUUGACUGCGAUCUGGUUUGUAGUGGAGGGGUUUUGGGGGGUUCGCGUUGGAGGGGGUUGGGUUCAGAGGACGACCGGGGCUUGAAUUUUUCGAAACUGUGGCGAUCUCCUAGUUUGGGGUGAUUUAUGCCUUGUUUCUUGGGCUUUAUUGAGAAUUUAGGCGAUUUUUUUAAGGGUUUUGUUUUUUUUGGUUGUGAUUUUGGCGUGAGGCAGGGCUUUCAGGGUUUUGGGAGUUUAGAGGAGGAUUAGGGCUUGAAUUCGUCGGAUCGUGUACAAUUUUUGGGGAUCAGAAGAUCUUCUUGUAGAAUUUGUGCUGAAUCUUUAACUUGUGUUCAAUCUCUUGGUCUCUGGCUCUUUAGCCGGUUUUUACAGUUAUUUUCAUGAAAAAGGUUGGUUUUUCUUUUCGGUAGGGUAAGGUUUUGCUACCGAUAACAGUGGGAUUAUAAUCCUGUUUUGGGAAAUCUUAGUGUUUUCUCAUGUGUAUUCUCAGACAAGCUAAUUUCAGCGAAUUUUGUUGGUGAUCUUUGUUUUCUCUUUGGAUCAGUUGCUUACUGUUUCAUCGAUCUAUUGGAUCUAUUAGAUAACAUGGUAUCAUAGCCGGUCCUAUGCCCUUUUAGUUUCAAGAUGUCAUAGGUUCAUUUCCCACAUCUUCCAUUAUUGGGAUGAUUCCAGUUUGUUAUUCUGGUACCUCCUUUUUUUCGGUGCUGGGGCAUGGUUAUCCCGAUUCAUGUAAUCAGGGGGUGUUAAGAUUAUUCUUAGGCUUUUCCCUAUCAGAUCGAUCUGCUAGGUAACAAUUUUUGCCCCUAAGGCAUGAUUUGACCAAGAAUAGAAUCUAUGCCGAUCCAUAGUAUGCUACUACUCUAUCUUCAAGAUCCUCUCAAUUUUCUUGUGAAUCUGGUAAUUAAUACCAUGGUGAUGGAAAUUUAGUGGCUUAAUAGCAGGAAUGCGAGAUUUGACUUUAAUAAUUUAUAAUUUUAUCAUGUAGGGUAAUUUUGUCUGAUAGUUUGCUAAUUCGCCCAAUGUUGGAUUUUGAAGCACUGCUGUUAGUCAACUAUUCAGUUUUUGCUUGAUUUUGUCUUGCUGUCAGUCAAAAGUCUUUAAACAAAUCUUACUCAGAGACAAUAUUUUGUGUGUUUCCUGGUGUCUAUGGAGUUGAACGAGUGACAAGUUUCAGGCCUUACAUUUUAUCAGGACAUAUAAUUCUCCUUUGCAUUAGAUACAAAUUGUGGAUCCAGUCAUUAAAUGUGUGUGGAAAUGUGUGCUAAAAUCGAUUCUUCAUGGAUUUUGUAUUCAUUUCUUUGAAAUUCCUAAUUUAAUUUUUUUUUUAAAAACCAUAAGAGUUCAUUGUGUUUUGAGGAAAGAUAGAAUUUACUGUUAAGUGCUUAUUUCUUGUCUAACAUAGUCUAAUUUAGAUAGAAUAUACAUAAUAAUGUACAUUAAUUUUCGGUUGGAUAAUGAUCAACUUCAUUGUGCAUGAUAUGUAGCUGGUGUGCGUAAGAAACUGUUUUUUGCCAUUGCAGGAUUCUCCAGUCUUCAACUUCAUCAAUAGUUUAUCUCCUAUCCAGAUGGUUAAAUCAAUAGAUUCAGUACAGAGCAUACAAGCUUACCAAUCUUUGAAUUUUGCAUCUAUUCCCUCCAUCUUUACUUCACCACAUGCCAAUACCCAAAAAGACUCUAAAUUGUCAGCAAGGUAACUUUUGACUCGCUUCUUCUUGGUUCUAACAUUGGUGAUUUAGCUCACUUUGCUCUUCAUCCUACCAGGAAUCCUUUUAAAGAACUUUCGGAACAAGAGACUAGUAGUGUAACAUGUUUACUUAAUGAAGCGUUAGUUGAUCCUCCUGAUGACUCGUCAAUUGUGCCUACCAAUUUGCCUCAGCCUUUGCAAUUUGAUGGUGGCAGUCCAAAUCAUAGUACUACACCUCGCCAUGGUGCCAAAACAGAUCACGUACAAAGCAAUCUUAACCUUUUUCAAAGUAGUCUUGACAAAAGAAAGAGCUUAUUUGCCCCUGAAAGGGAGAUCGGGGAAAAUCAUCCAGCCAAUCAAGAGAAUAAUGAAGUGGUAGGAUUGGAUUGGACGAAUUUGAUGUCCGAUAAUGUUGAUGACCUUUUGAUUUAUAACCUUUCAAUUGAAGUGGAUAUUUGCAGAGCUGUGGAUGGAAAGCAAGGGCUCGGUGAUGUUAAUUACAGUGAUUUUUUCUCAUCAAAGUAUGCAGGGGAGAUUAAUGAUUCACAGAAAACACAACCUGAUGUGCUUUCUGCUCCUUGUGUCCAAAAUGUUACUGAGAAUCCUCAUGUGCUUUGUGAUGAAAUGUUUGGAAAGGAAGAUGAUAUGGAUCAUACCCCAGAAAUUCUCUCCGGUGGUCCUAACCAGGUUGUUCCAAUUGAUCACAUCCAGGAGAAUUUGAAUGAAGCCAGCGAUUGUAUUCCAUUAGGCUACAAGGUAUAUCACUUACAUCCAUGCAUACUUUGUUCUAAAUUAACAUAAUUAUACGUAGGGGCCUUACUACCACUUUAAUAAAAUGUUUAUGUUGCCAAAUCAUGCGACUAAUCUGACAGCUAUCUUUAGGUUGAUUCCCAACAACAACGUGGCAUGCGGAGGCGCUGUUUGGUUUUUGAAGCAGCUGGGCUUUCGAAGAAGAACACAGGCAAUGUGAAACCUCGUUCUGCAAUCUCAAUAACAUCCAAGGGCAAAAUGGCUUCUUAUGAUAGCCACUUAAAUCCUCUGAAAACUCCAUCACCACGUGUCUUACCUGGUAUUGGUUUACAUUUGAAUGCUCUUGCAACAACUUCAAAAGAUAGAAUGGUCACACAGGAUACUUUAGCUUCUGGAAAACAACUAAUAAGCAUGCCAUGCACUAUUGGUUCCUUUGUUUCAACUGGGCAGAAAACAGAAAGUAAGUCUCAGCCUGUUGCAAAGGAUUUUGUUCAUACUGGUAGUGAAUUUCAAGAGCCUCAAGUUAUGAACAAUGAGACUUCACCGCCAACUGUGCUCGAAAAUGCUGAGGAGUCCAGCCCCAAGAAGAAGAGGUAUACAUUUUGUCCUCAUGGAAUGCUGAAUAUAAUUUUCAGAUGUCUGGUUCGGGUCUCGUUGCCUUCAGUUUAUAGCUAACAGGUAAUAAUUGUGAACCAGGCGCAAGUUAGAAAAUGGUGAAGGUGAAUCAUGCAAGCGUUGCAGCUGUAAGAAGUCAAAGUGCUUGAAGCUGUAAGUUCUUUUCAUUAUUUCACUCAAUACUGGAUUCCUUAAAUAUAUUGUUCUUUGACCAGUAUAAAUCAAUAGUUGAAAAAGAUUUUUCAAAUUCGGAAGCUGUCAUGUAGAUUGUAGAAUUAUCUUUUCAGACCUUUUUUGGAUAAACGGAUGAAAUUAUAUUUUGCUUUUACAAUGCUGGAACCUGUAAAUUUUUACGUGUUUCCUAUUGUUUGUAAGUAGAUUGAGACACGAUUUAUCGUGCAACGUGUGUGUGUAUGUGUGUGUUUCCCAUUGUUUAUAGGUAGAUUAAGAUAACAUGAUUUAUCUUGCAACAUGUGUGUGUUUGUGUGUGUUGGAUAUUAAUUUAAUGAACUAGGAGCUUAGAAGCAAGGAUUCUCAUUAGACAGUAGCUUCCCCUUUCUUCUGUGACAUGUUGCAGGACAAGAAGAAGCAUAUUUUCCAGCUUUUCCUUGUUAAGACUUGCCAAUUGUAUUAUCUAAACUCGUAAUAACUUGUGUACCUGGUGACCUAAAAAUCGUACGGUAAUAAUAUUUCACAGUUGACACACCCAUAAUUUCAGACUAUUACGUUGAUGUGUUAUUUCCUUUUGUCCGGAAGUCUAUGGCUUCAGCUGAAAUUUUAUACUUUUCAUUAAUGACUUUCAUUUCUUUUCUUCAAGUAUAACUUUAGAUAAUUUCUUGUGUUGUUAGAAAAGCAACUAAUUACUGAUUACGUUUAGCUUUUUUGGAACUUGAUCCAUUUUUCCUACUUAUGUUGUUUAACUAAGUGUUUGCUCGCUUGAAAUGUUUUUCAGCCUUUUUCUUAUUACAUUUGCAUGAUCGCAUCAAUUUGAUUCCUGUGCAGUUAUUGUGAGUGUUUUGCUGCGGGGGUCUACUGUUCGGAACCCUGUGCAUGCCAAGGAUGUUUCAAUAAGCCUAUUCAUGAGGAAACCGUUCUUUCUACUCGCAAGCAGAUAGAAUCUCGUAAUCCACUUGCAUUUGCUCCCAAAGUGAUUCGAACGUCUGAAACUGGUCAGGAAUUAGGGGUAUGAAUACCAAUUGAGAUCUUGCAUUCAUCAAGCUGCUUUAUUUCUCUAACCCUCCCUUUGCCUAUUCUGUUCAUGAACUUUCCAUUUUAUUUUUAUGCAGGAAGUUUCUGACAAGACUCCGGCUUCGGCUCGUCAUAAAAGAGGAUGCAAUUGCAAGAAAUCAAGCUGUCUAAAGAAAUACUGCGAGUGCUAUCAGGUUUUGCUUUGUGACUUGCACAAAUUUUUAUUGGACAUUGUAUGUUGUCUGAUAUUGGCAUCAUUUUCUUGACCAAAGGGAGGUGUUGGAUGCUCCAUCAGCUGCAGAUGCGAGGCUUGUAAGAAUGCUUUUGGAAGAAAAGAUGGUGAGUGCUAAGUUGUAGGAUGGCGUUCUUAAUAAGAAAACCUCUAGAUGUAGCCAUUCCUUAUACCUAGAGUUCUUUCACUUCUACCUACUACAGAGUGAAACUGCGUAUUUGGUUCUUCGUUUAGCCAUGCCACUUGGUAGAGUUGAUUCCUCUCCAAUUCUAUUUUGAGCGAUCUCUUUUCCUAUACCAACAUUGUUUAAGCUUUCUGAUCAGUUUAGAAGGUCAUUUGUUUUUGUUUCUCUCAGUGUCCAAUGCUUUCUGAUCAGUUAUGAAAUUUACAAUUUCAUUUUUGUUUCUCUCAUAACCACAGAAUUUACACCAAACAAGUGGAACAAAGAAAUUAAACUUAUAACUUUGUUGAAGUUCCAUAGCAAUCAUGUGUUAUGAUUGCUGUGUUAAUAGAAUUGCUGCUUAUCUUGCUUAUACAGGUUCAACCCCUGGUGGUGCCGAAGAGAUUGAACACGGAGAGGAAGAAAAAGAUGCCCAUGAGAAGAAAGAGGAAAUGCCAGACGAUGGCCAACAAAAUGCUAGUGUCCAAAAUCAUGAAAAUCAUUCGUCAGAAAAUCUUGCCAUCACGCCUUUCAAAGCAUGCAGGUUCAGUGCUGCACGCCUUUUCAUUACACAGUAGUUUGAUUAAUUUCUCAAUUAAGGGUUUUACCUUAGAUAUCCCUGUAAAAUCAUCUAGUUACAUAUAUACCCCUUGUAGAAAUCUUAUUUUUUGUAUAGAUACUUCAAAAAUGCAGUUUCAUUAUGAAAUAAUCUUUUAUCUGAUUCAUCAACAAUACUUUGUUUCUAUUAGAGGAGUUUUCUAAAAAACAGAUUUAUUCUGAGGGUUUAUUUAUAAGGAAAUGUAAUUUUAGGGCAGAAUUACAUUUCCUGAUUUUUCAGGGCAAUAUAUGUAAUUGGAUAAUUUCGUAGGGGGUGCAUAUGCAGAUAUCUCUUUCCAUUAAUAAAUUGCUGAAUCAACUUAAUUUUUCAGACAAUUGGUCAAACUGUCGUACUUCUCAAGCUCAAAGCCGCCAAGACCUUCAGCUCCUACUGGAUAUUUCUCUCGGCUGUAUAACACUCAGGCUCUUCUCAAGUCCGAAGCCAUGCUUCUUUGUAACAAGUUUGAGAACCACGUCAAUAACUUUUGUGAUGACGAUACAGCGAACAUUCUAAAAGAGAAUGGCUCCCCUAGCAAUGUUAUGAAAACCUCUUCACCUAAUGGAAAGAGAAUUUCUCCUUCUAAUGGUGUCGGUUUCUCUCCAAGCCGAAAGGGUGGGCGGAAAUUGAUACUAAGAUCCAUCCCUUCAUUUCCAUCUCUUAGUAAUGUGGAUAGUGAUGAUGCAGUGAAUGAUACCACCAAUUCUUUUAACCCAUCCACACUCACCUGAGGUAUGUCGUGAAUAUUUUCCCAUACACAAUUUCUAUUUAUAGAGGUAAUAUCUUAAUUUUUAUUCUGAAGCAGGUUGUUUAGAAAGCUAGAAGGGUGGAAAGUGUGAGAUCAACCAUUGAUGCACAGUGGCGCACCUUGUGGUCUGAUAAUGCAUCACAAAUGAAGGUUUCUUGGAUGUUCAGAAGCCAAGUUAUUCGUGCAAGGACUGGUAAAGUGUAUUAAGAACUUCUAAUGGUGUUGUAAGAAAUUAAUUCCUAAGUUGUAUCUAUAUGUUGUCUUGUUGCUAGAAUAUUCGUGUGUUCACUUCAUUUUUUCCCCCCCCCAUGUGUAAUGUUUCCUACUCUAGGAAGUUUGUGCAAAGGCUCUUAGUUUCAAUCGAUCAUCAUUUUUCCUUGUUCCCGCUUAUGUUGUCUGAGUUUUUUUUUCUUUUCUUUUUUUAAUAUAAAUAAAACUUCCAUCGUUUCCAUCCAUUACAUAUGUUUUAAGUGUGCAUAACAAAUUACGUAGAAUUUGUGUCGCUUGUGCGAGAGGGCUGUUCUUUCUAUCUCCUCUUUCCUAAUGUUUCAUAAAUUUGGCUUAUGUAAUGAUAUUUGGCGAGUCGCAUUCAUUUUGUUAGGAACAUCUACACAAAUUCUAUUUCUUUGUGCUGUUAUAUUCAUAUUUUGCUGAAAGGAGUCUCCAACAAACAGAAUUCCAAGGACUCAGUUCAAGCUUCUGCAAUUUGUACUUCACGUGGAAUUUCCUUUGGACAAAUUUUUCAGUUUGGUGAUGGUGGUUCCUUUGUUCUAGUCUUUGUGCACCUGAAAUGUAUUUCUUAUUUUUGUGACUAUGGAACUCGCGAAUGAUUUAAGCCUCAUGUGGCCCGACUUUAUGGUGCGCUUUAGCCACUUUGUUGGGCUGCUUUGGCAAUGCCGCGACGCCUGCCGUCACAAAUGCCUGCUAUAUUCAAUUGUUCUAGAGUUGUAACUUCUGUUGAUUGCUGCGCGGUGUGCUCUAAAUCGAAAUGCACUGCUGAGCCGAACAAUCAAAAGGCCGAACAAAGCUUUGAUUGGAGCUUGUUGAAACUUGAAACUGUUCCGUAAAGAAACUGUGCUGUAAAUUUCUGUCGUCUGUCAUCGAAGACUUAUCUUAGUAAAUUCUAACAGUGAAAAUUAACCAAUAUUUUGAGCAUCAAAUACAUGUGUGGAGACAUGUAUUUCAUUGUGCAUCUUGCAACUUGAUCUUGUCCUGUAAUUCUACAUAUACUAAUCCUCUCCUUCCUAUGUUGAUUUGUUGAUCUGAAUCUGAUCUCAGUGGAAUCUUCAAAGAAGCUUGGUAAGAGGAAUCCGAGGCGGCUUUUUCGCCACAUGGUAAGAAGGUAUUCUUUUACUAGACCUUUUGCUUUGAAUUAAUAUAUGAUAUGAAUUAAAUAACAUUUUCUACUUGCCACAUGAUCAUCUAAGUUUAAUUUAAUAUGAUAAAAUCAUCUGACUAUAUACAAAAUUUUUCUGAUGAAAUGAUGUUACUGUUAAGUCAACUAGGCUGUUGUUUGCAUCAAAUUGAAUGUAGCAACAUGAGAUAGUGUUUGAUUUUUUUUUUCUUCAAACUAUAGUAUGAGUUAAACUGAAAUGGGAAAAAAGUCAGUGAUUUUUUUUUUUUCUCUUUUGGGUGCUUCGAUUUAAGGUUGGUUGGUCAAAUUGUAAAUAGAAAAAAAUUGUGAUUGUGUGAUUUUUAUGUGUCCUACCAAUGCAACCAAUCCUACUAGCAAGUAAUUGUGUUAGUUAGCCGGGUCGGACCGGGUCGGGCUUUUUCGAAGUGGUAAUGUGGGCAAUGGAUGGGCUGAAAACUAGGAAAAUAUUGAAAACUAGUCUUAGUUCGAUGCACGGAUUGAUCUCCAUGGUUAAUAUUUUGGGUGCAGUUACGUAAUAGCUUAGUGAGCAGGAUUUUUCUGUACACAGACUCAUCCUGCUAUUUCUCUGACCCAUAACGGAUGGUUUCGAUUCAUCAUGAGCUGCGGAACUACCUGUGCAAAAGAAAAUAUAAGAAAUGCAUAACCUAACAUCUUAAGCAGAAGUACUUCUUUAGCUACAAAAAUUAUAGGAAUUUGAACUUAAGGAAUCAAAAAAACAUUGGCAAGGGCCAAAGUCAUAAGUUUCCACUUUGAAAGGCUAGGAUUUACUCAUCUAGCAUAUCAACUUUUGAUUCUAAAAUACUAAAGGCCUAAUAAGGGAAUUUUAUAAACCCUUGGAUCUAAGAGAUGUAAGAUGUACACUACUAUAUAAGAUGCACAGGUAGUUUAUCCAAAUUGGAUAAAAAUUUCUUCAUUAUUUGAGAGAAGAAAACAAGUUUCCAACUGUGAACCAAUACACUCACUGAGGUAAAUAAACAAGCAAGAAUUUGGGUAAAAUAGGGAAGUUUGUAUACCCACAGGAACAAAAUUUGCAUUGAGGGUAAAUUUCAAAUUGUUUCCCUGUGGUUUAGCUCAUUUUCACUCUGUCACUCCUCGGUUUUAAAAGUUUCACUUUGCCAUCCUGUGGUUUAAAACAUCGCGCACUUUGCCUUCCUGCGGUUUUUCGUAUUUUUUACUUUGCCAAUCUCUGAUUUUUUUUUUUUUAAUUGUCGGCUUCGCUACCCACUUUUAUGGAGAAUUAUUUGGUGAAAUAAAAAUUAAACCACAGGAAUGGUAAAGAGACAAUUUUUUAAACCGCGAUAUGAGGACGGAGUAAAAAUAAGCUAAACACAAAAGGGUAAUUUGAAAUUUAUUCUGAAAAAACUAAAUACUUCCAUAUUUAAUGAAAGAAAGGCAUUAAUUACUAAAAGCGUAUUAGCUUAAUUUUUCUCCUUGUAUCAAUCAAUCAUUUGUAUAGGUUGACAUGUCUAAGAUCUUAUUACUAUUAGGAUUUUGUAUUUUGUGGUUCACCACAAAUAAGUGGCCAAAUCAAAGCGUGUGGUGGGUUUUUAUUUGCCUACUUUAUGGGGUCCCAUUAAUGUUUUUAUGUUUUCGAGUGUGUGUGUGUGUGGUCCCAUGACACUCUUUUUUUUUUUUAAAAUUUUUUUUAUUUGGCUAAAUUAUAAAAAUUUUUCAAACACUUUAGCACUUAUUAUGUCAAUUAUUAUUACUCUUCUGUAUAAAAAAUUACAUUAAAUAUUUCCAGCUAUUUAUGGUAAUUUUUGAAUUCAGCAAUAAAAUUCUAUAAAAAUAAAUUUGCAGACAAAAUUAUCUAUAAGUAAUACAAUAGAAUUAUAUAAAUUAAAUAAAUUUUUCAAUAAAAUAUUAAUUUCGCCAGUAUCAGCCAAACAAGAGAUCUCUUUUAACUGAAUUUUUUUAUCUAUUUUUUGAGUUGUAAAUUGGAUAUAUAUUAAGACGUGACAUAAUAUAAUAUGUCAAUGUCAAUUAGUUUUAGUAUGAUUUUACGGUCUAAUUUGUGAAUCUUUUUAACUUUUUUUAAUUCUAUUUGAGAUGGUGAUACAAUAUACGAUUAUAAUUAAUACAAUUUUUAGAUUGGAAAGUGCAACAUUUUAUUUAUUUUCUUUUUUUUUCCCUUUAUUUUUUUGCCACUAAAAAAAAUAUGCAUAUCCCGUAUGAAAAGGGGCAGCUUUAAUAGUUAAUACAACAGCAAAUCCCCAUCAAAAGCCACAAUCCAGCUGUCACCUCCCAAGAAACCCUUCUACUUAUUCCACACAGAAAAAAAAUUCCACCAUUUAAUUAAAUAUCUCUCUACAUUGCAUUAAACACAAAUUUUUUUUUUCAAAAAAUAUUUUAAUAUAUAUUAUUAUAUUGUUCAUAUUUAAUUUUUUUUUUGUCAAUCCUAAUUAUUACAAUAAAACUAUUUUCACCAAUUUGGGGCCAUUUGGUUUCUNUUCUUUCUUCAAAACAAUUCAGAAAAUGAAAACAUUAGUUUUCUAUAAAAUUUGAAAAAGAAACUUUCCCACAAAAUCUAAUUUCUUUGGAACCGAACGGCGAAGAAAUGAAAAAGGGAUUUUCCGUAGAAAAUUUUUUUUACUUACAAAAUUUAUUUUCAUAUUCCGAGAAACCAAAUAAUCCUUAUAUACUUAAAAAUCAUGAACUAUCACCACCGUUUAGUGAAGUUGGUUGAUUUUUAAAUCACAGACUAAGAGGUCAGGAGUUUGAUUUACUGCACAAGCUUUUAUAUCUUGGGGAGAAAAAAGAAAUUGUAUCUUGCUACAAAUUUUUCCCUCGACAAAUCUGAGUCGGGUUGGGUCCGACCCAUUUUCACCCUGAAUUACAUGUAUCGAAUACUAACCCAUGAUAAGGAUGUAAAUGGAUCCGGAUUGGUGGAGCUCCCGCCUUGAUCUGCUUCGAUCUCUCCGGAAUGAGACCGUAAGUGAAAACCAAAAAUAUAAAACAAUAUAAUUCAUCAUGAAUGUGUCCUUAUCCGCCAAAAAAAAAAAAAGAAGAAAGAAGCUAGAUGUGGGACAAAAAACAGAGAAGGAGGUGGAAGAAUCAUUACUGCGUUCCGAUCCGCCCUGUUUACAUUCCUAGCCAUGCAAUUCAUGCAAUGAUGCAAUUAACCCAAUCCUACAAAAGAGGGUGUCAAAAGGAAAGAUUAGGUGGUCAAAGGCUGAGAAAAAGUCAUGUGGAAGGAAAAGGUAUUCUCCAUGCAUUAUCCAUCAUCCUCAUUGCCUACAUCAUAAUGCAAAAACUUUCCAUUGUUGGGUCCAAAAAGUUACAAACAUAUAUAAUAAUUAUAAUUAUUAAGACAAAAACAUAUAAAACUUACUCCUUACCUAUAAAUCAUUUUAAGUUAAUUAUUCAAUCUUUUAAAAUUUUAAUUUUGCCUCCUAUUUUUUCUUAAUUUGUUUAGUUCGAGUCAGUAAACGAUAUUUCGACUUUAAAAUUUUAGCUAAUUAUUUAUUUUUAAAUGAUGUACACUAAUUAAAUCUGUAAAAAUAAAUUAUAUACUCAAAUUUGAUAGUCAAAGUGUCAUUGAUUGACUCAAAUUAAAUAAAUUGAAUGAUUGAAUGGUAAAAUCAAAAUUUUGAAAAGUUUGAUAGCCAGAUCUAAAUGGUUCAUAGUUCAGAUAGCUUCUGCACUUUUCUACCGAUAAUUAAUAACUUACCAUUUGUGGUUAAAAUUGCAAAAUCCUUAUGCUUACAGGGCACUGAGGGUAAUUUUGCCGAGCUAAUAAUUUUCUAGUUAUCAAACCACAACAUUUUAAGGUCAGAGAUUAGAGUCUGUGUGUAGCCAUGAGUUCGAAUUUAAUAAAUAUAUUACGGUUAAUUUCAUACAGAUCCCUACAAACAUGAUGAACAGCAGAUAUAUUCCUGCAAAGUUCAACUUUCAUAAGUUAUCCCUGCAAAAGUUCUAAUGUAUUUAGAUGCAUCCAUGCCGUUAAUAUCCGUUAAAAAAAUCUAGUUAACCACAGUUAAAAUACUUAACCAUGAUUAAUUAAUAAUGUGAAUUGAUAAUUUUGUCCUUCUUUUUCUUCCUCUUCUUCUUCUUCAUCUUCUUCUCCGUAUCCUUAUUUUCCUUCUCCUUUUCUCCUUAUUCUUCUUCUUCUUCAUCGUCGAUGAUCCGAUCGUCGUCGCCGUCAUGGUGCCUGCGUGGGCCAUCGUCACGGGCGCCUCCGAUGGCAUCGGCCUCGCCUUCGCCUUCCGCCUCUUCCUCGUCCUCGUUGGCCGCAACCCCAACAAGCUCCGCAAGGUCGCCGUCGCUGUCCACUCCCACAGCUUGAAAAGGAAGAGGAAGAGGAAGAGGAAAAGGGCAAGGGUAAAAGUGUCAUUUCACAACUCUACUGUUAAAAAAUUAACAGUUCUCUAACAGAUACUAACCAGAGGGACAUAUCUAAAUACAUUACAACUUUUACAGAAAUAACUUAUAAAAGUUGAACUUUGCAGGGAUAUAUCUGCUAUUCAUCAUGUUUGCGGGAACCUGUAUGAAAUUAACCCAAUAUAUUAUUGUCAAAAAAUAGAAGAAAAUUAUUUAUCAUGUGAAUAGUUUAGUUUGCAAAUUACCAUUUGUACCAUAUUGCUAUAUGCCCAUUGCCCAAGAUUACUAUUAUUAUUAUUAUUCAUAUCACUAUUGUUAUUAUUAUACAUUAUUUUGUAAAUUACUUUAUAUAUAAUUUAACUGAAAUUAUAUAAAUUGACCAUUAUUCAAUGAGUCCUUGUCCUUGUGUGGUGACAAUAGUUCUAUCUGAGUAAUGCCUUACUGCCUUAGCUCCUAUACUUUCCAAUAUUAUUAAUGCAUCAAAUUUGUAGACUGAUAAAAAUUAACUAUAUAUAGGCUAAAUAAUAUUGUAGAAUAGAUAUUUUGGUUUGUAAGUUAGUAUUGUACAUAUGGUUGGAACCAGCUAUAUUCUUAAAACAAAAAAAAUCAGAUGUACUGUUUAAUUGUACUAAUAUUUAACUUAUCACAUGCUAACUAAUUAAUAAUAUUUUUUUUCUUUAAAAGAUAUAGGAUGUAUUGUAUAUAUUUGAUGAACUAAACUAACUACUGAUCGAUGCUACACUUAUAAAACAAAUUCAUGAAUAGCAUGUUUAAGCUAUAUUGCUAGUGUAAUAUAAAAAAAAAAAAUAAAAUUGAGCCUUAAAAAUAGAUACUCUAUUUACUUUGGUUUAUUGCAACACUGCAAAAAGAAAUUCUCUUAUAAGGAUGCUUUAGAGAAUGUGGUUAUAUGAAUUCUUUCUUAUAUCAAAUCAAUUUAGUGAAGAAUAAAUUGCACUAUUAUUUUUAUUUUUAUGACACUAUAAAGCGUCAGGAUUUUUUAAAAAAAAAACUAGAUAUUUUAAGUAGUCAGAAUAUAUUUCACUGAUGCAUGCAUGGCUCGAGCAUCAGUAUAUAUGUGAUGAUUCUUUAUUUACCGGCGUUGCAAAUACAAUGGUAGACAAUUUUGGAAUGCUUUUUAAGUAUUAGUAAUUACCCGAAAAAUAGAGCAUCAGGGCUGGGUUCACAGAGUUUUUAGGCUAAAAAUUAAGAAGAAAUAAAAAGCUUAAAUGAUGGUAUUCAAUUCAGAAAAAGACUUUUUUUUUUUUUAGAGAUAGAUAGCACGCUACCCGCUUCGUUUAUUUCAUUUAAAAAUAAACUUAGCUAAAAAUGUGAAUCAACUAGAAUUCGAACUUGGAUCUCGGGUAUCAACCACCAAGUCCUUUGCCACCUACUCUAGGGACGAUCAGUCAGAAAAAGACUUUUAUUGUACGCAAUUUCCUGCUAGUUAUAGAUUCAUCUUUCAACUUCAGUUGCCCUACAGUAAUUGAACGGUUGCCACUUCGUCGGAAUUGCUCCGGUCAUAUUUCGUCGGUUACAAAACUGCUUUCGUAUCUCCAGCUGUUCCGACCCAAAAUUUAUUUGUCUUCAGACUCAUUUUUUUUUCCGACUCUCGAAGCACGCACUACGUGUCACCUUUCUAUUUGACUACGUGAGCCGAACCGACCAAUAGUUUGCACUGCAAUUUCCUGCACCAACAGUACUAUGAUAGUACUUCAUCACAUAAUUAAUACCAUAUUGUACAGUAAGAUCAAAUAGUUUCUUAGCAUUAAGGAGAUGAGAUUUGCUUUUAAGCUUAGAAUAAUACUAUUUUGUUUACUUGAGAACUUGGAACACUCCUGCAAUUGUCUCAAAAGAAGAGAGAAAGAAGGUCAAGGAAGCAGCAGAAGAGGAAAGCAAAAAGAAAGGGGCAAAAUAGAAAUGGUGGAAACAAAGCAAAAUAGAGAGUAUAUAUAUAUAUAUAUAUAUAUAUAGAGAGAGAGAGAGAGAGAGAGAGAGAGAGAGAGAGUUAAACUCUUUCGGUAGUAAACGGGUUUCGUUACUAUCUAUUUAUUUUUUAUGAUGGAGCUUUUAAAUCGACGAUUGGCAUCGUUAAAUAUGAUCUAUACCACUUAAAUAUCUAGAAAUCAAAUUUUAAAUUUUUUCGACAUCAUUGACCUAAUAAUCAAAGAGUUUCAAAAAUUAUAAUUUUAAUCGUAGAUAUGAGCCAUUUUCUUGUUUAAUGGUGUAAAGCUAUUCAAAUGAAUUGAAUUUUGGUUAGAAAAUUUUUUAAAUUAUUUAGAACAUGACCUAUACUAUUGAUCUUGAUUACAAAAUUUCUAUCAUCACUUUUUAUAGAAUAUUCAUUUUCAGCCGUUUAUUUUUAUGUCCAUUUGAUGGACGAGAAGAAUAUAAAAAAAGUAUGAAAUUUGAUUUUUCUCAAUACUUCAAGUGGUAUAAAUCAUAUUCAACGGUGCCGAUUGUUGAUUUGGAGGCUCCAUUAUUGAAAGUAAAUGGGUGACAACUGAACCCGUUUGUUACCAUUAGUAUUUCAGCUCAACUCUCUAUCUCCCUUUCUCUUUCUCUCUACCUCUAUAUAUAGAGAGAGAGAAAGAGAGAGUCCGGCUACUAUACUCUUAUGAGUAUAAAUCUUUUUGUACUUAUAAGUUUAGACCGUUAGACUUUCUAUCUUGAUCAUUUUCAUCUGUUAGAUUAUAUUGUUCAACCAAUCACUUACUCAACUAAAGAACCAUUGUCAUUCUAAUCGAGAACCACUAUCAUCUUACUUGUACAGUCCAUCAUCUAACGGCCGAAAAUUUAUAAGUGUAAGGAACCUAUACACAUAAAGAAUAUGGUAACUCUAGAUUAUAUGUAUCUAUUAUAUAGUGGAUAUUUUAUUAUUAUAUUAUUAUUAUUAUUAUUAUUAUUAUUAUUUAAGUACAAAUGUACGGUGAUCUCCUCAACUGCACCGUAUUCUAAAAUAGCCCUCUCAACUUUAUUUUUUUUUAUUUAAUUUUUUAUGCCUAGUCAAAAAAAUAAAUUUUAUUAAAUUUAAUAUUUUUGUCAAUUAUUAACUUUAAUUUAUUUACCAAAAUAACUAAAUUUUCUAAAUUUGGUGAAAUCACCAAAUUCUCAAAAUUUUUUAAUUCAAAAAAAUUAGAAGCUGCAUCUAUUCGUACUUACUAAAAAGUAAUUAAAAUUAUUAAUAAAUUUGAUAAAACUUUCUAACUUUUUUAAACUAAAAUUAAUCAUUCAGCAUCAAAAAAUUAGAAGCUGGCCUCAAUUAAAUUUUAAAAAAAAGGAAAAAUGUUGAGGGGGCAAUUUGAAAAUAGCCAAUAGUUGAGAGGGGUCUCCGUACAUUUUCACAUCUAUUUUAUUAUUUAUUUAUUUUGUUCCCGUGAUAUGAGAGGUUGUCCUUGCUCUGUUUCCCGUGCCAAAGCUGACAAAAAAAAUAUAUUAUUUUCUUUUUCAAAAAAAAACUCAAUUUAAUUUUUUUUGGUGUAUUAUUAUUAUAAUAAUAUUGGUAUCAUUAUUAUUAUUAUUAUAAAACAUUAAAUCAAGUACUUGUAAGUGAAACACUACAAGAGAAGUAUAAAAGUUUCCAAAGCGACGUGUCUCCCAUUUUUUAUUUUUAGUUGUUUAAUCCUUUUUGCUUAGAAUCUAUUUUAUUAUUAUUAUUAUUAGUAGUAGUAUUAAUUAACCACAUGUAUAAAAAUAAUAAUAAUAACAACAACUUAUCCCAGUGCUUGUAUGAAUCCCCUCUCGCGCUCAAAUUUAAUGCGCGUGAUAUUUUAAUUAUCAAAUUUUUAUUUUAUUAUAAAUUUUAACUCGGGUGUUUUAGCUUACUCUAAUUAAUUAAAUUAUGUUGAUGUGUUAAUAAUGUGGCAGUGAUACGAUAGUAUUUUAGUUGAUGAAUCAUGUUAAAUCAGAUUAGAUGAAACAAUCGUUGUUUUUUAAAACUUAAACUAAUAUAGAACAAUAAUUUUUUGUAUUUUCAUAUUUAACAUCCUAUUAUAUUUGGACUAGAGACUUUUUGAUAGAUUUAUGACUUAAAUUUAAAUUAAAAUUAAAAUAGGAGAAAAUUAAAUUUGUUAGGAAUCUGACGUGAUUCGAACUUAGAAUCUAUUAUUCUCAUAGCAUGUAAAAAUAUCUAAGUAAAUUUCACUCAAAUUUUAUUGGGAAAACUUCAAAAACUCCCCUAAUGGUUUCGUAGUUUCUCUCUUUGUCCCCAUAUGGUUUAAAAUAUAUUAAUUUGCCCCCCUGUGGUUUCUUUUUUCUCUUUUUCUUAUCAAUUUCAUUAUUUUUUUCUUAAAUCAGUGAUAAAGUUAAACUUAAAGGGUACUAAAGUGAAUAUUUGAUAAAUCCAGAUGGGUAUCUGAAGUUUUUUGUAUAUAAUUUAAUAAAAUAUUAACGAAAAGUUACCAAAAAAAUAAAAACGAAACCACAGGAGGGCAAUUUGAUAUACUUUAAACCACAGAGGGGCAAAGUGAGAAACUACGAAACUACGGGAGGUUUUUUGAAGUUUUUCCAAUUUUAUUUAUCAAACUUUAGUUUAUUAUGAAUUUUGACUAAGAAAAUAAAUAACUUAUCUUAGUGCUUGUAUGAUUAAAUUUUAUUAGAUAUAUCACAUUUUCGAACUCAUGUGAAUUUGGAUUGAACUUUUGAACUCCCUCACAGAGAGCUCGAAAUUUUAAAAUAUCGUUAAUUAAAGUUUUUUACUAUAAUAAAAAAUUUUAAACUUUUUUUAUAAGCAUUUAGUUACUAGAUAGUACUAUAUUUAUGGAGAGUGACAACGAAAACCCUUUUCCACUUUAUUAGGAUCCGUUCAAAAUUAAGCACGGAAAAAUUAUUUCAUUCAUUUUUGUAAAUACUAUGUCGUUUAUAAUAAUUCAAUUAUAAAUGCAGAGUUACUAUAUUAUCGGAAGUACAGAAAAUUUGAUAUUUUCGACUUUUUGAUCUUUGGAUUAAGAAUUAUACGGUUAAGAUGAUAGCAGUCUCCUCAUGGUUGAAUAGUAUCUCUAGGAUUGAGUAGUCCCCAUAAAAUAAUAGUAUUAAUCUAAAUAUUAGAAAUGAUCAAAAGAGUUAAUUUAAUGACCAAAAAUUUGAAAGUACUAAAUUCUCUAUACUUCCAAUAGUAUAGUAGCUUUACUCCAAUUACACUAUAAUUUUUUAUAAAAUAAAAAAAAUUAUAUUUUGGUACUUUUUGCAUAAAUUUUUUAUUUUUUAUUUUUCAAUAGUGUUGGAAUAUUAAAUUUUUACCAUCUAAUCGAUCAAAUCAAUGACGGAAGCAUAAUAUCGCAAAUAAAUUAAUAAUUUUUAAGUAUAACAUAAUAGAGAUAAAUAACCGUAUUCUAUAAGGUUUUCCAAGAAAAUUCAAAUGGUACAACAAAUAUAAAAGAAAUUAGAAGUGAUUUUAAUGUUACGUCCCGCUUUUCAAAGGUUCAUCCAUCCCAGGAUUACAUUAACUCUAACAUACUUAAUUCUCUUAGGUACCGUUUGAUUCGGGUAUAAACAAGAACUAGCUAUUACAGAAAUAGAUACAAGUAUGAGAAUAAGAAAAAUAGUGUUUGAAUAAAAAUUGAGUUGUUUCCGGAAAUAAGAAAAAUAUUAGAUAGUUUUAUAUAGAAAAUGGAGGUGUUGGUGAAACUAACCGAGAACUACUAUAUUCGGAUAAAAAAUUAGCGUUUGGGUAUAAAAGGGGAUAUGGGCCUAUCUCUAUCCCUAUCCCUAUCCCCUAGCGUUUGGGUAUCGUUUGGUUCGGAGAUAAGCAAAAAAUGACAAUUUCAGAAAUAGCUAUAAAUUGAGGUAUAACCGGGGAUUAGAUCAGUUUUAUAUUUGGAUAAAAAUUGGGUUAUUCCUGAGAAUUAAAAAAAUAGCGUUUGGUUAGAUAAGAUGAGAUAAGAAAGAUAAUGGAUUUUAUAAAUAAAAAAAUAAUGAUAUUAUUCUUUUAUUAUAUUUAAAUUUGAAUUUUUAAAUUUUUAAAUUUAAAAUUUUAACUUUGAAAUUUCAAACUUUGAAAUUUAAAAUAUCAAAAUUUAAAUUUUAAAUUUAAAUUUUAAAUUUAAAACUUUAAAUUUAAUAUCAAACUUAAAUUUGAAAAAUAGCAAAUAUCAAAUUUUAAAUUUUAAAAAUUAAAAAUAAUAAUUUANAAAUUAAUAAUUUUUUUAAAAAAAUUAUUAUAAUAUUUAAAUAUAAUUUAUUAUAAUAUUUAAAUAUAAAUAAUAUGUAUUAAUAUAGUACAAUUAAUAAUUUUAUAAUAAAAAUAAUGUAUUAUAAUAUAUAAUAUAUAAUAUUUAUAUAAUUUAGUUUUAAUUCAAUUUAUAAUUUUAAUUACGUUUGAAAUUAAGUAUUGGAAUAGUACUAUUCCACCAAAAUGGUGGAAUAGCAAAUCCCACCGUUUAUCCCCCGAACCAAACGGGGCCUUAGAGCGCAGUUUGGUUCGGGGUUAAGGGGUGGAAUAAUCCCUUAAUCCCGAAGUUAUUCUCAAACACCCAAUUUGGGGGGUGGGGUUAGCUAAUCCCACCCCACUACUCCAACCAAACAAAACAUUAUUUUACCGACUAUCCUUCUUAUCCCACAUAUUCUAACCAAAUACUAUUUUACCUAUACCUGGACUAAAUCCAAUUCUCAACCAAACAUAAAAUUACUCUAACCUGACCUUAAUCCCGAACUUAAUUUUAUCCAUGGAAUUACAAGCUUUUACUUAAUUCCGAACCAAAUGGUGGGUAAAAUAUUCAUGACACAGACCAAUGGGAGAAGAGGUUUUGAGUUAGGCUUCAACAUCUGCGUUUCGCCCACCUUACGCCUCUCCUUUUCCCCCAAAAUCGAAGCAAAAACACACCCAAACACACACACACACACACUACUGGAUUUGACCUCUCUCUCUCUCUCUCUCUCUCUUAAUCUCUCUCUCUUAAUCUCUCUUUCUCUCUCUACCCUCUCUCUCUCCUCUCUCUUAAUCUCUCUCUCUCUCUCUUCCCGACACUGUAUCUCCUCGCACUACCUCACUCUCUCUUUCUCUCUCUAGACCUUUUCCCCCUUUUUCUCUCUUCUCCAUUUUUAUACUGCAACAAAGAAUCCCACAAUCAUCUCCUCCUUUUCUCUCUCUCUCUCUCUCUCUCUCUCUCUUCUUUAUGUCUCUAUAUGUGAUGAAGUGGUGGGCAUGGGAAAAACAGAGGAUGAAGACGAAGACCCACCUCCGCCACCAUUACUAUUCUUCUUCUUCUUCGUGAGAUCUCUGGUUUGAUCUCAUUUUAGGGAGACCGUGUAGAUCGAGGUAGUAGAGCUUGUUUACAAUGUGUGCUCAUUUCUUGUGAUUUGUCGCUUAAAUCCUUUUUCUUUUUAGGGUUCGUUGCUUAAAAGAACGUUUUUGGCCUUUCUUUCUUUGUUUAAUGAUGUAAAUGCGACGUCUUUGUCGGUUUCUUCUACGUAAUCGCUUCAGAUUUCGCUUGAAAAUGCUUUCUUUUUUUUGAAGUGUAAUGUUUUUGGGGUUUUUCGACCCAAAUCGCACUGCAUAUUUGUUUGAAUCCUUAUACUUUUUUCUGUUAAUUAUUAACUUCGUAAUUUUUGGAUUUUUUUUUUGGGGGGUUAACAAAUCGCGCUACAAUUUGUUUCAAAUCUCACUCCCGUUUGAAUCUUUUGUUUUUUGGUUAAUUGUUAACUUCUAUUUUUUAAUCUUCUACUUAAUUUUUGCCGCAAAAAAACCUAAACAUUUUAGGAUCGUAAUGUGUAUGAAUGUUUGUAUAUAUUUUGGUUUUUUCCCCCCCUAAAUGCUUGAUGUUGCACAUUUUCACCAAUGUACUUCCACAACUGUCUCUUAUUAACAGUAAACACCAAUUUAUUGUCUCAACUUCUUUUUUUAUUUUGAAAAAAAUGGCAACUGUUUAUAUAAUGGUCCUAGAAAUUUAAAUCUGUACAUUAUUGCUGUUAAUUUCUGAAGGAAAAUUUCCAAGCUCUCUAGCACAAGAUUUGUUACAUUUUUUCAAAAUGCAAUCUUAUUUUUUAAGAAAUAUCCUUUUCUGCAGCAAUCUUAGGAAAUUUUUGAAUCAGGAAAUUGAUCCAAAGAUGGAUCAGUAUGAGGUUUUGGAGCAGAUUGGGAAGGGGGCGUUUGGUUCAGCUCUUCUAGUGAGGCACAAGGUUGAGAAGAAGAGGUGGGGGAGUUCAAAAACCAUUUUUUUUUCCUGGGUCUUGUUAUUAUUUUCUCGAAGUUUCACAAAUUUUGUACAACAUUAUGAAGUAUUUUGAGGGUUACACAUUACUACUUUGAUGCAGAUAUGUCCUGAAGAAGAUCCGUCUCGCUCGCCAGACCGAUCGGUCCCGUCGGUCCGCACAUCUUGAAGUGAGUUUUCUGGAUAUUAUCAAGUUUUAUCUUCGGCUGUUACAUUUGAUGAUUAUUAUAUUUCCAGAUAAUUCUAUGUUUCUCUUUGUUAAAUAUAAAAUUUAAAAGCUUUUAGAGAAUAACUGUUGUUUCGUAUUAUUUAAUAUGACAUCGAAGCAAGAAAUCUUGAGUUUGAGUCAUGCCAGGCUCCUAUCCUGAUAUUAUUAAUUUCCUCUCAUUUAAUUCAAGUCCACGCUAUGGGCCUAGCAAAAUGUUUCGAGCCUAGGAGUGAGGGGGAGUGUUAAAUAUAAAAAUAUUUAAACACUGUUCUCGACUAGCUUAAGCUUUUAGAGAAUAAUAAUUGUUUCGUAUUUAACACUCUUUUGAAUGAGUUUCUGUGUUGUGCCAUCCAUAUGUCAUUUUUAGUCCUCAAUAGUUUUAAGCACUCUUUCCGCCAAGUCCUAAUUCAAAUAUUUGUGUGGAAACAUUGAUGUAUAAAUUUGGUCAAAAAGUGAUGCAAAUGGGCCAUGUCAUUUGUGCACUAUGACAUCCUAGUCAUAUUGCUUUUGAAGCUCAUUGUUUCUUUCAGAAACUGAUUCUAAAAGAUUUGUUAAUAUAUAGUUCACUCUCCCAUCAUCAUUGUGCUGUUGCUUACAGCUGUAGGCACAGGAAUGAACCAAAAGGCUAAUUUGACAUCAAUGGAAUGUCUAAUUUGCUUUUGCAGAUGGAGCUUAUAUCUAAAGUAAGGAACCCUUUCAUCGUGGAGUACAAAGAUUCUUGGGUAGAGAAGGUAAAAUUUGUUCGUUCUUUUUUAUUCUUCGUUAAUCUUAAAACAUGCGAAAUAAACUCUCCUGUUUUUAUUUUUCGUUUUUUUUUUUCAAGAGUUCAUUAGUCUCUGUACUCCAAAUUAUGACAUUUACCGUUAUUUUAAUAGGGCAUAAAAAAACUAGCUUAGUAUGUUAGGUAUAUCAUCCUGUAACUUUGUUAUUGCUUCUACUCUCAGGGUUGCUAUGUGUGCAUUGUGAUAGGGUAUUGUGAGGGUGGAGACAUGUAUGUAUCUUUAUGAGGUGGAUUCAAUUGUAAGUCCUUUUCUUCCAAUCUGAAAUCCAUGGUUAAAUUUGUGUUUUUUUAAAUUUUGUUUGUACAGGGCAGAAGCCAUUAAAAAGGCCAAUGGAACUCUUUUCCCCGAAGAGGUGGUUAACUUGAGUACUAACAAUCGUGACUUUCUUUGCCGACAAAAGUAGUUUCUUUUGUUGUCUAAUCUAUGUUGCAUUCAUGAGUUCUUUCACUUACGUGCAUGCAGAAGCUUUGUAAGUGGCUCGUACAGCUCCUUAUGGCACUUGAUUACUUGCAUGUGAAUCACAUUCUUCAUCGUGAUGUAAAGGUAGUCAUUAUAUGCUACCGCUCAUUUACGUUGGUCUUUUUUCUCUUUUUUCGAGAAAAAUUUACUGUUGAUUUUCCUUCAAUGUUGUUUCAGUGUUCAAACAUAUUUCUCGCUAAAGAUCAAAGCUUACGGCUCGGUAAGUUAUUUUUUAGAUAUGUUCCAGUGUUUCUAGAUAUUGAGCUGUACAACUUUCUUUAAUUUAAAUACCAUGUGCAGGUGACUUUGGCCUUGCUAAAGUGCUCACCUCUGACGAUUUGGCUUCCUCUGUCAGUUCUCGUCCUAAAUUGCUUCAUUUCUCUGAUAAGUUUAUCUCCUAUUUUUUCUUUAACGAUGGUUGUUUACUCGUAUUGAAGGUUGUGGGAACUCCCAGCUACAUGUGCCCAGAGCUUCUCGCUGAUAUUCCUUAUGGUUGUAAAUCUGAUAUAUGGUCUCUAGGUAAAGUUUUAUUCACGAGUAAUGUACAAAUCUUCAGUAUUUUUACGUUUUGAAAGAACUCUAUGCUUAAUUUCUCUACUAUGUAGGCUGCUGCAUAUAUGAGAUGACUGCCCUCAAACCUGCAUUCAAAGCUUUUGUAAGUCGCAGCAACUCCUUUCUUCGGCCGGAAAUUUAACUAUUCUUUUAUGUGCUACGUGCAACGACCUGACCCGCUAGCAACAAUAACUCGUUGGGCCCAAACCACUGGCCCAAAAUGCUUAAGCCCAGUUAUUAUUACUAACGUGUAGUCCUCAUAUAAACUGAUCGGAAUCAGUAUUCCAUCUGAUGUGGGACUAUUGGGGGCGUUACACUACGCAUCCCUAGUUAAGAUGUUAUCCGCUCUAAUGUCAUGUUUGCUUACUGUACUCUAGUUUCUGACACUUUGUUAUUUGCUAAUUUAAAUUGACGCCUCUGAGUCAUGUUACAUUCUCAAUUCUGAAAACAAAGAUAUGUUUAGGUACUUACUUUUUGAUGUUUACUUGGUCUUGUAAAUUUUAAUAUAUUUAGUGAUUGUUGUGGCUCUGUUAUUCGUACAACUUUAUGGAUAAUUUCAUUUUUGUAAAUUCUCUUCCUGAGCAGGACAUGCAAGCACUGAUAAACAAAAUAAACAAGUCUAUAGUGGCUCCUCUACCAAGUUCAUACUCUGGUGCCUUGUAAGCCCUUUCUCAUUCUAAUUUAAAGUUUUGAUACACGCUUCUUCGGAUUUUGUUUUCAUUGUAUAUUAUUCUUCUAAUGUACGUCCUGUUCUUGAUGCAGUAGGGGACUCAUUAAGAGCAUGCUGCGCAAAAGUCCAGAACACAGGCCGAGCGUAUGUAUUUGUCGAACCACUAUAUUCCUUUGCCCAAAUGCUUAUUGUUUUCAUAUGUACAUGCUUCUGUGAGGAGAUUAAUUGUGAUAUCUUUCACAUAUGCGUUCAUUGUUCUUAUAGGCCGCGGAACUUCUCAAGCAUCCGCAUCUUCAGCCCUAUGUGCUUCAAGUCCAUUUAAAGUCUAGUCCGACUCGCAAUAUGGUUCAUAUUCUCCCUCCUUUGAGCGAUAACAUUAGGAAGAUAAGCUUUCCUGAUGAUGAAGACGAUUCUGGGUGCAAGGACAAGGAGAAGAGGCAUUCAUUUGCGAAUGAGAGGAUUGUGAAACUCAGCAAACCCUCUGCUGAAGAGAACUCUAUUAGUUCUACCCAGAGUAUUAAAGAUUAUUCUAAUUAUCCGAUUCAAAGGGUAAAAGAAUUGUCGGUCGGAAGCAGCCAAGCCGGAGAGGUUGGUGUUGAUAAAGCAGUCAGUGAGAAGCACUUGAACAUUACAAAUACCCCUAGAUAUACUCCGGCGAAGACCUUUGCGACGCCUAGAAGGCGACUGGAGCCAUCAAUAACAUUUCACGCAAGAACAAGCACUAAAGAGGUAUGGCCAUAUAAAAUGCUAAAUUUCAAUGUUAGGGGAUAACACAAAUCCUUUUUAUCAAUUUAUGAAACUUAUCCUUUUAUGAUUAGAAUUUGAGCGAUGAGGCCGCAAAGUUUUUUUCAAAUUCUUAUAAUGUAGGGGCUUUUACAUACAUAUGUCCCUGCAAAAAUCAUCUACUAGGAUUAAUACCCUGUAAAAUGUGGGGAACAGUUUAUACAACAGUACAUAGAAUUUCCAUGCCUAACCUUUUUUGCUCCCUUGUUGCAGCUCCAUCCGACAAGAACUCCCGUGGAACAAACCGCACGAACAGCGCGAAGAGUAUCUCUCCCUUUGACAACCUUCGAAACCCCUCAAGGACGUAAUGCCAGCAUUCUCCGCCGCGUGGAAUCUCCCGACGUCUCAGUGAACACUCCUCGGAUCGAUCGAAUCGCCGAAUUCCCUCUUGCUUCCUCUGAAGACCCACUUUUCUCUGUCCGCAAGCACUCCUCUGCCCAUGGCUCCUCUAAUACUACACCGCGAUGUGUCGAUCGCUCCAUCACCAAGGACAAGUGUACGGUCCAGAUAUUCCGUACCGAAGGGGAUAACGGUAGCGAUUCUUCUGAUCGCAAUCCGACAGCAGCGGAUGCAUCAAGCAGGGGAUCCUCAGACUCGAGGCAGAGGAGGUUCGACACCUCGUCGUACCAGCAGAGGGCGGAGGCUUUGGAAGGAUUGCUCGAGUUCAGCGCACAGUUAUUACAGCAGGAGAGGUUCGAAGAGCUGGGGAUUCUGCUGAAGCCGUUCGGGCCCGGGAAGGUUUCGCCAAGGGAGACUGCUAUAUGGUUGACGAAGAGCAUCAAAGAAACUGGAAUGUGACCCUAACCCUAGGGUUUCAGGCCGUCUUCUUUUCGACGACUAGGUACCUUACAAACUGCUUCAUCAGUUUUGUUUCGCAAGUCGCUGGAUGGACUUUACAUGUAGCUCGGAAUUAGCUUUUCAUUUCCUCUUCUCGAACCUCCUGUUUAGCCUAGGUAUCGAAUCUCGGCACUUACAACUCUGAAAUUGACUAUAUCUAUUAAUAGUAAGUUAUGCAUCCACCAUUAGAGAAAAUCGAGGUUAGUUAUGUUUCACUUAUGCAUUAGGUUUGUCACAACCGCACGUAUAUCAUAGAUGUUAUAGAUGGUAUAUUCAUGGUUUUCGAGAUGUUGCUUUGGUGAACGGCGCACUAACACGAUAAAGAACGAAUGCUCGAUCUGAUCUGUUCAUCAUUUCUGAAAUGGAAAGUAAGAUUAACUACGACACUAGUUUAGGCACAUGUUGAUGAGGAUCGCUGGGCGAAUUAGAAAAUAGGAGAUUAAAGUUUCGCAUCGAACUUUCGUUGUUUAUUUUGUUAGUGCACCCUUCAUAGAUCUGAAUUUGCACAAUUUUUAUUUGGUCUUUGUGAUUGGUGGGCCAUGAACUUCAUGUAUCCCCUGAAUAGGGUUAGCUGUUAACAGCUAGAACAAAAACUCUACUUUGAAAGUUGGAGACUUUUGAAAUAUUUUGAUGGAUAUGUAACUUAUCUUAGAAGAAGCAAAAAUUUCUCACAAGUAUUGUGAUAUUUUUUUUAAUUGUGCUUUCUCGAAUGCUAAAAUCUUUAUAUUAGACUCUUAAAUUCAAAAUUUUCACCACUUUCUUUGUGGAGUGGUGCAUAUUACUUUGCAAAACCAGAUGAUUCUGAGGGUUUUAUAAAUGGUUUAGUACUUGGAAAAAGUCUAUAAAAUUUGACUAAAGAUAAGCAAGCAAAGUAAUCUUUGUCUAACAUAUACUUCAUAGUUGUUAUUGUUAAUAAGUAAUCAACAACUACUACUUACAUCAUUUUUCCAAGGGAGGCCAAAAUGAUAACAUCAGCUCUAAUUACUAAUGAGCUACUUAAUAUAUGUUAUGCAUCUCCAAGCAAUGUAAGGGGGCCAAAAAACUAAAAAAAAAAAAAAAAAAACACAUACCAAAUGGAAACCACAUUCUGAAACAUUUGGUUUCCAAAUCACACUCAGAUUAUCUACCACAAUUUUUUUUCACAUAAAAGAAAACUCUUCAUGAUUUGAACUUCUAAACAAUGCAAAAAAAAUUCCCACUAAUUUCAGUCAAGGUUGAGAGAAACACAUCCACAGUCUAUCUCUUCUCAGGAACCUGCAAAAAAUUGAGAACAGCAAAACAUCCUAAUCAGCUAAUGCUCACAACAGCAAAGAACAAAAAUGCACAGAAACAUGUUCAGGAAUUUCUUCCACACCAACCUCAUGUCCAUAUGGAGACCUGCAGCAUGUGGCGUAAGUCAAAGCCGUGCUCGUCGAAUCGCACUCGCUGUCCUUGAUCGACAUAUUCGAUUUAUCGAGCAUGAUCGGCCACGGGUACUGAAACAAGUUAUCGUUCACCGACGAGCCCAGGUGAGACGAGCAUCUCUGCAUUGUAUUCCCUCUCGGGAUCCCCCGCCCUUCCAUCGACGCCCUCCUCGGCCUGCUCGGUGGUCUCUCGCACGAGCUGGGCCGCUGCUUUGGCGCGCUCUGCGACCGAGCCUUCGCCCUCGAGGACUCCGUGUUCGCCAUGUAAUUCGGGCACGUCAACUGGUUCUCAUUGCAUGAGUUUGCUGCAUCAUCAGAGUUUGCAAAGUGAAAGGGGCUACUCUGUGCAGUGUUGAAGGAAAACUCUUCAAAGUGGCCACUGUAUGUUCUGGGGCUCAGAUCAGUUAAAGCUGAGGGAGUUGGUGAAAUUUGUAGGUGGAUAUCACUCUUAGAAGGCUUUCUCUGAUGCCCAGAUCCUGACAACUUAUUCUCUGUGGAAUGGCUAUUCCUGCUCUUCGACCUGACUCGAUCCAUCUCGACGAUUUUGAUGUUCUCCUCUGCAUUCCUAUCCAUGUCCUGCGUGAACAAAUUAAGCUCACAUAUUUUCUUUCGUAGAUUUAUACGUAUGAUCAAGUUCUUAUGAUCCAAAUAGUACUACAUACAAGUGAUGGGCGGUGUCGCGGAUGAAUCGGGGAUCUUCGGUAGGUGGAUUGGAUUUGAGAGCCGGUUUUUUCGCGUUCGAGCAUUUGGAUGCGUUGGGCUCGGGCUCGGGCUUGAACCGCGGCCAAUGCCUCCAUGCACCGAAGUGCGGCGGCGGCUUGUCUUCGCACCAAGUGCCCUCUCACUAGGGCUUGAAGCUUUACUAGGCCUCUCAAUGCGCACAACGCUUUCCUCGCCUGCAUUGUUACCAUUCUUUCAAAACUUUUGAAAUAUCCAAUUCUUUUAAGAGUAAUGUUUCCAGUACACUCCACUUUGAACUGUACAUCUUAUAUCCUCUUCAUUAAAGGAUCAUCAUUAUCUUACUUGAUACAUCAUUUUUUUUUAAUUUUUACUAUAAUUCAAUUGGAUUUUUUUGAAUUUUAGAUGGGGAGUGGAAAAUCUACAUCCAUUUUCUGAAUGUAUAAGUAAAAUUUUCCUUCUUUUAAUAGGAUGGAAUCUAAUUAGCCUUAGCGCAUUGGUCGAUUUGAGAUCUGAUUUGAUAUAAUUGAAUUUUUUUAAAACAUAAUAAUUAUAUAUGUAUGUACUGAGAAAAAAAAAUUGUAAGCAUUUUAUUAAAGUGAGAACUCCAUUGCAACAAAAUAGAAUGCGGAGGAGAUUAACUCUAAAUCCAAUAACUGAGAAAAUAUGAGAAAAUGUGUGCUGUAAAAUCGAAAAUACAGAUAUAUUGUAUCUGAUCAAUUCGUACAGAAAAUGCUCUGACUUUUAGUUUUAGUGCGAAAUCCAAUGCACACGAAUUCAUUGAAUUGAGAAUUAAAUUCUAUUUAGAUUUGGUACAAACAAAAAAGAGCAUCAAUUUGCCGUACCAAAUAAGACCGGAAAGAAGACUGAAUCCUGACAGCCGCCGCCUCCUCGACGGCGCUGCUGCUUCUUCUUCUGCUGGCGGUGGCAGCGGCGUUGGCAGUCAGACAAAUCACGGCGGCUGCAGCCUGCGCUGCCGCCACAGCGGCAUCCGCUGCCGCUGCCACCGCCGCCAUCGCAUGCCGUCUGUGCUCAUCCUCCAAAUCCGCAAUCCCAAGAGCGGCAACAUCUGCCGCUCCCGCCACCGCUGACACUGACGUCAUCGCGGGGCGGCGGAAGCUCCAUCUGCGCUUCUCUUUGGUGGCUGGCAAUGAAGAUGAUGGAUGUAUGCCGUCAAAGUUCUCCUUCUCCUUGUCCUGCUGCUGCUGCUGCUGCUGCUGCUGCACUUUCUCUCUGUCUCUCUCUUUCUUUCCUGUCAAGAAGAUGCUUCUGAGCCAUUUCCCAGUCCUACCCAUUCUUGCAUCUCUCUCUCUCUCUCUCUCUCUCUCUCUCUCUCUCUAGAGCUUUAAGAAGUGCAUUUGGAUGAUCAACUGGGGCUUCUUAUCAUGGAAAGUGUUCUGGCAUGUUCAUAUGUGGCCUCUUAAUUUAGUUUCCUAUUCUGAGUGUGUUGGGUAAGGUGUAAUAUCUCCCUUGAAAGCCACUUGCCAAGUUAGGAUUGAGAUUUGAUCCCAAGGUUGUUCUCUUUUUAUUUGACCAGCCUUUUUAUUUAUUCAUUUUUUUAAUCUUUUCUUUUAGUGUUCUUGCUUUUACUCAUAUAUAUAUAUAUAUAGAGAGAGAGAGAGAGAGAGAGAGAGAGAGAGAGGGGGGGGUCUCAGCUGCUAAACUAUCAGUAGCACCAAAUGCUUAAUUAGUGCUAUCAAAUUUUUCAUCAUUAGAUUUAUCUCUAUGACCAUUUUAUCAGUUAGAUUAUACUAUUCAAUCAACUAUCUAUUUAACUUUAGAGAACUACUAUCAUUCUACCAGUAUAUUAUCUCAUUCAAGGACCGAAAACUUAAUAAUACCAAUGACUUGAUUUAAUAGUAUAAUAGCCUAAUUUUAUAUAUAUAUAGACCUUCAAAAAAUUAUCUAUUCACAUGUUUGUCUUUGGAAAGUGUGAGUUUACUUAAAUGCCCGCCAAACUUUUAUUUAAGUUUGUGAAUUGUCAUGUUGACGGGAUGGUUGGUUCGGGGAGAAAAAGAUUUUAUUUAAAAUUCAACGCAUUUUGUUGGCGGAAUAGUUCGGCAUAUAUAAAUUAUUCAUGAAUAAUAAAUCUAAUAAAAAAAUUUAUUUUUUUCUAAUUUUUGGAGAAAAAAAUAAUAUACAGUCUAUUUUAUUCAAAUUUUAUAUAAUUCGUGAAUAAUUUAGAAAUUAACUAACUAUUUUCACUUUUCUGCUUCAUUCGGGAUGGAACGUGUUGGGAGUAAAUUUUUAACAGAUCAAGAUAAAUCAAGAAUACCA
Molecule: long non-coding RNA, 94229 nt
Filed under: Ananas comosus (pineapple)
Lineage: Eukaryota; Viridiplantae; Streptophyta; Magnoliopsida; Poales; Bromeliaceae
Description: long non-coding RNA (ACOM_LNC014545)
Rfam family: tRNA (bases 55420-55492)
Source: RNAcentral